RNAcentral lists this long non-coding RNA (118040 nucleotides) under Triticum aestivum (bread wheat). RNAcentral describes it as "long non-coding RNA (TAES_LNC007790)". The record is from RNAcentral. Lineage: Eukaryota; Viridiplantae; Streptophyta; Magnoliopsida; Poales; Poaceae.
CCAUAUGAACCUAUCAUAUUGCGUACGUGCCACUGAAGAAAAAACUUUAUUUAUAAAUGACGCGGCACCUACCACUCGUUCUCCUAUAACCAUGCGCUUGGCAUGUCCAAAAUAUUAACCUUGCGAUUGGCUCUUCGCCUCUUCGGGAAGUCAAGCUAUAAUGGUAGUGCAGUAUAUAUCGUUCUGGCUAUAUGAGACCGAAUGGAUUGCUGCACUUCCACCACGUGGGCGAGGGUCGAGGGGCGAGGGAGAGUGCUACAUAUGGAGCAAAAUGAGUGAAUCUACACUCUAAAAUACGUCUAUAUACAUCAAUGUUUGGAGUGUGUACUACUAGUUCAUAUUGAAAUCUACUAAAGGACAUAUAUAUUCGAAACAAUAUGAUAUAAUCUCUAUAACCAAGGUAGUAGGGACGAGGAGUAAACGGAGGGAGUAGUAAAUUUCUCUCCUUGUCCUGCGACCCACCACACGCAUGGGCGAGGGAGCGGGCGUAAGGCGGAGCAAGCUUCACCUCAUCUUGUGAGCCACCGCGCCCGUGGGCAGGGGAGACGGCGUACUAAGCAAGCUUCUCCUCGUUCUGUGAGUUGACGGGACACAUCAAAAGUACUCCAGUGUAUAGAGCCUUACCUCUAAGGUAGGCCCCACAUGGUUUGCCUCUUUUUUAAUUUAACAUAAUGCGUCAAGUCGCAAUUUGUUUGUUCACCCGUGGUAGACGAUCGUCCCUCCAUGAAGUGGACAACCAGUACACGUGCCAAAUUACCACGUGGGCUGCCUUUUUGUACAAAAAUGAGCUCCACUGUGUACCUGCGUGGGUGUGGUUGGGAAAGAGACGGGAGUACGUGCGCCGUGCAUGCACCUCUUCUCUUCGUGCACGUCCCCCACCUACGUGGGUGUGUGUGAGAGAUACAAACCGCGUUCAUGAGUNNNNNNNNNNNNNNNNNNNNNNNNNNNNNNNNNNNNNNNNNNNNNNNNNNNNNNNNNNNNNNNNNNNNNNNNNNNNNNNNNNNNNNNNNNNNNNNNNNNNNNNNNNNNNNNNNNNNNNNNNNNNNNNNNNNNNNNNNNNNNNNNNNNNNNNNNNNNNNNNNNNNNNNNNNNNNNNNNNNNNNNNNNNNNNNNNNNNNNNNNNNNNNNNNNNNNNNNNNNNNNNNNNNNNNNNNNNNNNNNNNNNNNNNNNNNNNNNNNNNNNNNNNNNNNNNNNNNNNNNNNNNNNNNNNNNNNNNNNNNNNNNNNNNNNNNNNNNNNNNNNNNNNNNNNNNNNNNNNNNNNNNNNNNNNNNNNNNNNNNNNNNNNNNNNNNNNNNNNNNNNNNNNNNNNNNNNNNNNNNNNNNNNNNNNNNNNNNNNNNNNNNNNNNNNNNNNNNNNNNNNNNNNNNNNNNNNNNNNNNNNNNNNNNNNNNNNNNNNNNNNNNNNNNNNNAGGGAGGGGUAGGCAGAGGCCUAAAUAUAUAGGUAGAACGACUCACAUAUGUGUUGAGAAGGAGAGACCCAGCUAUGUCUUGAGGGAUAUCGGUCGACAUCCCUACAUAACUGAAGGACGGGAAAUAUGAUGGGACAGAGAGAGAGAGAGAGAGAGAGAGGAGAGAGAGGGAGGGAGAGGGGUAGAGUGGCUGAUGGGUGAUGGAGUUGCUUCUCAGAGAUGGUGGGAGAGGCCUACUAGACAAACUGAGGGUGGAACUGCAAUGUUAUCAAUAAGAGUGGGGAUGUGUUUCUGUGUGUGCCUAUGCAUGAUAGAUCCGUCGGGACGCAUCCAUGGAUGAUGAAGGGGAACCAUGUGUUUGGUAAGCAAACCUGACUAGAUCGGUAUAUCAAUUGUUGUUUGUCGGAGGAAGGGAGAUAUGCAACUAAUGAGGUAGAUCGAUCGACGCAUAGGUAAAAACGAGUUAUAAGGACCUAGCUAGCUAUAUAUAUAGCGAGAGACCGGUCAGUGUACAUCCAUUUGUUAGAGGCAAAUAAGGCCCAGCCAGAUGGAUAGACAGAGAGAAUGGAGCUAGGAGGUGGUGCAAGAGGCCCAACUACUAGCUAGAUAGGUGGAGGAGUUUGCGAUUGUGAGAUCGAUGAAAAGAGGGGCGAGAGUUUACACGUGUGUGUGACCGUAUGAGAGACACGAGGCAAGGACACAUAAAGGAGGAGAUUGAAGGUGUGUGUGUAUGUUGUAGGCAGGCAUCACUGGAGAGGUUUAUCGAUCGGUGUGUGUCGGAAAGGAGUUGUGGAGACUCUGGGAGAACGACCUAAAGAAAACAAAUGGAUGUUCCCGGUGGAUAGAAAGCCGAGGGAGGGGGAGAGCGAGGAGGGCGUGUGCAUGCACGAGAGAAAGUUAGUGGUAGCUACAAAGGUUAGAGGAUUGUUUGGGUGUAAGAGACUAUCAAAGAUCAUAAUUUGAUAUGAAAGCGGAUUCAUAUAUUUGAAUAGGAUAUCAUAGUGUUUUAAACAUUGCAUGCAUGAAUAUAGCGUGAUACACGCGUUGUACACAUGUUAUACCAUAAUGUGAUAAUGCAUGACAUUUGCAACUCACAGCUAAAUGCCGAACAAUCUAAACCAUACUAUACAUCAAACAAUCUCACAUUUUAUUUGAAUUUGUGAUAAUGUGUGGCGUUUGCAGCUUACAACUAAAUAUCUAACAAUCUAAACAAUACUAUAUAUCGAACAUUCUCACAUUUUAUUUGAAUUUGUGGUAAUGUGUGGUGUUUGCAACUCACAUCUAAAUACUUGUAGGCGUAGGGGGCGGGGCACCAUACAUAAUCUGAUAAACACAUUAUACAUAUGAGACAUGGUUUAGAUUAUGAAGAUCUAGCUAGAGCUAGAAAUGUAAUGUGAUUUGAAAUCAAAAUAAAGUGGAUUGAAAAAAUCAAGUUCGAGUUCAUAUAGUACACAUAGUUCAUAUGUAACUCGAGACUAAUCAUGUGGUGUGCUGUGAAGAUAAUACACAAAUCAUGGUUUAACUUGACAAUAAUGAUGAUUGUAGAUCUUAUUAAAACCGAGAAACGAAUUCAAAUGCUUUGACUUCACAACAAUCAUUACAGUAGAUCUUAUUCAAAUAGAGAAACGAAUUCAAAUUUAGUUCAUAUUGAAGCGGUAGUAUAUAUGUUUGGAAUGCACUAAAACAUUCAUUUGAGUAGUAGGUUGCAUGCAUUAUACACGUAACGAAAUAUUUUAAUUGAACAUAACAUGAAUUCAAAGUUUUAAAUGACAUUUGUAGUGCGCAUUGAUUUGGUACAGUACACGUUAGGCUUGUCCAGAAAUUUCAACCCGCGCCUUGUUAGCCUGAAAUAUAUAAGAUAUAUCUUUGUCUCAUUGUGCUCCGACAACUCCCUCCAUCUCAACCCGCACCUUGCUAUUCCGAAAUUACAACGCGCGCGAAAACUCCCACCUCCUGUGAAAUCCCGACACGCGAAAUGCCCGUGGUACCCCUGAACCGAAAGAACCAUCUCAAAUCGGUGGGGGUACUUUUGUAACUUACCCCACAUUUCGGACAAGCGCGUCCCUAAGCCAUGGUUCCCCACUGCCAUCCCAUCCGCCCACCCAUUCAUACACCAAGGCCGCGAAAACCCGCGACGAAACCCCACACCCUUCUUCGUCCGCCACCCAGCCGGAGCCUCUUCCCAGACGACAUCAUCCACAGCAACACCUCGACGUCCCUCAUCCACCGUACCGGAUGAGGAUCCGUCGUUGAUCUCGUCGUCCCGCUGGUUCAGCCACCCCGUCCUCCACCUCCAAGGAGCUGCCCCGAUGUUCCCCUUGUCUUUCGCGCCACCUCCAUUCCCACACCGCCGUCUUCACCUGCACCAUCGGAAGAGAAUCAUCAUCACCGUUUCCUCGGAUGAAGCUGCGUCCUAAUCGGCGCCACCAAAGAGGUUGUACACUAAUCGCUGCAUUUUCUUCUUGAUUUGAUCUCACGGUGCUGCCGGUGCUCGAUCUCGAGCCGACACGGCGCGACUCCAUCCACGGCGGCAUCACCGGCCACUUUCUCCACGGCAUCGCUCCCUCGGCGGCGACGUCCACAUCAGUAGGAGCUGUUGCUGCUUUAGCUCUCGCUCGCGUUGCUGCUCUGCUCUUGCUCUUGGUCCCCUGCCUGGUUUGCUCUUGCUAUUGCUCUUGCUCGCACUGCUGCUCUCGCUCUUUCUCUUGCUUGCGAUGCUGCUCUGAUUUAGCUACACUUCAGUCGAUUGAACCGACUUUUGGGUCAGUNNNNNNNNNNNNNNNNNNNNNNNNNNNNNNNNNNNNNNNNNNNNNNNNNNNNNNNNNNNNNNNNNNNNNNNNNNNNNNNNNNNNNNNNNNNNNNNNNNNNNNNNNNNNNNNNNNNNNNNNNNNNNNNNNNNNNNNNNNNNNNNNNNNNNNNNNNNNNNNNNNNNNNNNNNNNNNNNNNNNNNNNNNNNNNNNNNNNNNNNNNNNNNNNNNNNNNNNNNNNNNNNNNNNNNNNNNNNNNNNNNNNNNNNNNNNNNNNNNNNNNNNNNNNNNNNNNNNNNNNNNNNNNNNNNNNNNNNNNNNNNNNNNNNNNNNNNNNNNNNNNNNNNNNNNNNNNNNNNNNNNNNNNNNNNNNNNNNNNNNNNNNNNNNNNNNNNNNNNNNNNNNNNNNNNNNNNNNNNNNNNNNNNNNNNNNNNNNNNNNNNGCGGGUGGCGGGGGGCUGCUAUUUGGCCGGUGGUGGCUGGCGGCUCAGGGGGUGGAGGUUGAAGAUGAACCGCAGGCCCUUGAUUUCGUAUCCAACAGCUGCAAAAUCGACUGACCAGAGAUGAAAAAGUCAGUCGACCGACGUGUAGCCUCACCUUGCUAGUGCGUUUAGUUUCGACAGCAAAAUUCAGUUUCGAUAGCAAAAUUCAGUUUCGAUGGUUAAGUUCAGUUUCGAUAGUUAAGUUCAGUUUCGACAGUUAAUUCUGUUUCGACAGUUAAGUUCAGAGAUGAGCGGCUGAUGUAUUUUACAUCUAGCACUUUGUGGUUAUGUAUUUUACGUCAUGUAUUGGAGAUGCUAUUAGAAUUCCACUCAAGUUAAGGUUGUUCAUUGUCUCUCUUAUCCUACUUUAGCCUCGGCGUCGUACAACUCACCGGAGCUGCUCCAACAACGAAACCCUCCAUCACAGCGGAGCAGUACCUCAGGCUCCAUCUCCAGACGCCUAAGAUCUUCUUCCCCUUCUCCGACAGCAAAGUCAGCCGAAGCAUCCUCACCGGCCAACCCAAUCACACUGAGAUCGACAAGGCUUCGCCAAAGAGGUUGUACACUUGUUGCAUCUCUUUUUUUACUCUACAUGUUAUAUAUAUUGUCCACUGAGCACACAGAUUUGUUCCUUUAGUGUCUCCUUGAAAGAAAAAACUUAGGAAUUUUAAUUUUCACUUGUCCUCCUUUUCAAAUUCCUAUUCAUGAAGCACAAGACUAAGAGAUAGUAGCAUAAUAGCAUUAAAACCGUAUAUUUUCUUGUGGCUUGACUUAAUCUCACCAUGCUUCUUUGCAUCCUGUGAUCUCCCAAUUGUUGUGAAUCAAACACCCAGAUUGGCAAAAAUCCUGUAUUUUCAAAUUCUCUGUUUUGCACGUGCAUUCCUAUCCUAUUCCUGUCUAUUUCCUAUCCCUGCAUUGUUGGAAUCCUCCAAUUCAAACGAGCCCUUACAGAAUUACUACUCUUACAGAUAGUUGUCAAAGAAAACAUUGUGUGGUUUGUCCCGCUCCUGCUGCGCCAUCGUCCACCCCAGCUCAGCUGCUCCAACGAUAGAAGGGUCUAGCACAACAGGGAUCCGGCCUCCAAACUAUCUUUCUCCGCCUCAGAUCUUCUUCCCCACUGCCGCCAGCCAUGAAAACUGCAUUACCACCAUCAACCGAGCAGAUGACCUCGAGUACUACACGGGUCCGCGAGAGAGGUCACACUCUUUCGUGUCUGCUAAUGUUAUGCAUCACUUAAUAUUACAUGCUACUUUAUCGUCCUGUUCACCGAUUAGACUCUGAGUCAGCUCCAAACUAAUGGUCAAACUUGAGUUUUUCAAUGGUUGUGGGGUACAUAUCGGACCGCUAUCAAUAGUAUCUAUCUACUAUAUGGUUAAUCUCCGGUGUCUACUAUGAGUUUCAUGUUGGGUGAGAAACAAACAGUAAAGAAGCCAUUAUCUGUAUUUUUUAACUGAAGCCAUUAUCUGCCUGCUAUUAUUGGUUUUGGGUCUAUCCACAGGUUGCUACCAUCACUCUGGUUUUCUGCAUGCACUCCUUACAUGAUCUCACUAUGUUUUAUUCCUAUGCAUGACAGUUAUUGUAAACAAUGGAACUGAACAUGUAGAGCAAAAGAGACGAGCCUUGCGUGGCAAUAAAAUUUCAUGCAGACAUCGCUCCAUGGUAGGCACAAAGGCAGCCCCCCUCCACGCAUUUCGGAUUGUAAUCAAGAGGAAGAUAUCUGUUCUGAGGGGGAUCCAGAAGGAAAAGACAACUCCUAUUUACCCCCUCAGGUCUUCGCUCUAACUUGGCAUGCUGAUGGUAGUUAUAUCAUGCAUAUGGUGGCUUGCAUUGCUUACUUUAUACAUCAAAUAUGUCAUCUGCUUAGUUUAGACAUCCUUUGUGCGAAUGCCAUCUGUUUAGUUUAUUCAUCGUUUAUGUGAAUUAUGCAAUGCCAUCUUGUUUAGCCAGGCAUCAUUAUGUGAAUUUUGUAAUGCCAUCCUGCUUAGCAAGUCAUCUUAUAUGUAAAUUAUAUCAGGCCAUCCUUUUUUUCGUUACAUAUUACAUUUGUCAACAAUGUUAGUACAUUCAACUGCUCUUCGUGUGUAUCAGCCAUUUGACACGGUGAUGGCAAAUUCUAGAGUGAAAACAAGGUAUUCAGAGCAGACUAUGCUAUCUGACGAAGCGCAUAUCUCGCUGGUUACGGAUAGCUCCUUGGAGGAGGAUUCAGAGACAGAUNNNNNNNNNNNNNNNNNNNNNNNNNNNNNNNNNNNNNNNNNNNNNNNNNNNNNNNNNNNNNNNNNNNNNNNNNNNNNNNNNNNNNNNNNNNNNNNNNNNNNNNNNNNNNNNNNNNNNNNNNNNNNNNNNNNNNNNNNNNNNNNNNNNNNNNNNNNNNNNNNNNNNNNNNNNNNNNNNNNNNNNNNNNNNNNNNNNNNNNNNNNNNNNNNNNNNNNNNNNNNNNNNNNNNNNNNNNNNNNNNNNNNNNNNNNNNNNNNNNNNNNNNNNNNNNNNNNNNNNNNNGCAGGGUUAUGUUGCUCAUAUCGUGCGUAUGGUGUCUCGCAUUGCUAUGUCAUUUGAUUAGUUUAUACAUGCUUUGUGUGAAUGCCACCUGUUCAGUAUCUAAUUACCAUAUAUUUGAAUUAUGCAUUGCCAUCUUGUUGCAAGACAUUAUACAUGUGAAUUAUACAAAGCUAUCUUGUUGCAAAGGCAUUAUAUAUGUGAAUUAUGCAAUGCCAUGCUGUUUAGCCAAUCAUCAUGUAUGUGAAUUAUAUCAUGCUAUCGUUUUUUUGUAUUACGUGUUCCAUUUGUCAACAACGUUUGUAUAUUCAACUACUCUUCCCGUGCAUCAGCCAUUUGAAGCGGUGGUGGAAGUAUCUAGAGUGAAAACAAGGUAUUUAGAGCAGACAAUGCUACCUGCUAAAGCAGACAUCUUGCUGGUUACAGAGAGCUCCUCAGAGGAGGAUUCAGAGACUGAUGACCAGUCCUAUUUCCCCCCUGAGGUCUAUGCUCAAACUUGGCAGGGUUAUAUUACCCAUGUCAUGCAUGUUGUCUUGCAUUGCUUAGUUUUUACAUCAUAUAUGGAUUGCCAUCUGCUUACUUGCUUACUAUAUAAAUCAUAUAUUUGAAUUAUAUCAUGCCAUCAUGUUUACAUAGUACAUACACAUCAUCUAUCUGAAUUAUGGCAUGGCAACUCAUUUAAUAAAGACAUCAUAUAAUUAUAUCAUCUCAUCAUGUUUAGUGUUUACAGUCAUCAUAUUUUGAAUUAUGGCAUUCUAUCCGUGAAUGUAUGUGAAUUAUGGCAUGCCAACCUAUUUAAUAAACACAUUAUAUAGUUAUGUCAUGUCAUCCUGUUUACAUAGUCUCAUAUUUUGAACUAUGUCUUUCCAUCUUUUUUAGUUAGCCAUCAUAAUGUGAAGUUGUGUCAUGCUAUCCUGUUUAGUUAGCCAUCAUAUAUGUGAAAUUGUGUCAUGCUAUCCUGUUUGGUUAGACAACAUAAAUAUGAAUUAUUUCAUGCACUCCUUUAUUCCCCACUAUCCAUUGCACCUGUCUAUCAUACAAUGUCUAUACUUUCAAUUACUUUUCUUGUUUAUCAGCCAUUUGAAUUGGAGAGCGUGAUGGCAGUAUCUAAGGGAGUAACAACACGGUCUUUAGAAAAGAUAGUGCUACCAGUUGAUGCAGAUAGAACCAUGGUUGUACUUGCCCAAGGACCAGAUCCACCACACAUAACCCAGACUCUCGCAGAUUGUACCCCUACCCAGUUGGACAGAGAACCAGCUACACCCCUUCUAACCCCAACCCCGGUAGAUAGUAACCCAGUUCCAGUUGACACAACACCGUCCCCACCACAGAGCACCCAAACACGAGCAGUUAGUAAGGGAACUGCAGUGCCCAAAGCACGAGGACCACCACUCUGAAUCCCAAAUCAACACUUAAAGGAGAAGAAGAUUUGUUCUUAGGUCAGGUUCUAUAGCUAUGGUUCAUACUCCUUUGCUCUUGGAUUACUGUAUUUACUCAUACCAACUAUUUUCAAAUUUGAAGGAUGGAAUUGAAACUCCAAUGGCACAAUAGGUAUGUUUUAAACCUGUUUCGUUAACUGGUUUGCUGUUGUAACCUGCUCUAUGUUGAUUUCAGUUUCAAUUGAAUAAACAGUUAUGUUCUCAUGUCAUGCACAUUACAAGUGUUGUUAUUGCUCUAUAGUUACCCACACAUAUAUUCUGUCUAUUCUGCUUUGUCUUGAACAAAUAUUAUUUGGACUGUGUCUCUAUCUUGAUUUGGCAACAAAAACGAGAAUGAUUUAGACCAUAAAGUGACCAUGGUACAUAGAUAUAUGUUUGUUUCAUGCUGUUAUCCUGUCCACUUUACUACUGAACUCAUUUACCAAAAUGAGUUUUAUAUACAACAUGGUAAGCAUGUGAUGUGUCUGCUUGUUUCUCUUUUAGAAUGCAGACAAAAUAUUGGAGAACAGUACCGCGUUAUCCAAUGGUAAGGGGAGUAAUGCAGAUAAGGUUCAAGAUAGUGAGACAUCCCUGUUGGUCUCCAAGAAAGCUGAUAAAAACUAUCUUGACAACAAUGAGAGAACCCAAAAGUCCUGUCUUGAUGUAGUGUUCGAGUUACUGGCCACAACUGCUGGCACAAGCUCUUCGAACUCGCUGCCUGAAUCAGUUCGUCUUCUUGAGUCUCAACUACAAGUUGAAAGACAUCGAUCAGAUGUGCUGCGACAGGAAGCUGAAGGACUGAGGAAGUACCUGCAGAAUUCAGAAGCAUAUUUCCUAGUGCAACAGCAAGCGCUGGAGGAUUUAAGCGCCAAACAAGAGAAAGUUAAUAAGCUUGCUAAGCAUCUUACCAGCAUUAUGGGUACCCAGGAUAUUGUUUCUUGAGAUCUUAUGAAGUGGUUUCAGUUCUGGAUUUGUUUUGCUGCGGCGUUUAUUUGCGUUGGUCGCCAACUUUGACAACCAGUGUAUAUGAUAUGCUGCUUUGUUCCCUAUAUUUGCACUGGUGGCGAACUUUGAUGCCCAGUGGAUGUAAUAUGUCUAAUAGCCGUGAUAGCCUAACGUUAGUUGCUUGCUUAUCUAUUUCCUUGUUGUCUUGUUUUUUUGUUUGCUAGUAGUCAUUGCAGUUCUUUUCCCGCGGUUUGCUAGUGGCUGCAAUAACCUAUUUUUUAAAACUAGGCCACAAUAACCAUGGGCUAAUGUUUACUGUAGUGACACUAGGCCUCCUACUGGCCGUAGAAACAGUGGGCCUUCUACGGGUCAUAGAAACAAUGGGCCUUCUGCGGGCCGUAUCAUCAAUGGGCCUUAUACGGGCCGUAUGAUUGAUUGGCCAAACAUGGGCCAAACAGAUCGCAUUAUGGCCGUAAACGGGCUAGAGUUGGAAUCAUCCGUUCACGGGCCGACCAUAACGGACCAUCGUUAAUAGGCCGUAUUUGCUGAUGCUAUGAAAACAGCCCAACGUAUUAACGGACCACAAAUGGGCCGACUGUAACCACAGUCGUAAGUAAAUGAAUGCUGGAAAUGAGCCCAAGCAUAAAUGGGCUCUGAGAAGGCCGAAAGAUAACAUGGGUUGGAAACGGCCAACGGAAUAACGAGCCGUUAAUGGGUUUAAGGUGAUACACUGUUCAUUACGGGCCAGUUUCACCACGGGCCGUUAAUGGGUGUAAAGUGAUACACUAUUCAUUACGGGCCAGUUUCACCACGGGCCGUUAAUAGGCCAAGAGUUACAAAGGGCCUCAUAUGGGCCGAAAGACAUCAUGGGCCAGAAGUGAAAAUGGGCUGGAAUCAUAUUGGAUGGCCCAGAUGACGCUACUGGGCCUAAUUCGGAUAGGGCGUAACGGGCCUUGGGUUAGCAGGCUGUAAAUGGGCUAUAUGCGAACAGGCCGUUAACAGGCUUUCCAUGGGCCGACCUGCCACCUUUUGACCAAGUCAAACGAGCCGGCCUUUUCACAGGAAUGGGCCUCUGUUGGGCCGUGCCACGUGUCGACGUAUCAUAGGCACCUUCUGUCCAAUGAGUGGAUGACAUCUGUCCCAACAAUGAGCCGACACAUGUUUCCUCCAGCCAAUGAUGACUUUACACGUGCAAAAUCCCCAUUGGUCGGGGCUGUUAAUAGUUUAUCGGAUCCAAAACCCGACCCGAUAGCUUAACGGUGUUCCGUUACGGUGGAUGCCACGUGUCGGUCACCCUUGACGAAAGCACUUCUGUGAUGCGUGAUUUAUCGUCAUGGAAGUGGACACUUCCGUGAUGAUAAUUUUCGUAAUGUCAUUGAACACUUCUACGACAGCACAUGUAUGACUAUCUUGAUUCUGACAUAAAAUUGUCAUGGAUGUACAUGCAUGAUAAAAAAACGCGACCUACCGUGACAAACACGUAUCAUCAUGGAAGUGUAUUUUUUGUAGUGAAACCCCGUGAUACGAUACGCUCUAUCACACAUAAACCUCCUUAUAUCUUCCUCAAAACAGCCACCAUACCUACCUAUUAUGGCAUUUCCAUAGCCAUUCCGAGAUAUAUUGCCAUGCAACUUUCCACCAUUCUGUUUAUCAUCAUGACACACACUAUCAUUGUCAUAUUGCCUUGCAUGAUCAUGUAGUUGACAUCGUAUUUGUAGCAAAGCCACCAUGCAUAAUUUUUCAUACAUGUCACUCUUGAUUCAAUGCCCAUCCCGGUACACCGCCGGAGGCAUUCAUAUAGAGUCAUAUCUUGUUCUAGUUUUGGGUUGUUAUUCAUGAGUUGUAAAUAAAUAGAAGUGCGACGAUGAUCAUUAUUAGAGCAUUGUCCCCAAAUAAAAAAAAGGCCAAAAAAGAGAAAGGCCAAAAAAAAGGAAAGGCGCAAAAAAAGAAAAUAAAAAAGGGAGCAAUGUUACUAUCUUUUUCCACACUUGUGCUUCAAAGUAGCACCAUGUUCUUCAUAUAGCGAGUCUCAUAUGUUGUCACUUUCAUAUACUACUGGGAAUUUUUCAUUAUAGAACUUGGCUUGUAUAUUCCUACGAUGGGCUUCCUCAAAAUGCCCUAGGUCUUCAUGAGCAAGCAAUUUGGAUGCACACCCACUAGUUUCUUUUGUUGAGCCUUCAUACAUUUAGAACUCUAGUGCAUCCGUUGCAUGGCAAUCCCUACUCCUCAUGUUGACAUCAAUUGAUGGGCAUCUCCAUAGCCCGUUGAUUAUCCUCGUCAAUGUGAGACUUUCUCUUUUUUGUCUUCUCCACACAAUCCCCAUCAUCAUAUUCUAUUCCACCCAUAGUGCUACAUCCAUGGCUCACGCUCAUGUAUUGCGUGAAAGUUGAAAAAGUUUGAGAUUAUUUAAGUACGAAACAAUUGCUUGGCUUGUCAUCGGGGGUGUAUAAGAUGGGAGCAUUUUUGUGUGACUAAAUGAAGCAUAGCCUAACUAUAUGAUUUUGUAGGGAUGAACUUUCUUUAGCCAUGUUAUUUUGAGAAGACAUGAUUGCUUUGAUUAGUAUGCUUGAAGUAUUACUAUUUCUUAUGUCAUUAUGAAAUUUUAUUUUGAAUCAUUUGGAUCUGAACAUUCAUGCCACAAUAAAUAAAAUUACAUUGAGAAUUAUUCUAGGUAGCACUCCACAUCAAAAAUUCUAUUUUUAUCAUUUACCUACUCGAGGACGAGCAGGAAUUAAGCUUGGGGAUGCUUGAUACAUCUCCAACGUAUCUAUAAUUUUUGAUUGUUCCAUGCUAUUAUAUUACCCGUUUUGGAUGUUUAUGGGCUUUACUUUACACUUUUAUAUCAUUUUUGGGACUAACCUACUAACUGGAGGCCCAACCCGUACUGCUGUUUUUUUGCCUAUUUCAGUGUUUCGAAGAAAAGGAAUAUCAAACGGAGUCCAAACGGAAUGAAACCUUCGGGAGAGUGAUUUUUGGAACAAACUUGAUCUAGAGGACUUGGAGUGCAAGUCAAGAAGCAAUCGAGGCAGCCACGAGGGUGGAGGGCGCCCCCCCUACUGGGCGCGCACCCUAUCUCGUGGUCCCCUUGGGCAUCCACCGACCUACUUCUUCCUCCUAUAUAUACCCACGUACCCUGAGAACAUCAAAGGCAACCACGAAAAACUAUUGCACCACCGUAACCUUCUGUAUCCAUGAGAUCCCAUCUUGGAGCCUUCAUCGGCGCUCCGCCGGAGGGGGAAUCAACCACGGAGGGCCUCUACAUCAACACCAUAGCCUCUCCGAUGAGUUGUGAGUAGUUUACCACAGACCUUCGGGUCCAAAGUUAUUAGCUAGAUGGCUUCUUCUCUCUCUUUGAAUCUCAAUACCAUGUUCUCCUCGAUCUUCUUGGAGAUCGAUUCGAUGUAACUCUUUUUGCGGUGUGUUUGUCUCGAUCCAAUGAAUUGUGGGUUUAUGAUCAAGUUUAUCUAUGAGAAAUAUUUGAAUCUCCUCUGAAUUCUUUUAUGUGUGAUUAAGUUAUCUUUGCAAGUCUCUUUGAAUUAUCAGUUUGGUUUGGCCUACUAGAUUGAUCUUUCUUGCAAUGGGAGAAGUUCUUAGCUUUGGGUUCAAUCUUGCGGUGUCCUUUCCCAGUGACAGCAGGGGCAGCAAGGCACGUAUUGUAUUGUUACCAUCGAGGAUAAAAAGAUGGGGUUUAUAUCAUAUUUCAUGAGUUUAUCCCUCUACAUAAUGUCAUCUUUCUUAAUGCGUUACUCCCUUAUUUAUGAACUUAAUACUCUAGAUGCAUGCUGGAUAGCGAUCGAUGUGUGGAGUAAUAGUAGUAGAUGCAGGCAGGAGUCGGUCUACUUGUCACGGACGUGAUGCCUAUAUACAUGAUCAUGCCUAGAUAAUCUCAUAAUUAUUCGCUUUUCUAUCAAUUGCUCGAAAGUAAUUUGUUCACCCACCAUAAUACUUAUGCUAUCUUGAAAGAAGCCACUAGGGAAACCUAUGGCCCCCGGGUCUAUCUUUUAUCAUAUAAGCUUUCAAUCUACUUUUAUUUGCAUCUUUACUUUUCCAAUCUAUAUUAUAAAAUACCAAAAAUAUAUUUAUCUUAUCAUACUAUCUCUAUCAGAUCUCACUUUCGCAAGUGGCCGUGAAGGGAUUGACAACCCCUUUAUUGUGUUGGUUGCGAUUUCCUGUUUGUUUGUGUAGGUGCGUUGGACUUUUGAGGAACCUCUUACUGGAUUGAUACCUUGGUUCUCAAAAACUGAGGGAAAUACUUACGCUACUAUUGCUGCAUCACCCUUUCCUCUUCAAGGAAAACCAAUGCAAGCUCAAGACGUAGCAUGCCUAUAUACAUGAUCAUGCCUAGAUAUUCUCAUAACUAUGCACUUUUCUAUCAAUUGCUCGACAGUAAUUUGUUCACCCACCGUAAUACUUAUGCUAUCUUGAGAGAAGCCACUAGUGAAACCUGUGGCCCCCGGGUCUAUUUUCCAUCAUAUAAGUUUCUGAUCUACUUUAUUUUGCAAUCUUUACUUUUCAAUCUAUAUCAUAAAAAUACCAAAAAUAUUUAUCUUAUUAUUAUCUCUAUCAGAUCUCACUUUUGCAAGUGGCCAUGAAGGGAUUGACAACCCCUUUAUCGCGUUAGUUGCGAGGUUCUUGUUUGUUUGUGUAGGUACGAGGGACUUGCGUGUAGCCUCCUACUGGAUUGAUACCUUGGUUCUCAAAAGCUGAGGGAAAUACUUACGCUACUUUGCUGCAUCACCCUUUCCUCUUCAAGGGAAAACCAAUGCAGUGCUCCAGAGGUAGCAAGAAGGAUUUCUAGCGCCGUUGCCGGGGAGGUCUACGCACAAGUCAAGACAUACCAAGUACCCAUCACAAACUCUUCUCCUCGCAUUACAUUAUUUUCCAUUUGCCUCUCGUUUUCCUCUCCCCCACUUCACCCUUGCCGUUUUAUUCGCACUCUCUUUCCCGUUCGCCUCUUUUUCCGCUUGCUUCUUGUGGUACUUGCUUUCACUAUGUCUGAAACUGGGGAGGUUAUCAUUGAUAAGGACAAUAGUAAUAACAUGGGAAACUUUGAUGCUUUUGAUGAUCCUACUAAAGAAACCACUAUCUUACAUACUAAAAGAUUUUGAAUCGGUAGUGGUAAUAUUAUUGGAAAAGGGGUUAUUCAAGAUUUCUUUACUUGUGCCAGUGCUUUACCUUCUAUGGGUGGAUCUAUUCUUCAUAGAACUAGUAGUCUUGCAGAUGCUAUAUCCUUGAUUAUAGUUGAACUUGAAAGACAGUUUAUGCAUAUGCAUCCUUGCAUACAAAGGUUUUUCCUAGAAUUUUCCAAUAUUGAGCAUUCUUCUGUUAAGUGCGUAGCUACUAUCUUUUUGGCACAUGAGUUCAGAUUUAUAAUAAAAGAAGCCAAAGAAAUCUUUGCGCACUAUAGGGUGGACGCUGGUGGCCCUCCCAUAGAGGCGAUCCUUUUUAAUCAAGAAGACAUAAUGUGUUUACAAUCCUUAGAUCGUGUUGCUUUUAAUGAAAACCUUAGGAAAAAGGUUCCUACCGAUGUUCUAGUUGAUAGAAUCUCUAAACUUAAUGAUGAUUUUGCUAUUCAAAACAAUGGGUUAGGAUUUUCUCUUGAGCAAAGGCUCAUGACUUUUUGCCAAAAGAAUGCUUAUAAUGAUGAAUUGGUUGUGCAAUAUGAGGGGCCAAAGGAGGAACCCAUACCUCGCGAGCUUGAUCUUGGGGACUUUUGCCCAUUAAAUUUAGCCCUUUUGAUUACUUUUGCUUGCCACAAAGAAAACUUGCUGCUAAACGUAGGGAAUAUGAGAUGAGUUUUCGGGAUUUACCUUAUCAUUAUGGCAAUAGUUAGAUCUAUACUCACUUUUAUGCCUAGCAAGGGGCGUUAAACGAUAGCGCUUGUUGGGAGGCAACCCAAUUUUAUUUUUGUUCUUUACUUUUUGCUCUUGUUAAGUAUUAAAUAAUUCAUCUAGCCUUUGGUUAGAUGUGGUUUUAUGUUUUAGUUAGUGUUUGUGCCAAAUAGAACCUAUAGGAUCAUCUUGGGUGAUAGUUAAUUUGAUCUUGCUGAAAAACAGAAACUUUUGCACGCACGAGAAUAAUUUUAAUAAAUCAGAGAAACGUGCUUUUUAGUUGAUUAAUUUUUAAGAAGAUUAAUAGACAAAUUUCCUAGGACUACCUAUUUUGGUAGGAUUUUUAAGGUUCCAUAAGUAUUCUAAAGUUACAGAUUACUACACACUGUUCUGUUUUUGAUAGAUUCUGUUUUUCGUGUGUUGUUUGCUUAUUUUGAUGAAUCUAUGGCUAGUAUCGGGGGGUAUGAACCAUAGAGAAGUUGGAAUACAGUAGGUUUAACACCAAUAUAAAUAAAUAAUGAGUUCAUUACAGUACCUUAAAGUGGUGGUUUGCUUUCUUGCACUAACGGAGCUCAUGAGAUUUUCUGUUGAGUUUUGUGUUGUGAAGUUUUCAAGUUUUUGGUAAAGAUUUGAUGGAUUAUGGAAUAAGGAGUGGCAAGAGCCUAAGUUUGGGGAUGCCCAAGGCACCCCAAGAUAAAUUCAAGGACAACCAAAAGCCGAAGCUUGGGGAUGCCCCGGAAGGCAUCUCCUCGUCUUCAUCUAUCGGUAACUUUACUUGGAGCUAUAUUUUUAUUCACCACAUGAUAUGUGUUUUGCUUGGAGCGUCUUGUAUGAUAUGAGUCUUUGCUUUUUAGUUUACCACAAUCAUCCUUGCUGUACACACCUUUUGGGAGAGACACACAUGAAUCAGAAUUUAUUAGAAUACUCUAUGUGCUUCACUUAUCUUUUGAGCUAGAUAAUUUUGCUCUAGUGGUUCACUUACAUCUUUUUAGAUCAUGGCGGUGGUUUUAUUUUGUAGAAAUUAUUGAUCUCUCAUGCUUCACUUAUAUUAUUUUGAGAGUCUUUUAGAACAGCAUGGUAUUUGGGUUGGUUAUAAUAUUAGUCCUAAUAUGAUGGGCAUCCAAGUUGGGUAUAAUAAAAAUUGUCAUAGAAAGUGCAUGAAACACUAUGAGAAAUUUGAUACUUGAUAAUUGUUUUGAGAUAUAAAGGUGGUAAUGUUAUAGUCAUGCUAGUUGGGUAAUUAUGAAAUUGAGAAAUAAUUGUGUUAAAGAUGGCAAGUCCCGUAGCAUGCACAUAUGGUAAACGUUGUGUGACAAAUUUGUUGCAUGGGGUGUUCUUUUGAUUGCCUUCCUUAUGUGUGGAGGUCGGGAUCGCGCGAUGGUUAACUCCUACCAACCCUUACCCUAGAAGCAUGCGUAGUAGUACUUUGCUUCGAGGGCUAAUAAACUUCUGCAAUAAGUAUAUGAGUUCUUUAUGACUAAUGUGAGUCCAUGGAUUAUACGCACUCUCACCCUGCCACCAUUGCUAGCCUCUCUUGUGCCGUGCAACCUUCACCAGUAUCAUACACCCACCAUUUACCUUCCUCAAAAUAGCCACCAUACCUACCUAUUAUGGCAUUUCCAUAGCCAUUCCAAGAUAUAUUGCGAUGCAACUUUCCACCGUUCCGUUUAUUAUGACACGCUCCAUCAUUGUCAUCUUGCUUUUGCAUGAUCAUGUAGUUGACAUCGUAUUUGUGGCAAAGCCACCGUUAUAAUUCUUUCAUACAUGUCACUCUUGAUUCAUUGCAUAUCCCGGUACACCGCCGGAGGCAUUCACAUAGAGUCAUAUUUUGUUCUAAGUAUUGAGUUGUAAUUCUUGAGUUGUAAAUCAAUAAAAGUGUGAUGAUCUUCAUUAUUAGAGCAUUGUCCCAAGUGAGGAAAGGAUGAUGGAGACUAUGAUUACCCCACAAGUCAGGAUGAGACUCCAGACUUCAUGAAAAAUAAAAGAGGCCAAAGAAGCCCAAAUAAAAAAAUGAGGCCAAAGAAGCCUACCCAAAAUAUGAGAGAAAAAGAGAGAAGGGACAAUGUUACUAUCCUUUUUCCACACUUGUGCUUCAAAGUAGCACCAUGAUCCUCAUGAUAGAGAGUCUCCUAUGUUGUCACUUUCAUAUAGUAGUGGGAAUUUUUCAUUAUAGAACUUGGCUUGUAUAUUCCAAUGAUGGGCUUCCUCAAAAUGCCCUAGGUCUUCGUGAGCAAGCGAGUUGGAUGCACACCCACUUAGUUUCUUUUCUUGAGCUUUCACACAUUUAUAGCUCUAGUGCAUCUGUUGCAUGGCAAUCCCUCUUCACUCACGUUGAUAUCUAUUCAUGGGCAUCUCCAUAGGCCGUUGAUACGCCUAGUCAAUGUGAGACUUUCUCCUUUUUUGUCUUCUCCACACAACCUCCAUCAUCAUAUUCUAUUCCACCCAUAGUGCUAUAUCCAUGGCUUACGCUCAUGUAUUGCGUGAGAGUUGAAAACGCUGAAGCGCGUUAAAAAGUAUGAACCAAUUGCUUGGCUGAAACCGGGGUUAUGCAUGAUGGGAGUAUUUUGUGUGACAAAAAUGAAGCAUAGCCUAACUAUAUGAUUUUGUAGGGAUAAGCUUUCUUUGGCUACAUUAUUUUGAUAAGACAUGAUUACUUGUUAGUAUGCUUAAAGUAUUACUAUUUUUAUGUUAAUAUGAACUUUUAUUUUGAAUCAUUUGGAUCUGAACAUUCAUGCCACAAUAAGGAAAAUUACAUUGAGAAAUAUGCUAGGUAGCAUUCCACAUCAAAAAUUCUGUUUUUAUCAUUUACCUACUCGAGGACGAGCAGGAAUUAAGCUUGGGGAUGCUUGAUACGUCUCCAAGGUAUCUAUAAUUUUUUAUUGUUCCAUGCUAUAUAUUACCCGUUUUGGAUAUUUAUGGGCUUUACUAUACGAGGGCUAAUAAACUUUUGCAAUAAGUAUAUGAGUUCUUUAUGACUAAUGUGAGUCCAUGGAUUAUACGCACUCUCACCCUUCCACCAUUGCUAGCCUCUCUUGUGCUGCGCAACUUUCGCCAGUAUCAUACACCCACCAUUUACCUUCCUCAAAACAGCCACCAUACCUACCUAUUAUGGAAUUUCUAUAGCCAUUCCAAGAUAUAUUGCCAUGCAACUCUCCACCGUUCCGUUUAUUAUGACACGCUCCAUCAUUGUCAUAUUGCUUUUGCAUGAUCAUGUAGUUGACAUCGUAUUUGUGGCAAAGCUACCGUUAUAAUUCUUUCAUACAUGUCACUCUUGAUUCAUUGCAUAUCCUGGUACACCGCUGGAGGCAUUCACAUAGAGUCAUAUUUUGUUCUAAGUAUUGACUUGUAAUUCUUGAGUUGUAAAUCAAUAAAAGUGUGAUGAUCUUCAUUAUUAGAGCAUUGUCCCAAGUGAGGAAAGGAUGAUGGAGACUAUGAUUCCCCCACAAGUCACUAUGAGACUCCGGACCUCAUGAUAAAUAAAAGAGGCCAAAGAAGCCCAAAUAAAAAAGAGAGGCCAAAGAAGCCCACCCAAAAAAAUGAGAGAAAAAGAGAGAAGGGACAAUGUUACUAUGCUUUUUCCAGACUUGUGCUUCAAAGUAGCACCAUGAUCCUCAUGGUAGAGUCUCCUAUGUUGUCACUUUCAUAUACUUGUGGGAAUUUUUCAUUAUAGAACUUGGCUUGUAUAUUACAAUGAUGGGCUUCCUCAAAAUGCCCUAGGUCUUUGUGAGUAAGCGAGUUGGAUGCACACCCACUUAGUUUCUUUUGUUGAGCUUUCACACAUUUAUAGCUCUAGUGCAUCUGUUGCAUGGCAAUCCCUACUCACUCACGUUGAUAUCUAUUAAUGGGCAUCUCCAUAGGCCGUUGAUACGCCUAGUCAAUGUGAGACUUUCUCCUUUUUUGUCUUCUCCACACAACCUCCAUCAUCAUAUUCUAUUCCACCCAUAGUGCUAUAUCCAUGGCUUACACUCACGUAUUGCGCGAGAGUUCAAAACGCUGAAGCGCAUUAAAAAGUAUGAACCAAUUGCUUGGCUGAAACCGGGGUUGUGCAUGAUGGGAGUAUUUUGUGUGGCGAAAAUGAAGCAUAGCCUAACUAUAUGAUUUUGUAGGGAUAAGCUUUCUUUGGCUAAGUUAUUUUGAUAAGACAUGAUUACUUGUUAGUAUGCUUGAAGUAUUACUAUUUUUAUGUUAAUAUGAACUUUUGUUUUGAAUUAUUUGGAUCUGAACAUUCAUGCCACAAUAAAGAAAAUUACAUUGAGAAAUAUGCUAGGUAGCAUUCCACAUCAAAAAUUCUGUUUUUAUCAUUUACCUACUCGAGGACGAGCAUGAAUUAAGCUUGGGGAUGCUUGAUACGUCUCCAAGGUAUCUAUAAUUUUUGAUUGUUCCAUGUUAUUAUAUUACCCGUUUUGGAUAUUUAUGGGCUUUACUAUACACUUUUAUAUCAUUUUUUGGACUAACCUAUUAACCAGAGGCCCAACCCAAAUUGCUGGGUUUUUUUUGCCUAUUUUAGUGUUUCGAGAAAAGGAAUAUCAAACGGAGUCCAAAUGGAAUGAAACCUUCGGGAGAGUUAUUUUUGAAAUAAACGCAAUCCAGGAGACUUGGAGUGGACGUCAAGAAGCAAACAAGGCGGCCAUAAGGCAGGGAGGCGCGCCCUAGGGGGGUGGGCGCACCCCCCACCCUCGUGGGCCCCUCGUGGCUCCCCUAACCGACUUCCUUCGCCUAUAUACAUCUACAUACCCUGAAAACAUCUAGGAGCACCAAGAAACCCAAUUUCCACGACCGCAACCUUUUGUACCCGUGAGAUCCCAUCUUGGAGCCUUUUCUGGCGCUCCGCCGGAGGGGGAAUCGAUCAUGAGGGGCUUCUACAUCAACACCAUAGCCUCUCCGAUGAGUUGUGAGUAGUUUAUCACAGACCUUCGGGUCCAUAGUUAUUAGCUAGAUGGCUUCUUCUCUCUCUUGAAUCUCAAUACAAAGUUCUCCUCGGUCUUCUUGGAGAUCUAUUUGAUGUAACUCUUUUUGUGGUGUGUUUGUCGAGAUCCAUGAAUUGUGGGUUUAUGAUCAAGUUUAUCUAUGUGAAAUAUUUGAAUCUCCUCUGAAUACUUUUAUGUAUGAUUGGUUAUCUUUGCAAGUCUCGAAUUAUCAAUUUGGUUUUGCCUACUAGAUUUAUCUUUCUUGCAAUGGGAGAAGUGCCUAGCUUUGGGUUCAAUCUUGCGGUGUCCUUUCCCAGUGACAGCAGGGGCAUCAAGGCACGUAUUGUAUUGUUGCCAUCGAGGAUAAAAAGAUGGGGUUUAUAUCAUAUUGCUUGAGUUUAUCCCUCUACAUCAUGUCAUCUUGCCUAAUGCGUUACUCUGUUCUUAUGAAUUUAAUACUCUAGAUGCAUGCUGGAUAGCGGUCGAUGUGUGGAGUAAUAGUAGUAGAUGCAGGCAGGAGUCGGUCUACUUGCGCGGACGUGAUGCCUAUAUACAUGAUCAUGCCUAGAUAUUCUCAUAACUACGCACUUUUCUAUCAAUUGCUCGACAGUAAUUUGUUCACCCACCGUAAUACUUAUGCUAUCUUGAGAGAAGCCACUAGUGAAACCUAUGGCCCCCGGGUCUAUUUUCCAUCAUAUAAGUUUCCCAUCUACUUUAUUUUGCAAUCUUUAGUUUUCAAUCUAUAUCAUAAAAAUACCAAAAAUAUUUAUCUUAUUAUUAUCUCUAUCAGAUCUCACUUUCGCAAGUGGCCGUGAAGGGAUUUACAACCCCUUUAUCGCGUUGGUUGCGAGGUUCUUGUUUGUUUGUGUAGGUACGAGGGACUUCCAUGUAGCCUCCUACUGGAUUGAUACCUUGGUUCUCAAAAGCUGAGGGAAAUACUUACGCUACUUUGCUGCAUCACCCUUUCCUCUUCAAGGGAAAACCAACACAGGGCUCAAAAGGUAGCAAUGGUUUGUCCACUGAAUCUCACAUUCCAGGAUCCUAGAAUUUAUAGCAUGAAAUAUAAACUCUUAAUAAUGAACCUGGAAAUAUAAUAAUAUAAUAUUAUUGCCUCUAGGGCAUAUUUCCAACAUUAUUCCACUUGCACUAUUGUCAAUAAUCUAGUUAGCACAUUUUUAUUUACACUAAUGGCAGUCUGGUGUUUGUCCAUACUCAGCUUGUGGUAUAGCCUUCAUCCCAUUGGAUCUUGACAACUUCAGAUCCACAUGUAUCAUAUGCAUUUCAAUGCCUCUAUCAUGAUGGCUUUGUAUGUACUGAAUCACUAGAAGGACCUAUGAUUCCUUGGACUGAGCUAUGGAACCACUAUUAAGUAUAGUGUUUCAUUGGCACAAUCAUCUAGAAAUCAUAACAAGCUCAUAAAUGAAAGUGUUAUUGAUCACUCUCCAUUGUUGCUUCUAAAGCAACAAUCUACUCAGCCCUCUAUUAUAGAUUUCACCACAGUAACCAACAACCCAACAAACACACUACAAAAAAGAUUACAUUGGAUAGAACUCCAAGAAGAUCGAGUAGAACAUUGUAUUGAAGAUCAAAUCACUACAAAAAAAUACACUUCCGUGAUGAUACGUGUUUGUCACAGUAGGUCGCAUUUUUUGCCAUGCAUGUACAUCCAUGACGAUUUUAUGAUAGAAUCAAGAUAGGCGUACCUGUGCUGUCGUAGAAGUGUUCCAUGACAUUACCAAAAUUAUCAUCACGGAAGUGUCCACUUCCAUGAUGAUAAAUCGCGCGUCAUAGAAGUGCUUUCAUCAAGGGUGACCGACACGUGGCAUCCACCAUAACAGAACGCCCUUAAGCUAUCGGGUCGGGUUUUGGAUCCGAUGACCCAUUAACAGCCCUAACCAAUGCGGAUAUUCUACGUGUAAAAUCAUCAUUGGCUGGAGGAAACACGUGACGGCUCAUCGUUGGGACAGAUGUCAUCCACUCAUUGGACAGAAGGCGCCUAUGAUACGUCAACACAUGGCACGGCCCAACAAAGGCCCAUUACUAUGAAAAGGCCGGCCCGUUUUACUUGGUCAAAAGGUGGCGGGCCGGCCCAUGGAAAGCGUGUUAACGACAUGUUCGCAUAUAUCCCAUUUACAGCCCGCUAACCCAAAGCCCGUUACGCCCUAUCCGAAUUAGGCCCAGUAGCAUCAUCUGGGCCAUCCAAUAUGAUUCCAGCCCGUUUUCACUUCUGGCCCGUGACGUCUUUCGGCCCAUAUGAGGCCCUUUGUAACUCUAGGCCUAUUAACGGCCUGUGGUGAAACUGGCCCGUAAUGAACAGUGUAUCACUUUACACCCAUUAACGGCCGGUGGUGAAACUGGCCCGUAAUGAACAGUGUAUCACCUUAAACCCAUUAACGGCCCGUUAUUCCGUUGGGCCGUUUCCAGCCCAUGUUAUCUUUCGGCCUUCUUAGAGCCCAUUUAUUCUUGGGCUCAUUUCCAACAUUCGUUUACUUACAGCCCAUUACUGCCAUUUUCUGCUUGUGGGCCAAAUUCAACCUGUGGUUACAGUCGGCCCGUUUGUGGUCCGUUAAUACGUUGGGCCAUUUUCAUAGCAUCAUCAAAUACGGCCUAUUAACGAUGGCCCGUUAUGGUCGGCCCAUGAACGGACGAUUCCAACUCUAGCCCGUUAACGGCCAUAAUGCGGUCUAUUUGGCCCAUGUUUGGCCAAUCGAUCAUACGGCCCGUAUAAGGACCAUUGAUGAUACGGCCCAAAGAAGGCCCAUUGUUUCUAUGGCCCGUAGAAGGCCCAUUGUUUCUACGGCCCAUAGAAGGCCCACUGUUUCUACGGCCAGUAGGAGGCCCAGUGUCACUACAGUAAUUAUUAGCCCAUGGUUAUUGUGGCCUAGUUUUAAAAAAUAGGUUAUUGCAGCCACUAGCAAACCGCGGAAAAAGAACUGCAAUGACUACAAGCAAACAAAUAAACAAGACAACAAGGAAAUAAAUAAGCAAGCAACUAAUGCUAGGCUAUCACGGCUAUUACACAUAUUACAUCCACUGGGCAUCAAAGUUCGCCACCAGUGCAAAUAUAGGGAACAAAGCAGCAUAUCAUAUACACUGGUUGCCAAAGUUGGCGACCAACACAAAUAAACACCGCAGCAAAACAAAUCCAGAACUAAAACAACUUCAGAAGAUCUCAAGAAACAAUAUCCUGGGUACCCAUAAUGCUGGCGAGAUGCUUAGCAAGCUUGUUAACUUUCUCUUGUUUGGCGCUUAAAUCCUCCAACGCUUGCUGUUGCACCAGGAAAUAUGCAUCUGAAUUCUGCAGGUACUUCCUCAGUCCUUCAGCUUCCUGUCGCAGCACAUCUGAUCGAUGUCUUUCAACUUGAAGUUGAGACUCAAGAAGACGAACUGAUUCAGGCAGCGAGUUCGAAGAGCUUGUGCUUGCAGUAGUGGCCAGUAACUCGAACACUACAUCAAGGCAGGACUUUUUGGGUUCUCUCACUAUCGUCAAGAUAGUUUUUAUCACCUUUCUUGGAGACCAACAGGGAUGUCUCACUAUCUUGAACCUUAUUUGCAUUACUUCCUUUACCAUUGGAUAACGCGGUACUGUUCUCCAAUAUUUUGUCCGCAUUCUAAAAGAGAAACAAGCAGACACAUCACAUGUUUACCAUGUUGUAUAUGAAACUCAUUUUGGUAAAUGAGUUCAGUAGUAAAGUGGACAGGAUAACAGCAUGAAACAAAUGUAUAUCUAUGUACCAUGGUCACUUUAUGGUCUAUAUCAUUCUAGUUUUUGUUGCCAAAUCAAGAUAGAGACAUAGUUCAAAUAAUAUUUGUUCAAGAUACAUCAGAAUAGACAGAAUAUAAGUGUGGGUAACUAUAGAGAAAUAACAACACUUGUAAUGUGCAUGACAUGAGAACAUAACUGUUUAUUCAAUUGAAACUGAAAUCAACAUAGAGCAGGUUACAACAGCAAACCACUUAAAGAAACAGGUUUAAAACUUACCUGUUGCGCGAUUGGAGUUUCAAUUCCAUCCUUCAAAUUUGAAAAUAGUUGGUAUGAGUAAAUACAGUAAUGCAAGAGCAAAGGAGUAUGAACCAUAGCUACAGAACCUAACCUAAGAACAAAUCUUCUUCUCCUUUAAGCGUUGAGUUGGGAUUCGGAGUGGUGGUCCUCGUGCUUUGGGCACUGCAGUUCCCUUACUAACUUCUCGUGUUUGGGUGCUCUGUGGUGGAGACGGUGUUAUGUCAACUGGAACUGGGUUACUAUCUGCCGGGGUUGGGGUUAGAAGGGGUGUAGCUGGUUCUCUGUCCAACUGGGUAGGGGUACAAUCUUCGAGAGUCUGGGUUAUGUGUGGUGGAUCUGGUCCUUGGGCAAGUACAACCAUGGUUCUAUCUGCAUCAACUGGGAGCACUAUCUUUUCUGAAGACCGUGUUGUUACUCCCUUAGAUACUGCCAUCACGCUCUCCAAUUCAAAUGGCUGAUAAAAAAGAAAAGUAAUUGAAAGUAUAGACAUUGUAUGAUAGACAGGUGCAAUGGAUAGCGGUGAAUAAAAGAGGGCAUGAAAUAAUUCAUAUUUAUGUUGUCUAACCAAACAGGAUAGCAUAGCACAAUUUCACAUAUAUGAUGGCUAACUAAACAGGAUAGCAUGACACUAUUUCACAUUAUGAUGGCUAACUAAAAAAGAUGGAAAGACAUAGUUCAAAAUAUGAGACUAUGUAAACAGGAUGACAUGACAUAACUAUAUAAUGUGUUUAUUAAAUAGGUUGGCAUGCCAUAAUUCACAUACAUUCACGGAUAGAAUGCCAUAAUUCAAAAUAUGAUGACUGUAAACACUAAACAGGAUGAGAUGAUAUAACUAUAUGAUGUCUUUAUUAAAUGGGUUGCCAUGCCAUCAUUCAGAUAGAUGAUGUGUAUGUACUAUGUAAACAUCAUGGCAUGAUAUAAUUCAAAUAUAUGAUUUAUAUAGUAAGAAAGUAAGCAGAUAGCAAUCCAUAUAUGAUGUAAAAACUAAGCAAUGCAAGACAACAUGCAUGACAUGGGCAGUAUAACCCUGCCAAGUUUGAACAUAGACCUCAGGGGGGAAAUAGGACUGGUCAUCAGUCUCUGAAUCCUCCUUUGAGGAGCUCUCUGUAACCAGCAAGAUGUCUGCUUCAGUAGGUAGCAUUGUCUGCUCUGAAUACCUUGUUUUCACUCCAGAUACUUCCAUCACCGCUUCAAAUGGCUGAUGCACAGGAAGAGUACUUGAAUAUACAAACGUUGUCGACAAAUGGAACACGUAAUACAAAAAAACGAUAGCAUGAUAUAAUUCACAUACAUGAUGAUUGGCUAAACAGCAUGGCAUUGCAUAAUUCACAUAUAUAAUGCCUUUGCAACAAGUUAGCAUUGUAUAAUUCACAUAUAUAAUGUCUUGCAACAAGAUGGCAAUGCAUAAUUCACAUAUAUGGUAAUUAGACACUGAACAUGUGGCAUUCACACAAAGCAUGUCUAAACUAAUCAAAUGACAUAGCAAUGCGAGACACCAUACGCACGAUAUGAGCAACAUAACCCUGCCAAGUUAGAGCAUACACCUCGAGGGAGGGGGGAAUAGGACUGGUCAUCUGUCUCUGAAUCCUCCUCUGAGGAGCUAUCCGUAACCAGCAAGAUAUGCGCUUCGUCGGAUAGCAUAGUCUGCUCUGAAGACCUUGUUUUCACUCUAGAAUUUGCCAUCAUCAUGUCAAAUGGCUGAUGCACACGAAGAGCAGUUGAAUGUACUAACAUUGUUGACAAAUGUAAUAUGUAACGAAAAAAAGGAUGACUAAUAUAACUUACAUAUAAGAUGACUGGCUAAGCAAGAGGGCAUUGCAAAAUUCACAUAUAUGAUGCCUGGCUAAACAAGAUGACGUUGCAUAAUUCACAUAAACGAUGAAUAAACUAAACAGAUGGCAUUCCCACAAAGGAUGUCUAAACUAAGAUGAUGACAUAUUUGAUGUAUAAAGUAAGCAAUGCAAGCCACCAUAUGCAUGAUAUAACCAACAUCAGCAUGCCAAGUUAGAGGGAAGACCUCAUGGGGUAAAUAGGAGUUGUCUUCUCCUUCUGAAUCACCCUCAGAACAGAUAUCUUCCUCUCGAUUACAAUCCGAAAUGUGUGGAGGGGGGCUGCCUUUGUGCCUACCAUGGAGCGACGUCUGCAUGAAAUUUUAUUGCCAUGCAAGGCUCAUCUCUUUUGCUCUACAUGUUCAGUUCCAUUGUUACAAUAACUAUCAUGCAUAGGAAUAAAACAUAGUGAGAUUAUGUAAGGAGUGCAUGCAGAAAACCAGAGUGAUGGUAGCAACCUGUGGAUAGACCCAAAACCAAUAAUAGCAGACAGAUAAUGGCUUCGGUUAAAAAAUAUAGAUAAUGGCUUCUUUACUGUUUGUUUCCCACCCAGCAUGAAACUCAUAGUAGACAUCGGAGAUUAACCAGAUAGUAGAUAGAUACUAUUGAUAGCAUCCCCGAUAUGUACCCCACAACCAUUUAAAAACUCAAGUUUGACCAUUAAUUUGGAGCUGACCCAGAGUCUAAUCGGUGAACAGGAGGAUAAAGUAGCAUGUAAUAUUAAGCGAUGCAUAACGUAAGCAGACACGAAAGAGUGUGACCUCUCUUGCGGACCCGUGUAGUCCUCGAGGUCAUCUGCUCGGUUGAUGAUGGUAAUGCAGUUUUCAUGGCUGCCGGCAGCGGGGAAGAAGAUCUGAGGCGGCGAAAUACAGUCUGGAGGUCGGAUCCCUACUGUGCUGGACCCUUCUGUCGUUGUAGCAGCUGAGCUGGGGUGGACGGCGGCGCAACAGGAGCGGGACAAACCACACAAGGUUUUCUUUGACAACUACCUGUAAGAGAAGUAAAUCCGUAAGGGCUCGUUUGAAUUGGAGGAUUCCAACAAUGCAGGGAUAGGAAAUAGAAAGGAAUGGGAUAGGAAUGCACGUGCAAAACGGAGAAUUUAAAAACACAUGAUUUAUGCCAAUCUGGGUGUUUGAUUCACAACAAUUGGAAGAUCACAGGAUGCAAAGAAGCACGGUGAGAUUAAGUCAAACCACACGAAAAUGUACGGUUAUAAUGCUAUUAUGCUACUAUCUCUUAGUCUUGUGCUUCAUGAAUAGGAAUUUGAAAAGGAGGACAAGUGAAAAUUCAAAUUCCUACAUUUUUUCUUUCAAGGAGACACUAAAGGAACAAAUCCGUGUGCUCAGUGGACAAUAUAUAUAACAUGUAGAGUAAAAAAGAGAUGCAACAAGUGUACAACCUCUUUGGCGAAGCCAUGUUGAUCUCAGCGUGAUUGGGUUGGCCGGUGAGGAAGCUCUGGCUGACUUUACUGUCGGAGGAGGGGAAGAAGAUCUUAGGCAUCUGGAGAUGGAGCCCGAGGUACUGCUCCGCUGUGAUGGAGGGUUUCGUCGUUGGAGCAGCUCUGGUGAGUUGUACGACGCCGAGGCUGAAGCAGGACAAGAGAGACAAUGAACAACCUUAACCUGAGUGGAAUUCUAAUAGCAUCUCCAAUACAUGACGUAAAAUACAUAACCACAAAGUGCUAGAUGUAAAAUACAUCAACCGCUCAUCUCUGAACUUAACUGUCCAAACUGAAUUAACUGUCGAAACUGAACUUAACUGUCAAAACUGAAUUUUGCUGUCGAAACUGAACGCACUAGCAAGGUGAGGCUACACGUCGGUCGACUGACUUUUUCAUCUCUGGUCAGUCGAUUUUGCAGCCGUUGGAUACGAAAUCAAGGGCCUGCGAUUCAUCUUCAACAUCCACCCCCCUGAGCCGCCAGCCACCACCGGCCAAACAACAGCCCCCCGCCGCCCGCGGCCCGAGGUACUCUGCCCCGCCCACCCCGAAAAAACUCCCCACCACCGGUUCGCCGCCGCCCCGGCCAUCCCUGUAGGUCCCCCCAUGCCGAGCUUUUUCUCCAGCGAUCCCCAUGCCACCGCCCCGCCAACGCCCUGCCACCGCCGGCGACCACCGCCCCCACCCUGAACNNNNNNNNNNNNNNNNNNNNNNNNNNNNNNNNNNNNNNNNNNNNNNNNNNNNNNNNNNNNNNNNNNNNNNNNNNNNNNNNNNNNNNNNNNNNNNNNNNNNNNNNNNNNNNNNNNNNNNNNNNNNNNNNNNNNNNNNNNNNNNNNNNNNNNNNNNNNNNNNNNNNNNNNNNNNNNNNNNNNNNNNNNNNNNNNNNNNNNNNNNNNNNNNNNNNNNNNNNNNNNNNNNNNNNNNNNNNNNNNNNNNNNNNNNNNNNNNNNNNNNNNNNNNNNNNNNNNNNNNNNNNNNNNNNNNNNNNNNNNNNNNNNNNNNNNNNNNNNNNNNNNNNNNNNNNNNNNNNNNNNNNNNNNNNNNNNNNNNGCAGCAUCGCAAGCAAGAGCAAGAGCGAGAGCAGCAGCGCAAGCAAGAGCAAUAGCAAGAGCAGACCAGGCAGGGGACCGAGAGCAAGAGCAGAGCAGCAGCGCGAGCGAGAGCUAAAGCAGUAGCAGCUCCUAUUGAUGUGGACAACGCCGCCGAGGGAGCGACGUCGUGGAGGAAGUGGCCGGCGAUGCCAUCGUGGAUGGAGCCACGCCGUGUCGGCUCAGGACCGAGCGCCGGCAGCACCGUGAGAUCGAAUCAAGAAGAAAAUGCAGCGACUAGUGUACAACCUCUUUGGUGGCACCGAUUAGGCCGUAGUUUCAUCUGAGGAAACAGUGAUGAUGAUGCUCUUCCGGUGGUGCAGGUGAAGACGAUGGUGUGGAAAUGGAGGUGGCGCAAAAGAUGAGGGGAACAUCGGGGUAGCUCCUUGGAGGUGGAGGACGGGGUGGCUGAACUGGCGGGACGACGAGAUCGACGAUGGAUCCUCAUGCCGUACGAUGGAUGAGGGAUGUCCACGUGUUGUCGACGUUGUCGUCGGGGAAGAGGCUCCGACUGGGUGGCGGACGGAGCAGGGUGUGGGGUUUCAUCGCGGGUUUUCGCGGCCUCGGUGUAUGAAUGGGUGGGCGGAUGGGAUGACAGUGGGGAACCAUGGCUUAGGGACACGCUUGUCCGAAAUGUGGGGUAAGUUACGAAAGUACCCCCACCGAUUUGAGGCGGUUCUUUCGGUUCAGGGGUACCACGGGCAUUUCGCGUGUCAGAAUUUCACAGGAGGUGGGAGUUUUCGCGUGCGUUAUAAUUUUGAAAUAGCAAGGCGCGGGUUGAGAUGGAGGGAGUUGUCGGAGCACAACGAGACAAAGAUAUAUCUUAAAUAUUUCGGGCUAACAAGGAGCGGGUUGAAAUUUCCGGACAAGCCUAACGUGUACUGUACCAAAUCAAUGCGCACUACAAAUGUCAUUCAAAACUUUGAAUUCAUGUUAUGUUCAAUUAAAAUAUUUCGCUACGUGUAUAAUGCAUGCAACCUACUAAUCAAAUGAACGUUUUAGGGCAUUCCAAACUUAUAUACUACCGCUUCAAUAUGAACUAAAUUUGAAUUCGGUUCUCUAUUUGAAUAAGAUCUAUAGUAAUGAUUGUUGUGAAGUCAAAGCAUUUGAAUUCGUUUCUCUGUUUUAGUAAGAUCUACAAUCAUCAUUAUUGUCAAGUUAAACCAUCGUUUUUGUAUUAUCUUCACAGCACACCACAUGAUUAGUCUCGAGUUACAUAUGAACUAUGUGUACUAUAUGAACUCGAACUUGAUUUUUUGAAUCCACUUUAUUUUAAUUUCAAAUCACAUUACAUUUCUAGCUCUAGCUAGAUCUUCAUAAUCUAAACCAUGUCUCAUAUGUAUAAUGUGUUUAUGACAUUAUGUAAGGUGCCCCGCCCCCUACGCCUACAAUUAUUUAGAUGUGAGUUGCAAACACCACACAUUACCACAAAUUCAAAUAAAAUGUGAGAAUGUUCGAUAUAUAGUAUUGUUUAGAUUGUUCGAUAUUUAGUUGUAAGCUGCAAACGCCACACAUUAUCACAAAUUCAAAUAAAAUGUGAGAUUGUUUGAUGUAUAGUAUGGUUUAGAUUGUUCGGCAUUUAGCUGUGAGUGCAAACGCCAUGGAUUAUCACAUUAUGGUAUAACAUGUGCACAACACGUGUAUCACCGCUAUAUCCAUGCAUGCAAUGUUUAAAACACUAUGAUCUCCUAUUCAAAUAUAUGAAUGCGCUUUCAUAUCAAAUUAUGAUUUUUGUUAGUCUCUUACACCCACACAAUCCUCUAACCUUUGUAGCUACCACUAACUUUCUCUCGUGCAUGCACACGCCCUCCUCCCCCUCCCCCUCCCUCGGCAUUCUAUCCACCGGGCACAUUCAUAUUUUUUCUUUAGGUCGUUCUCCCAUAGUCUCCACAACUCCUCUCCGACACACACCGAUUGAUAAACCUCUCCAGCGAUGCCUGCCUACAACAUACACACACACCUUCAACCUCCUCCUUUAUGUGUCCUUGCCUCGUGUCUCUCAUACGGUCACACACACGUGUAAACUCCCGCCCCUCUUUUCAUUGGUCUCACAACCGCACACUCCUCCCCCUAUCUAGCUAGUAGUUGGGCCUCUCGCACCACCUCCUAGCUCCAUUCUCUCUGUCUAUCCUUCUCGCUGGGCCUUAUUUGCCUCUAACAAAUGGACGUACACCGACCGAUCUCUCGCUAUACAUAUAGCUAGCUAGGUCCUUAUAACUCGUUUUUACCCAUGCGUCGAUCGAUCUACCACAUUAGUUGUGUCUCUCCCUUCCUCCGACAAACAACAAUUGAUCUACCGAUCUAGUUAGGUUUGCUUACCAAAUGCAUGGUUCCCCUUCAUCAUCCAUGGAUGCGUCCCGACAGAUCUAUCAUGCACAGGCACACACAGAAACACAUCCCCACUCUUAUUGAUAACAUUGCAGCUCCACCCUCAGUUUGUCUUGUACGCCUCUCCCACCAUCUCCGAGAAGCAACUCCAUCACCCAUCCAGCACUCUACCCCUCUCCCUCCCUCUCCCUCCCUCUCUCUCUCUAUCCUCUCUCUCUCUCUCUCUGUCCCAUCAUAUUUCCCGUCCUUCAGUUAUGUAUGGAUGUCGACCGAUAUCCCUCAAGACAUAGCUGGGUAUCUCCUUCUCAACACAUAUAUGAGUCGUUCUACCUAUAUAGUUAGGCCUCUGCCUACCCCUCCCCCCACAUACACCGAUACAUCGAGCGCUCUAGUCAUGUCUCCCUGCCACACGCAAAUUUGACAUGUGCCCUCUAAUGUUCCGGUAGGCCAGUCGCCCUAUAUCUUUGACUUGCACACACACGCAAUUUCGAUGGCUCUCUUCAUCGAAGUCGCACCCACCCACUUGAUCCUCUCUUUGACUCUAUCGAUAGCUAUGACCCCUCCCUCUCUUCGCGUGGAUUGCCCGACCCUCUAUGUAUGAUAUGGAUAGGCCUCCAUUUCACACACAUUGCAUGCACAAUUUUGUUUGAGAUGUCAUCGACACGUAUACCCACAAAUAAUUCACGAAAUCAACCCCCCACCCCACCCCCAACCCCCACCCCAAAACAAAAAACACUCACGAACGCGGUUUAUAUCUCUCACACACACCCACAUAGGUGGGGGAGGUGCACGAAGAGAAGAGGUGCAUGCACAGCGCACGUACUCCCGUCUCUUUCCCAACCACACCCGCGCGGGUACACGGUGGAGCUCAUUUCUGUACGAAAAAGGCAGCCCAUGUGGUAAUUUGGCACGUGUACUGGUUGUCCACUUGGUGGAGGGAGGAUUGUCUACCACGGGUGAACAAACAAAUUGCGACUUGACGCGUUAUGUUAAAUUAAAAUAAGAGGCAAACCAUGUGGGGCCUACCUUAGAGGCAAGGCUCUAUGCACUGAACUACUUUUGAUGUGUCCCGUCAACUCGCAGAACGAGGAGAACCUUGCUUAGUACGCCAUCUCCCCCGCCCACGGGCGCGGUGGCUUGCAGGAUGAGGUGAAGCUUGCUCCGCCUUAUGCCCGCUCCCUCGCCCAUGCGCGCAGUGGCUCGCAGGACGAGGAGAAAAAUUUACUACUCCCUCCGUUUACUCCUCGUCCCUACUACCUUGGUUAUAGAGAUUAUAUCAUAUUGUUUGGAAUAUAUAUGUCCUUUAGUAGAUUUCAAUAUGAACUACUAGUACAUACUCCAAACACUGAUGUAUAUAGACGUAUUUUAGACUGUAGAUUCACUCAUUUUGCUCUGUAUGUAGCACUCGCCCUCGCCCGUCGACCCUUGCCCACGUGGUGGACGUGCAGCAAUUCAUUCGGUCUCAUAUAGCCAGAACGAUAUAUACUGCACUACCAUUAUUGCUUGACUUCCCGAAGAGGCGAAGAGCCAAUCGCAAGGUUAAUAUUUUGGAGAUGCCAAGCGCAAGGUUAUAGGAGAACGAGUAGUAGGUGCCGCAUCAUUUAUAAAUAAAGUUUUUUUUCUUCAGUGGCACAUACGCAAUAUGAUAGGUUCAUAUGGAGAGAAAAGGAAACCGCUCCACUAUAUACAUAGUCAGGACGGGCCAGCCUACACGGUUGCUUGCUGGGGUUGCUCUAUUCACACUCUCUCGCACAAAAUGACUGUGGCCACAUCUCUAACAUCUCGGCGGAUCACGUCUGCAUGGGGAAGGGGUGGAUGCUUAGUGUAGAUGCGGUGGCCGUCGCCGACGGUGAUAACCCACUGUCGGCACAUCCCGAUCAGGGGUCCCCGCCGUUUUCUCUCACAAAGCCGGUGAGGUUGCCUUCGUCCCUUGCUCACUGCCGCAACAUGGGCAGUUGCCACCUCCCGCCACCCUCCUCAAGGUUGAGCUACGUCCCUCAGGUACAACUCCCUUUACAGUCGGCUUGCACCACUGCUCCAGCUGCCCACAUCACUCCAUGUGGAUAUUUCUCUACUUCUUUGCCCCGCGCAUACCUCUACUGGCUCUACAUACUGUAUUUGUGAUGAUUUUAUGUCUUAUCAACUAGUCCCAGUAAUCUUAUAGUAAUCACGCUUCUUCAAUUUCUUUGCCACGGGGAUGCUCAUCUCGAUUUUGGUGAAACUGCACAAAAUGACCCGAUGGUCAAAAGGUUGCAAACUUCAUUUAUUAGGAAGCUCGAACGUUGCCAGCAAAUUGAAGCCUGGUCUGGGUUCACGGUUCAGGGCUAGGGACUGCAUGGAUCAUUUUUUUUCUUUAGCUGCCUCUGUUCCAAAAUAAGUGUCAACUUUAGUAGUAGUACAACUUUGUACUAAAGUUUGCACAAAGUUGAGACACUUAUUUUCGAACAAAGGGAGUACAUAUUUGCUAUGAUCUGUCAAUCAUUGAGAUGCAAUAGCAUGCAUGUUACUCUCCUUUGUAUUUGAUGAAAUGUUGCAACGGGCAACCUUGGACGCAAGAUACAUGUAACAGAAGCUAGAAGCUUCAUAGCAUUGUACAAAUUUAUCUCGCUGAUAAAUUACAGUACGUACUAUACUAGUACUUCCUCCGUUCCUAAAUAUAAGUCUUUGUAGAGAUUUCACAAUGAACCACAUGCGGAUGUAUAUAGAUGCAUUUUAAGUGUAGAUUCACUCAUUUUGUUCCGUAUGUAGUUCACCUAGUGGAAUCUCUACAAAGACUUAUCUACUAGUAAUAGCUAGCCCCCACUACUAGGAAUUCUCUAUCCUCUCCUUGAGCCACAUCAUCAAAAUUAAUGUAGCCAUUGGAUGAACUAAAUCAGUCCAUAAUAGCCGUCUGAUCUAGACGUUGAGAGGCUCCGCACUAAGCCACAUGCAAGCAUGCAGAAAUACCGUGGCAUGCAUGUGAGUGGGUUUUAAAUCACAUCAAAAUGCCUACAUGCAAGCAUGCGCCGGUAGCAUGCAUGUAAGUGAGAUUUUAAGUCCCAUUAACAUGUCAAAAAGAAAAAUAUAAUCCCAUUAUGCAGUAGGAGUUGGCUGAUCUUUUUUCCUUACGUGGGAUGAUCUAAAUGAUGAUGGGAGUUUAUUUAGUUUGGCUACCACAUUUGUCAUGUGGUUAUAGAGUUUUUUUUUAGUUCUAUGAAAUCGAUAAUUUUGCGCAGAGAGAUAUACGGCUGUUCCGCGGCAACGCGCGGGGACUCGUCUAGUAAUAUUUAGGAACAGAGGGAGUACUAUGUAAAGAAUUAGGUGUCACACGGUGAUAGUGUGAGGUGGGCCAUGUAAUCAUUUAGCCUGCGUGUUUUCACUGCUCUUGCACUCCUCCGCUGUAAGAAUGGAGAAAAUUUUAAUCUAGUAGUAGUACCUCCUUUCGCCGAAAGCAUGGGACAUCCAGCAGUCCUACCACCUCAGUAAUAAAGACCAAUGAGCCGUCAAAUCACAUAGACCCAACAGUAAGUUGGACAGACGAAGCAACAAUCACUCUUGCGCCAGCGAGAGGUCGCGUCCACUCUGCCCGGGCAUGAAUGCGGCACCAAUUCUUUGGAGCGGCGCUGACCGUUUUGGGCAGGAAGCGUGCGCGGGCGAUGGAGGGGCUUUGGGUGGGCCAGGCUGGUCAGGAGCGGGCGUGGCAGCUGUCCGCAUGUCCCUACCGGACACGCCCGGAAACAAGAGGAUGCACCGACUCUCGCGGCUAAAAUCGUACACUACACACCAUCUAUCUGUAGGAGUAGGUCGAUCUGUCGCUCUCUCUAACACACAAAUGCUGUUAAACACACACACACACGCACACGCACGCACCUUGGUCCCGUUGCACCUUCUAACGUGACUUAUUACACCUAGACGGAGGGAGUAGUAAGUAUACGAGAUACGGUGGCACACUGACUUAAGUCGAAUACAAGUGCCGAAAAUUUGUGUGCAUGUUAUAAUAAGGAUUCACUUAAAAUAGUAUGUGAGCGAACACAGGGAUCAAUUGGACAGUGUUCCCGAGCAGUAGCGAGAUGUGUGAGGUAAGAUACACCGCGGGCGCUUUUAAUUUUUCUUAUAAAUUUGUUUGUUUCACCCUCUGACUGGUGGGACCCAACGUACUACAUGGAGAGAGGUAAGGUGACUAAGGCUGCAUUAUUUCUGCACCACUCUGGAUAGUCUUACCACCAAAGCCACAUGACAUGAUUAUGAUUGAUAUCCCAAUGACUCCCACACAAAAAAAACAUGGCAUGCUUGUCACACGAAUGCAGGAAUGUAUAAAAGGUUAUUUUCCUCUCGUUGAACAUAACGGGAGGGUUGUGUAGCUGGUUAGCAUGUUCGCUCAUCAAACUUGAGGUCUCGGGUUUGAUAACUACAGUUGAGCAUAAUUUGUGCCGGGAGGGUUCUUUGACUGGUCAAAAUGGAUGGAUAUGGAGCUAUACGAUCUCGUAGUGACCGUAUAAUCACCUCAUCACGUAUAAGCUGCAACCUCCGCACUUGUUUUCUAGGGUUUGCACGCUUCACACACUCUCUCUCCAGUAUAUAUAUAUAUAUACGCUGGAGCCUUAGAGCUUCUAGUUGCUCUCUUCACACACUCUCUCCCUCUCCAGAUCUAAAAAAGACUCCGUUGGCCUCUCUCUCCCCUCACUACUGCUGAAAGAGCCGGCAGGAUCCGUCCACCGGGAAGGGAAGGAGGCUUAACGUUGUCGCUGUCGACGAGGGAGGGAAUCCACUACCGGCGCAACUGUUCACUUUCACCCAGCGGCGGAGCGGGAGGGCCUCCGACCCCUUCUUCUUCGCCGCCGUCCCGUCGCCCACUGAACCACGCCCCAAGAACCUUAAGGUAUAAUUUACUUACUCCACAUGCAUUGCUCUAGCUGCAUGUAUACCAUGAAUCUAGUAUGUGGUUCAAAGAGGAAAGGAGUGGGGGAAAGUAGUGGGAAAAGUUGUAUAUAGCAUGAACCUAGGACGUGGUUCAAAGAGGAAAUGAAGGGGGAAAGUUGUAUAGCAUGAAUCUAGGACGUGGUUCAAAGAGGAAAGGAAUGGGGGAAAGUAGUGGGGAAAGUUGUAUCGCAUAAAUCUAGGACGUGGUUCAAAGAGGAAAGGAAGGGACGAAGGAACUAGUUCAAAAAGGAAAGGAAGGGACAAGGCUGUAGAGUUUGAGCAGGACUAGAUUUGCUGCGCUCACAUAGGGAAAGGUGUUUAAAGAUAACAAAACUGGGACCAACACAAAUAUGCUCCUUGGUUGUUUGUUCUUUGUUGCAACAGACUGUGCAUGACCACAGUACAUCGAUAGAUGCACGUGGUGCUGGUGCGUCCACUAUCCCGUGCAACUCAUUAGCUGUUGUUAAUCUAAGGCCCUGUUUGGUUAAAAACUCCCUAGUCCCUACCUGCUUGGUCCCAGAGACUAAAUAUGGACAAUAGGUUAUUAAAUGACAUGCUAAAAGACCAUGUUACCCCUAGUAAUGAACUAAUAGAGACAACAUGCGAUGCGUGGCAGGGGCAACUGUUGGAAAAAGUCCCAAAAACCUCCCUCGGGGUCUUGUUUCUUUAGUCCCAAAUGCCCACUUUUAGUCCCUAAAAGUCCCUCCUGUUUGAUUUAGAUCGGACUGACACAGAGUUUUUUAGGCCCUACACCAAAAUGUCCCUGUAAACAAACACCCUCUAAUAAUGCCGCUAGAAAAUUGAUGCAAUGCCACAGUUAAAAGUAAAUUACAUGUUUAACGAAUUUUAUUGUUAAUAUAAUCUCUAUGUUAAUAUUAAUCAAUGACACCGUUUGAGAAAUGCUACUGUCUUGCUUUCUUUCCCAUUUAGAUAAGGUAGAUGCUUCUUUUUGUUGGCUUCUGUGUCAUCCACCAUUAUUGACCACUAAUUGUUUCCUUGGCACCUCUGUGUAAACAGGGUUAUCUAAUUCACCUCGUUGCCAUUGUGACCUUUUGUUGCACUGCACAAAACACUUUUGUUUUAAGAGUAUUUUGUGCAGUUCAACCAAAAUGUCACACCGACAACGUUGCUUGAUUGCUUGAUCUUAGUGGAACUGCACAAGAGGAGAUCUUACUUCCUAUCCAUGUUGGCAAUUUUGGUUCAGAUCUUCUUCUUGUGAGUUGUUUGAAUUCCGCAUCAUGAGAGGUCAGUACUAGCCUUCUUUCACAUGAUUCUGCAGUGUGCUUUCAUAUGUUGUGCUACUUGUACAAUAAUGUUGCUUGAUUUUAGUGAACUGCACAAAUGGAGACAAGACUUCCAAUCUGUAUGUGCACCGUAAUAUCCCAUUGAGGUAAGAUAAGGAUAUUUCACAAUUGUUGACCUAUAUUUGCCACUUUCAUCAAAAAAUUAAGUUUAGUACUAUACUUGUGCUCCCUAAUUGACAUGCCAAAUCUUACAUUGAAGGUGAAGCUUGUAUGUUAUUGAACCAAGUGAUGAAGGGGAAGAACAAGCGGAAGAAAAACAAAAAUCAACUCUUGGUGCUGUAAUGAAGCACUAGAACUGUGAUGACACAAGUAAUGAUAUAGUUUUGCAUCUUAAUUUAUUGCUAUGGCUGGAACGAGCAAUUGUUUUGCCACUGAUUUGAUGCCACUCUUAAUGUAAUAUGUAAUUAUCUCUACUUGUGCAAGUAGGGAUCUUCUUUGAAGAUAUCAUAUAUUUUAGUGGAACUGCACAAGAAGAUGUUGGAAACAUUAAACUAAUCAAGGAGUAUAUAGUAAGCAUGGCCACUACCGUAGACAGCAACAGAUGGUUCCGGAGAAGUGCUUCAUAUGUAUGCUCUACACAAUAAGCCUCCAGACAAAGGUUGGUACUCGCCCACUGAUUUCAUCCAUAUGAUUGAGCUUUGUCAUCUCUAUUGGUGUUGUGCUACUGUUUAGAUACUGUCAUGAAAAAGUGGUAUUGUCCUUGAGAAGUGCUUCAUAUGUGUUGUUUUAAAUAUUUCCUUUCCUUUUUUUCGAGCAAACAGGGAUGCUAGCAUUUAGUAGUCCUCUUCUCUUUGCACAAUAGGAUCAUCUUCCUCUAAAGAAGAAUAUGGAGUACAUGAAGUGACUAGUUCCAAUUAUGCCACGAUGAAGAAGCCAUGUCUAUCUUCUCAUCAGAAGGAGCAGUUGAAGGAUGGUUACAUUACUCCCCACAAGACCAAACUAACUUCAGCUCAGAAGGACUGAUAAAUCUCCAUUUUUUUGCUGUGAUGCGCGAGUACAAUGUUUUUCUAGGACUCUUUUUGGUGAGUUCCAUUUUUCUAAAAGUGUGCUCUACAUGGACCAUGUAGGUGCCUGUUGAAACUAUCAAUUCAUAGUACAGUUUGCUUUAUACUAAUCACUUUUUUGUAUUUGUGCAAACAGGGGUGCUCAGCUUGAUUUCAACAGGAACUGCACAAAAUGUUCAUGAAUACAUAGAAUCAUUCAUUUUCACCACAAGAAAGGAGGUGCCGACAAGUUCAAGGUGUUGCAACAUAUAAGGGCGAAAUCAUACAAGCUAUGCGUGAAUUUGGUUGAUUUUGGUGGAACUGCACUAAAAGAACAGCUGGUUUAUUUAGCACGAGGUGCCAUGUCAAUGUCCGAACUGAUGGCAAACCCUGCCCAUUCCACAAUCAUAGGCAUUUGAUAUUUUGGAAUGGGACAAACUUGUAAAAUUUUGCUCAUUGAUUUUAGCAAGACAUGUGUUUGAUAUUUUUGAAUGGGACGCCCUUUGCUGUCAGCAGCGUCGAUCAACUUUUUAUUUAUUCUUUAGUUGUGAAGUAAAUAUUUCCUCUGACAUGUGAGUCGGUGAGAUGUAUAAUCAUCGAUUGUUUUGAAUGUUCUCUAUGAAUUGCCAGCCAUGUGUGUUUGAUUGCAAUGUACAGAAAAACGCUAAAAGCUGCUCAAACUCUUUGUACUCCUUCUGUUCCUUUUUACUUCGCACAUUGUGAAAGUGCAUACUUUUUUGUAUAAGAUUGGUCAAAGUAGAGAUACUUUGACUACAGACAAAACUUGUAUGCAGACUAGAAAGGACCGGAGGGAGUACAUGUGAAACUGCUGCAAACGAGGUGAUCACCCUGGGAAUAAUGCUAGUACGUUUUAUUUUGCAUGUUCAUCCAAUGCGAGUGAUACAGGAAUUCGAACUAAUCAAAAUAAAUUCAUUCAUACACGGUCGGAUUUCAUAUAAAGAUGCCGGAUUUUAUUACAUUUCAUACAUUCUUCAACUAAAAAGGGGUGCACUAGAGGUAUAAUUAAUUAACUGAAGCUACCCACAUGUGUCCCGCUGAGCCAAACAGAAGCUUCAGUGACUUAACUGCAGGUGCAGUUGCAUAACUAACAUGUGGCCUGUUGGGCCCAUGUGUCAGUCAGCCAACUGCACCAGCAGUUAAGUAGAAGCAGUGUUCUUCUCCAGUGCAGCUCUCCGACUCCACGUCGCUGCUAAGAAGCUAACCGACCGUCAAUGGUCAACCCGCCUAGCUUGGCUUCAACCGGAGGGUAGCAGCGGUGGCCUUACUUGGACCUGAGCGGCGGCGACCUACCGUGUUCUACUCUUCCUCGUUUUCUCUGUGGCGCGGCCUCGUUGGUAGCGGGGCGGGGCCUCGGUGGAGCCGGCGAUGUCCUCUGUCUCGUUGCCGACGAGCGGCGCCUCGGCAGAGCGGUGGAAAUCCUCCCCCACGUUACCGGUAGGGUGGGGCCUCGGUUGACCCGGUGAUGUCCUUUGCCUCAUUGUUGGCGGGGCGGGGCCUCGGCGGAGCCGGCGCUGUCCUCUACCUCGUCGUUGGCGCUGCGGGGCCUCGGUGGAGCAGGGCCUCGUCGAUGCCAGCGGAGCGAGGACUCAUCGGAGCCGGCAUUGUCCUCUGCCUCAUCCUCGGUCUCACCAAACAGCGCCUCGCCCGCUUCAUCGCCCUCUUUGCUAGCCUCCUUGUAGGCGUCCGCAGCCUCCGCCACCCACAUGCGGUACCGCCAGCGCUCGAGGCGGCCCUUGCGGGCGGAGUGGUAUGAGUCGAGCAGUGCCUCCUGCUCCGCCUGAUGAGGAUAUGUACCUAGGGUAUGGUCAUAGACCUAUCUAGGAUACCAUACCCAAGGACAUCAUCAUCCGAAGCUACCUCCAGUCGACCAAGAGAAGCUCCACUCAACCAAGGGAGACUCCACUCGACCAUCAGAAGUUCGGGAUCUAUGCUGUAUCCAAACGGUCUGUAAAUAAGUAGUCUUAAUGGUCAUGAUGACACUUUAUGUAGGGCGUUACCAGUAACGCCCGGCCUUAAUGUACAUUAACCCUCCUCUACGUGGGCUGGCUGGGGUCCUGGCGUCCUCUAUAUAAGCCACCCCCCUCCACUGGGAGAAGGGUUCGCACCCCUGUAACUCAUAUGCACAUAGAUCAGUCGACCGCCUCCGGGCUCCGAGACGUAGGGCUGUUACUUCCUCCGAGAAGGGCCUGAACUCGCUAAACACCCGUGUGUACAACUACUCCGAAGCUAGGACCUUGCCUUUCCAUACUUACCCCCCAUUCUACUGUCAGACUUAGAACCACGACAGUUGGCGCCCACCGUGGGUCCGGUGUCUUAGAGACUUUUUUUGGAGAAGUUGCAAUUUGUCCGAUCGCCUUCAUCAUGGUUUCCGGCGGAGCACUGGUCGAGGGCCACGAGAUCCGCCUCGGUGCGCUCACUUUCAUCACCAACGACUCCGCUUGGCUCCAGGAGGCACCACUCGACAUCGACGCGCUCGCCGUCCGCGGGACGACGCACUUUCGGGCGUGUGUCCGCGGUGUCUUGCUGCGACAGCCGUCGACUCCAUACCGAUCGACUACUGCGCCGUCCUCCCUCCCUGUCUCCCACCAGCGCAAGCGCUCUGGUCGGUCGAGGCUCCAGCGAUGGGUGAGGCACGCAGUGGCUCGCCAAUCGGCCACCACACAAGUCGCGGCGAUUGAGCCCGACGAAUCUCUCUACGGCCUGUUCGACCUGUCGACUGGCUCCAUAGGGACUGCAUCCGAGUGCGAUAGCAGUGACCCAGCAGCGGAGGUCCUGAUGGUCAACGGGCCCCGUAGUCCUCCCGGUUUCCCCCGCGGCGAUGGGAUGGACGACGAGGACGACCCCGCUCAAGCCCAUGAAGAGUACCAACCCGAGCCGCUCACUUCCCAGCAGAGAGAAGAACUUCGCCGCCGGAACAUGGAAGCCCUGCAUACUCCCAUAGCAGGAGAAACACCUGAGGCUCGCACCCUGGAAGAGGCGCGUUUAGCCAACCUGGCUGAACGCACUCGACUGGAGAACCUUCAGCGAGCACUCGACGAGCGUGCGCGUCAGCGAGCGACUAACUCCAAUCGAUGUCAGCUCUUUCUGCAACCAACUCAGGUAUAUCGAACCCCAAUUCAAAAUUUGGCAGCUGCAGCCCGCAUAGCGGAGUCAAUUCAGCCCUCUCAGUCAGAGGCUGGAAGAGGCUUGAUGCAGAUCAGAGAUUUGCUCCGGGCGGCAGGAGAUCAGAAUUCAGCUGUGUCACAGUCACGUAACAGGAUUCACAGUCGAUCUGUCGCUGUGAAUACUGUUCAGUCGGCUCACAGUCCAAGGUCGCCUCCGAGGCGCAUGGGACGUGAAGGCCGGCAGGACCACUAUGAUGACCGAUUUGAUCGCGAUGACAGGCGUCGAGUGCCCACUCCUCCUCCGAGAAGUGGGUCUAACGCCCAUCGGCAGCAAGAUGACAGACGCCAGCUCAGUGUCGGGCGGAGAGCUCCAACCGACCCCAGAGGGCCAGGCUUUGACGCGAGAUCCAUCAUCGUGCAAGGUUUGGUUGACCGAAACAGAGCUCAUAGAGGUGGUCAUGACAGAGAUGUGCCUACAAGCAGCCGAGUCCACGUUUCAGGUCCAGAAUGUUUUAGCAGAGCGAUCAGAGCCGCAGUGAUACCCCCCAACUUCAGGUUGGCGACUGGGGUGAGUAAGUUCACCAGAGAGUCUAAGCCUGAAACUUGGCUCGAAGACUACCGAGUGGCUGUUCAGAUUGGUGGCGGUAAUGAUGAGGUGGCCAUGAAACAUUUGCCACUUAUGCUAGAGGGUUCAGCCAGGGCAUGGUUGAAUCAGUUAGCUCCCAGUAGCAUUUACACCUAGGAAGAUCUUUCUUGAGUGUUCGUCAGAACGUUUGAGGGAACUUGCAAGUGACCUACUGGAUUGACUGAGCUACAAGUUUGUGUACAAAACUCGAGUGAAACACUGAGGGAUUACAUCCAGAGGUGGAUCACUUUGCAUCACACUGUAGAGAAUGUGUCGGACCAUCAAGCGGUUUGCGCCUUCAAAGAUGGCGUCAAGAACAGAGAGUUGAGCCUGAAGUUUGGUCGAACUGGAGACAUGACCCUGAGUCGGAUGAUGGAAAUAGCCACCAAGUACACCAAUGGCGAAGAAGAGGACCGACUCCGGAGCGGCAAGUACAAGCCGAGUCAGUCGGAUAAAGGAAACCCUAGUCGGAAGCAAAAGCGGAAGGAGGGUAAUGAUGUGAUGGACCUGCCGUGUCAUAUCCACACGAAGAAAGACGAAGAGGGUAACUUCAUCUACCCAAAGCAUACCACUCGCCAGUGUCGGCUCUUAAUCCAGCAGUUCCAAGGGAAACAGCCGAAGGACAAAGAGGAGUCAGACAAGGCUGAGGACAAGCAGGACAGUGAUGGAGAGUACCCUCAUGUCAACUCCACUCUGAUGAUUUUUGCUGAUGUAGAGAGCAAAAUUCGACUGAAAGUGAUCAACCGUGAAGUCAAUAUGGUCGCACCGGCAACACCAAACUAUCUGAGAUGGUCACAAAAUCCCAUUACUUUCGACCAGUCAGACCAUCCUACUCAUAUUGCCACCCCUGGGAGGCAAGCACUCGUGGUCGACCCGAUCGUCGAAGGCACUCGACUGACAAAGGUAUUGAUGGAUGGCGGCAGCGGGUUGAACAUACUGUAUGCAGAGACGCUCAAGGGAAUUGGCAUUCCGAUGUCCAGGCUCAGUUCCAGCAACAUGAGUUUUCACGGAGUCAUCCCAGGAAAGAAGGCUGAGUCACACGGCCAAAUAGCUCUGGAUGUGGUGUUCGGCGACUCGAAGCAUUUCCGCAAAGAGAAGCUGACAUUUGAAAUCGUGGAUUUCCAGAGCGCCUACCACGCUAUCUUGGGAAGACCAGCCUACAUCCGCUUCAUGGCUCGACCAUGUUACGUGUACCUCAAGUUAAAGAUGCCUGGCCCCAAAGGCGUGAUCACCGUCACUGGUAACCGGAAGAAAGCAGAAGAGUGUUUCCAGAAAGGCUCAAAGAUUGCGGAUGACCAGAUAACAGUGAUAGAGCUAGAGGGAUACAAGAAGAACACAGAUCCGAGUGAUUUACUGCGGGCCAAGAAGCCCGCCAAAGAGUCAGCAUUUCAGUCGUCCGGUGAGACGAAGCCAGUUCACAUCCACCCGACUGACCCCAAUGCAGCUUCGACCCAUAUUUCCACUACACUCGACUCUAAAUAGGAAGAAGCGCUCAUCCAGUUCCUCCGUGAGAACUGGGACAUCUUCGCAUGGAAGCCAGCUAACAUGCCAGGUGUUCCCAGGGGACUGGCUGAGCAUCGCCUUAGAGUCGAUUCAAAGGCAAAACCUGUUAAAGAACAUCUUCGAUGGUCCGCCGUUCAGAAGAAAAAAGCCAUUGGCGAAGAGGUGGCUCGACUCCUUGCAGCAGAGUUCAUCCGAGAGAUAUACCACUCCGAGUGUCUCGCCAAUGUCGUUAUGGUUCCCAAAAAUGACAAUUCCCUUCGUAUGUGCAUUGAUUUCAAACAUAUCAAUCGGGCCUGCCCGAAAGAUCAUCCCUCGCAUCGACCAAAUUGUCGACUCGACCGCAAGGUGCGAGAGAUUGUCUUUUCUAGACACAUCAGAUCCGUCUAUAUGGGCCCGACGAAAUCAAAACAGCUUUCAUCACCCCAUUCGGGUGCUUCUACUAUAUCACAAUGCCAUUCGGCCUCAAGAAUGCCGGAGCCACGUUCAUGAGAAUGAUUCAAAAGUGUUUACUCACUCAAAUCAGUCGGAAUGUGGAAGCAUACAUGGACGAUAUCGUGGUCAAGUCGCGAAAGGGUUCCGACCUGUUGACUGACUUAGCUGAAACAUUUGCCAAUCUCAGGAGGUAUGAUAUCAAGCUCAAUCCUUCAAAGUGCACAUUCGGAGUACCUGGCGGGAAGUUACACGGUUUUCUCGUUUCCGAACGAGGAAUCGAUGCUAACCCAGAAAAAGUGGGUACCAUACACCGAAUGAAACGCCCUGUGCGUGUGCACGAUGUCCAGAAGCUUACUGGAUGCUUGGCCGCGUUAAGUCGAUUCAUCUCUCGCCUCGGUGAGAAGGCGUUGCCCCUUUACCGACUGAUGAAGAAGGCAGACAAGUUCGAGUGGACUCCAGAAGCUGAUGCAGCAUUUGCCGAGUUAAAAACUCUGCUCUCCACCCAGCCGGUGCUUGCUGCUCCAAUCAACAAAGAGCCUUUGUUGCUUUAUAUUGCAGCCACAGGACAAGUCAUCAGUACAGUACUUACGGUCGAGCGGGAAGAAGAAGGGAAAGCCUUCAAAGUUCAGCGCCCAGUGUAUUACCUCUCUGAAGUUUUGACCCCAUCGAAGCAAAGAUAUCCUCAUUAUCAGAAGCUCGUAUAUGGGAUCUACAUGACCAUGAAGAAGGUUGCUCAUUAUUUCUCUGAUCAUGACAUUACAGUCGUCAGCGACGCACCAUUGUCAGAGAUUCUGCACAACAGAGAUGUAACUGGUCGAGUGGCUAAAUGGGCGAUUGAACUCCUUCCCCUUGAUAUCAAAUUCGAGGCAAAGAAAGCCAUUAAGUCCCAGGCCAUAGCAGAUUUCCUUGCCGAGUGGAUUGAACAGCAGCAGCCGAUUCAAGUUCACUCGGAGCAUUGGACCAUGUUCUUUGAUGGCUCUAAGAUGUUAAAUGGUUCUGGUGCUGGCGUAGUUUUGGUUUCUCCCCGAGGAGAUAAGCUCAGAUAUGUGCUCCAGAUCCACUUUGAUUCCUCCAACAAUGAAGCAGAAUAUGAAGCACUAUUGUAUGGGUUGUGCAUGGCCAUUUCACUCGGCGUCCGUCGCCUUAUGGUUUACGGUGACUCAGAUUUGGUGGUCAAUCAGGUGAUGAAGGAGUGGGACGUUAGAAGCCCAGCCAUGACUGGAUACUGCAAUGCAGUGAGGAAGCUUGCAAAGAAAUUCGAAGGGUUAGAACUCCAUCACGUUCCCCGACUGAAAAAUCAAGCAGCCGAUGACUUGGCGAAGAUAGGUUCCAAGAGGGAAGCCAUUCUGAGUGGCAUGUUUUUGGAACAUGUCUACACACCAUCGGUUCAAGAGGAUCCUUUCACUGAAGAAGCCCUGCAGCCUAAAAGCACCACAGAUCCGACUGAAGUCGAGGUCCCAGCGGUGGACGACUUAAUCAUGGAAGUUUUGGUCAUCACUCCCGGUUGGACAGUGCCCUAUAUCACCUAUAUUUUGAGGAAGGAACUCCUCGAGAAUGAAGACGAAGCUCGAGAGAUCGUCCGCCGGUCCAAAGCCUUCACCGUCAUGAGAGGUCAGUUAUACAGAGAAAGUGCAACUGGAGUCAGCCAGAAAUGUAUAACACCAGAGGAAGGUCGAAUGAUUCUCAACGACAUCCACUCGGGGACCUGUGGCCAUCAUGCGUCUUCUCGGACCAUCGUGGCCAAAGCAUACCGAGCUGGUUUUUAUUGGCCCAGAGCGAAUGAAAUGGCGAAGGGGAUAGUCGACAAGUGUGAGUGGUGUCAAUUUUACUCCAAUAUGUCACACAAGCCCGCGUCAGCUUUGAAGACUAUACCACUCGUCUGGCCCUUCGCAGUGUGGGGUUUGGAUAUGGUCGGUCCUGUCACAUCCCUAGCUGCUGGUAGUGCUCUAGGCUAGCUUCAUGUGUGCAUCAUGUCUAUAUUUUCGAAACUUGAACUGAGGAAUUUUGGAAGCCUCAAAAACUUAAAUAAAAGAGGGGCAAAAACCCUAGAAAUCUCAUUCAUUGCUCCAAAAUGCUCUUCUUAAAUGUUUGAUAAUUUUUGGUAAGGGUUCUGGUCCCAACCAAAAUAUUGAACAUUUUUAAGGAAUUAUUUUUGGGACUUUGGAUUUAAUUCAUUAGCUAUUUGAAUUUGAAUUAUAUUCAUAUAAUUAGAAUAUAAUUUCAAAUACCCCUGAAACAUUUUUAUGUGCUUUUGGAAAAGUCCAUUAAGCAGCAUAAAUAUUUUCAGAGGAGUUUUUGGCAUUGUUUGAAUUAUUUUUAAAUUCAAAACAGUGGCAAAACAGAGUAAAUUAAAUAAAACAAAACAGAUAUAAAAGAGAGAGAGAGAAGGAAGUUACCCGGCCUCACCCGUGCAGCCCACCAGAGCCGGCCCAGCUCCUGUGCUGGUCCAGCGCUGUGCGGCCCAGCCCACCUCCUCCUCCCUGUCGCCUUCCUCCUCGCGCCAGUAGGCAGAGGAGGGACUCGGCGCACGCGCCCGAGCUCGCCACGCCACCACCCUGCUCGUCUGCAUCGCCUGAGGCCACCACGACGCCUCGCGCCUUCUCCUCGGCGCCGCCUCGACCCCUGGAACCCUCCCGCUCACUCCCUCGUCCCCAUCUCCUCCUCUGUUCUUUCUCUCGCACGCACCCGAGAGCGACCGUCGCCGCCGCUUGCUGCUGCCGCGGCCACCACCGCCCCCUCGCUUCUCUGACCAGCCCACGAGCUCCGCCUAGAACCCGAGCGCCUCUCCGCCGACCCACGCAAGGCCAGAGGACCCCAAGACGACGCCGCGACCCUUCUUCCCCGACCACGGCCGCCGGAUGCCACCGCCCGAUUCGUCGUCCACAGGGCCUCCCUGAGCUCGCCGUCUUCUUCAUACGACUCCCUGUGAGCCCCUCUCCCUUUCCCUUCAUACCCCGCGGUGGAUUUGGUUCGCUAGCUCGAUUCCCGCCAUCACCGAGAGCUUCUCGCCGCCGUGCUCGUCACUGCCAGCGCUAGCAAGCUCCGACGACCAAACCGAGCUCGCAGACUACUUCCGUGUGCUGUGUAGAUGCCGCUGCGCUGCUCAGCUCCCUCGCCCGCGAGCUCUAGCCCUCUCAGCCGCAACCACCGAACUCCGGCCGCCGCCGCAAGCUCCGCUCCGGCGAGUGCUGACCACCCCGCGUCCUUCCGUCACCUCCUCCGGAUGCGCACGAGCGCUAGGAACCCACAGAGCCUCUCCGCGCGGCGUUUGGCCGCCGGAGCAAGAAACCCGAAGGCCUCCGCCGUCUCGGCCUCGCCGGCGUCAAGCCGCCGGCAGGUUAGGCCCUGCUGACCAGGGGUUUGACCCCCCCCUGUUAAUUAGUUUAGUUUAUUUUAAUUUAUUUAGCCACUGUUUCACUGCCAUGUGGGCCCGAGGCCCUGCUAAUUUGGUUAAGGUACUAAUUAAGUUUUAGCUAACCCACUGACCCACUGACUGUGGGCCCCAGCCCUUCUAAUUACGUUAGUUAAGAAUUAACUAAACCCUGAUUAAGUCCUGUGUCACUGACGUGUGGCCCCCACACGUCAGGUUUGACCCGAGCCAGCCCAGUUGACUCUGCUGACGUCAUAGUGACGUGGUGCUGACGCCAUAAAUCAUUUCUGGAUUUAUUAUUAUUUCAGGAAUUCCAGAAAAUGCCCUAAACUUCAAUAAAUCAUAGAAAUUCAACCGUAGCUCCAAAUUAAAUAAUUUAUAUAUGAAAAAUUAUCAGAAAAAUUCAAGGAAUCCAUCUGUACCAUUUUCAUGCAUGUUAGAACAACUUAUAGCUGCUGUUUAGCACAAAUCAUAUAAAUGGCAUCUGAAUAAUCACAUAUGGAGUUUGAAUUUGAAUCUUAUAUUCAAACCAACUUCAUUUAAUCUGUUGCUAGUUGCAUUAGCUCAAAACACAUUCAUAUUGCCAUGUCAUGAGCAUGCAUCAUAUUGUGCAUUGCAUUGAUUGUAUUUCUUCUUUGUUGCCGGUAAUUGUCCCCUCUCGAUAGACGUGUACCGACGAUGUGAUCGAUGACACCGAUGAAGAGCUAUAUUAUCUUCAGAAGUGCCAGGCAAGCAAAACCCCCUUGUUCAUUCCGAUACAAUCCCACUCUCUCGCUCCUGCUCUCUUUUACUGCAUUAGGACAACAACGAUUCAACUGUUACUUGCUGCGGUAGCUGAACCCCUCUAUCCUUUGCAUGACCUGUCAUUGCCACAGUAAAUAGAUGAAACCCACUAGCAUGAGUAGGAGUUGUUUGAGCCCUGAUGUGCCUACUCAUUUAUGUUUGUUGUCAUGCCUGCUACUGCUUAGAGUUGAGUCGGGUCUGAUUCAUCGGGGAUGAAUCAGAGGCGUGUGAACCUGUCCUACUGUGUGUGAGCUAAGUGUGUGAACACGAUUUGGUAAAGGUAGCGGUGAGAGGCCAUGUAGGAGUACAUGGUGGGUUGUCUCAUUGCAGCUGUCCUCAGGAACUGAGUUCUGUGUUUGUGAUCCAUGACCAGUUACUACCACACAUUGGGUUCCGGUAACUCGACCCCUCUCGACUUAUUAAUCAACAUGAUCUCUGUCCAGGAGUUGCAACUAGUUUCUGGUGUUUGUAGGUAGUGUUAGUAGUCUACCAAGUGGCACCCGGUACAGGUGGGCUUGGGACAGACUAGGCACAGUGGCACGGUGUACCAAGUGGCACCCGGAUGGUGGGCUUGGGAACCCUGCUCACAUCGUUUGGGGCCGUGAGCACACCCCGGCCGGAUCUCCUUGCGGAUGGAACCCGAAUAGGCGAUAAACCUGGACUAGAGACUUGUUCGGUUAGUCAGGUCGUGGCCGACUCCCUCGCCCGGCUUCCGCUUGAAGGUUGCCGAGGUACAUGACGUGUACAGGGCGGUAAGUGGCGAGAGCGUGUGUGAAGAAGUACACCCCUGCAGGGUUAACAUCAUCUAUUCGAAUAGCCGGAUUCCUCGGAUAUGGAAACUUGGACCCCUUGUACAGUUCAUAGACUAGUGAAAGUGGAUACUCUAAAAUACGCAAGAUAAGCGUGAGUGCUAUGGAUGGCGUUCUCGUAGGGAGACGGGAGCGGAUCCAUAGUGGUGUAUUGAUAUGGUGAAUAUGUGGACUCGUGUGCGCCACCUCAAAAGAGUUACUUGCAGUCGUAGUUUAGGAUAGCCACCGAGUCAAAGCUGGCUUGCUGCAGUUAAACUCCACCACCCCCUUUGUUGAUAAUGAUGCAUAUGUAGAUAGAUCUGAUGUAAGUCUUGCUGGGUACAUUUGUACUCACGUUUGCCUAUUUUAUGUUUUUGCAGAGAGACUUCAGUCUCACUAGUAGUUCCGCUUGGACUUCGACGUUUAGCUUGUUACCUCAGCUACGAUCUUGUGCCCUCGGCAGGAUCUGGUAGAUAGUCAGGCUUCUCAGCCUUUUUCAUUUCUAGAUGUCUGUACUCAGACAUGUUAAGCUUCCGCAUGUGCUUUGAUUUGUAUGCUCUAAGUGUUGGGUCAUGAGACCCAUGAUUGUAAUAUCCCGCUCCUCGGAGCCUAUUGAAUAAACUACUUGAGUCGUAGAGUCAUUUUGUGAUGCCAUGUUGUAUUGCACAUAUCGAGCAUAUUGUGUGUAUGUUAUUGAAAUGCUUGGUAUGUGUGGGAUCUGACAACCUAGUUGUUUAUCCUUGGUAGCCUCUCUUACCGGGAAAUGUCUCCUAGUGUUUCCACUGAGCCAUGGUAGCUUGCUACUGCUCCGGAACACUUAGGCUGGCCGGCAUGUGUCCUUCUUCGUUCCUGUGUCUGUCCCUUCAGGGAAAUGUCAUGCGAUGAAUACCGGAGUCCUGUUAGCCCGCUACAGCCCGGUUCACCGGAGUCCUGCUAGCCCAGUGCUACAGCCCGGAUUCACUCGCUGAUGACCGACACGUUCGAUGUUGGGUCAUGGAUGCCUGUCCCUGUAAGUUAGUGCCACUUUGGGUUUACGACUAGCCAUGUCAGCCCGGGCUCCUUAUCAUAUGGAUGCUAGCGACACUAUCAUAUACGUGUGCCAAAAGGCGCAAACGGUCCCGGGCAAAGGUAAGGCGACACCCGUGGGAAUACCAUGCGUGAGGCCGCAAAGUGAUAUGAGGUGUUACAUGCUAGAUCGAUGUGGCAUUGAGUCGGGGUCCUGACAGCGUUGGUAUCAGAGCUUGGCUGCCUGUAGGAUCACCAAGCCAAACUGGUCGAAGUUGAGUCUAGAAAUUCUUUAGUUAUAUAAGGGAAUUGAUUGUGGGAUGGAACGUAAGGCUCUUUUUACUCCUUAUACCUUAUGCCUUCUGAUCUGAGUCAUCUUAUCUUUCCUGCAGGGAUUAAGAACUAGGCUAUCUUUUCUUUCUAUCAGGAUCACGUGUUACUAAUCCGUAGACUUAUAGAUUGUUGGACUUAAGCCUCGUUUCAGUUCCUACUACUUCUGUAUGUUAAUUAUUGAUCUCGAGACCUUGAUAUUGUGCUUCUGAGUGGCUAUGCCACCAUUUUUGUGAAUGUCUCAAAUCUUUUCUGAGCAUUUACAGCCGUUAUGCUGUCCGAGUCAUUCCAGGUUUCUAAAUAGUCUGAUGCAUUUGCAAAAUCCUUUCCCUCUGGUUUCGAUGUUCCUUUAUGCCAGCUCAAUCACACUAAUUGUUGAGUUGAGGUAUUCUAUUGCCUUGACAUUAUGUUGGAGUUACUAUUAUGACCCUAGGUGUCUCAGGGGAUCAUCUAGUAGUCUAGCCAUGAUUUAUGUUCCAGUGUGAUGACUCUGGCCGUCAUUAUCGAAAGCAUCCCGUGAUGCCAUUUAGUAGUAGGUAUUCUAUCCCUGGGAUUUGAACCCGAGAUUCACCCUACUUGCUUCAUGUUGAUAGUUUUGCUCGUUCCUUUAGGUUAUUAGUAACCUUUGCAUUAGUCCUCGAUGUUCGUGGUAUUCCUUUCUUCCAAAUACUAUGAACCGCUUAUGGCAGAUGUUCCUCGCUGAUCGAAAGAUCACAAUCAGAGUGCUCUCGAUGGGUUCUCGAUUCUACAUUGUGACUCUGCCAGUUCUACCUUUUGGCAUGGGUUAUCCGGAAGAAAUUGUGGAAUUCAUUCGACAUGCUAAACCAUGCAUCCACAACUCAGAAAAUCGUAUGUUCCUUUGAGUUGUCCCUCUUUAGUUGUCUUCUGACCCUCGUCUAUCAAUUGAUAGUCAAGAGUAUGCGUGCAUUCGUUCGUCGAUGCCUAUUACCCUUGUGGUCCGCCAAGCCAUUCUAUUUCAGAAUGAAUAGGAGAAACAAACUCCAGUACCUCAUCCAUAUUUAGGAUUGGGUCAAAGUAGUUGUGUUCCACAGAUCAAGUUACAAUCCAGCUUCUGGUCUGCUCUACCCUGAAGUAUUACCUUCUUUAUGACAGGAAUUUCAUGAGAAUUGCACCACCUUUUGUGAAUUCUUGACAUAGUGAUACUUCUCGCCAUCCUUUUUCAUUCCUCGGUUCCGUGUUGUUGCAGCCGGAGUGCCGACAAGUGAAUCAUGAUGUGUGAACUCAAUACUCCUAGCAACCCCAUUGCUUGGUAGUUAAUGGACAAUAAUCUUAUUCUUAGUAUGUUGGUUAUUGAAUCACCAUUCUAAGAUUGAUUGUGCUACCUAGUCCUUAUUUCCUGGUGCACUCUUUGAUUGAUGAGUUAGGAUUUUGUCAAGUCCUCGCUCAUUUGAUCAUAUCAUCUUGCCCUGAAAAGCAAGAUUGUUCUCGAGCUUAGUAACAUAUCGGUGGUUCGUGAUUUCCGAAGAUCUUCUCGGAAGUAUUACCAGGUUGUCACCUGACCGCUAUGUUGAGCUCGUGAUCAAGUUGGUUUCUUGUGAACCACCUUCUCUCCAAGAAUCGGUGUUAGAUAUCCCUGAGCUAGUUGGUUAAGCUAAACGACAACUUGGAGGGUUGGAAGAUAAAAGCUUGCCUGACUUAGUUCGUUCCAAAGGGAUAUUCUUGUGUAGUGUGUGUUGAAGAAAGAUGAUAUCUUCAUCGAUUGGUCCCUGUGAUCAGUUGCUGGACCUAUCGUCUUAUCAAUCCUUUGAUUUGAGUGUGGGCUAUCGUCAAAUCAAGUCAGAACCAACGAUGUUCGUAAUGUUGUCUUCCUCGUGGUUGUUCCCUCGAGCAUGCACCAUUAUAUCUUUUGGGUCUGACCAAUGCUAUCACCGUGUUCACACGAUGGUGGAAGUCCAGUGAUAUGGAAAUUCCGAUGAGUUGUUGUUGAGUCCAUUGACAACAUCCUUAUCUCCUCCAUGAUGUUGUUGAACAUUAAGUUAGUGUUGGAAACUUUUGAAAGCAUUUUCUUCAUGCUAGCUCAUGAAGUACUUGUUUGAUGAAAGGAGUGACUUCCUUUGAUUCACGUGCAUUUUGAUGUAAGCUGCCGUCGUGAAUUCGAGAAAGGUUGUUUUUGCUCCUCUGGAAUCAUCCCAAGUCAGUCAUGCAUGUGCAAAGUAUACUAUGGUUUGGUAGAUUAAUUACCUCCACUCCAUAUGUAUUCCUAGCACACCAAGCCACUGAUUGAGUUGUUCAAAGAUAAAGGAGUCUGUCCAAGGUGAACUCCUUGGACUUCCACGCGUGGAGACUUCGAUGUCAUUAAUGAUGGUUCCCCACCUGAACUCGGUAGUGUUUUAUUAUAAGACUACUUUGUGGUCAUGCUUGUCUGGAACAACGUGUUCACAUGUUUGUAGCAGAACCAGCUCAUGUUUUGGAGCUUGCUAUCGUAGUUCAUAUCCCGAGAAUUCCGCAACGUCAUCUCGUCAAUUUGUGUUGCAAACUUCCGUUUUUCUUCCUAGACUCGAUGAGUCUGGAAUAUCCUGACACCAACCAGAUCUGAAUCUGAGGCAGAUAUAAUGGUUGGAACAUUUCCCAAGAACUAUAAUACUGGUCCCUCGAUAACCGGUAAAGUGGAUGUCAUGGCCAACACACCCAGCCGGAAGACCUAUUAUUGUAGUAUCCUGAUUGAAUAAGUUGGCCACCUCCCCAUAAGGAUUUCGUAGGAUUUACCUCCCUAGUUGUUCCUUAUGGAUUCUUGUGCUCCCGAAGUCCGACCUUUACUUGAUGUUCUAGAUACCAGACCAUUUCUAUGAAUGGGUUACACUAGCACAUCAAGGAGAACAUUAGAAGCGGAGUGCUAAAUGUCUCUCGAUCGAUCAUCCAGAUUUUGUUCCUUGGCUUCGCCAAGGGUGAAAUCUGAGAAGGUGUUAUCUUCCUCUGCAUCUGCAUCCUCCAUCACCAUUCAUCAUGGUAGCAAGUUGUGUUGCCAGGAUCCUUGACACGGAUGUUGGUAAAACCUUGAUGAUUAUGGAAUUGCUCAAGUUCUUGAGAGCACGCGCAAGUGCUAGGUUUGAUCGUCGGCAUUAACUGUAUAGCGCUCUCAGUUUCCUCGGUUAUGCUAUAACCAUACCAAUAGUGGAAUAACUCUCUACUGUUGAGCCUCUCCCUAGUUACCAGAAUCAUUCCCAGCAUUUGCAUUUUGUUCCCAGCUUGCACCGCCAAUGUGUCAUUCUACCAUGGGUCUCUUCCAUUUCCGGUGAUAAGCAAAUUCAUCCAUUACGUUGUCUUUAACAAGGUAAUCCACAUCAUCCAUGUUUGAGUAUGCCAUUCUACCGACCCCCUCCAAACGAUCGCUCGAGAAUUGUCUUAGGCUGGUUUAAAGAGUUUCAAUGAUCUCUGAAUCAAAAGUAAUUCUUUUUGCCACUUAAGGGAAUAUCUCUACGAGUCACCUUCCCUAAGGUGUAUCGUUAUGGUAUCAUGGCAACUCAACUCCUCGCUACGUUGACAAUCGUUUAGCACCUUCUUAAACGUGAAAUUGUUGUCUACCUAGUGAACCUUCGUCAUCCGUUUCUGCCCACCCCUCUUGAUGUGUAUCUCGUGUCUCAACCCGAGAGAUGGUCCUAUGUCUCAUUCCGUGAGUUGUUCGAUCUUCGAGAAGAUCGACCCUUCUAGAGUCUCCUUCUUCCCUCCAUGUCAUGUUGGCAGGAUUUCUCAGAGCAAGACAUCAAGACAAUGAUGGUGAAUGAAUCAACGUUCAACUGAAGUGCACCCUGGAUCGUGAAGAUUAUACUAGUUGCGUUUACCCUUCACCUUACCCUACGCUUGAAUCUCGAGACGAGAUUCUUGUUUAGUGGGGGUGAGUUGUCACAUCCCUAGCUGCUGGUAGUGCUCUAGGAUAGCUUCAUGUGUGCAUCAUGUCUAUAUUUUCGAAACUUGAACUGAGGAAUUUUGGAAGCCUCAAAAACUUAAAUAAAAGAGGGCAAAAACCCUAGAAAUCUCAUUCAUUGCUCCAAAAUGCUCUUCUUAAAUGUUUGAUAAUUUUUGGUAAGGGUUCUGGUCCCAACCAAAAUAUUGAACAUUUUUAAGGAAUUAUUUUUGGGACUUUGGAUUUAAUUCAUUAGCUAUUUGAAUUUGAAUUAUAUUCAUAUAAUUAGAAUAUAAUUUCAAAUACCCCUGAAACAUUUUUAUGUGCUUUUGGAAAAGUCCAUUAAGCAGCAUAAAUAUUUUCAGAGGAGUUUUUGGCAUUGUUUGAAUUAUUUUUAAAUUCAAAACAGUGGCAAAACAGAGUAAAUUAAAUAAAACAAAACAGAAAUAAAAGAGAGAGAGAGAAGGAAGUUACCCGGCCUCACCCGUGCAGCCCACCAGAGCCGGCCCAGCUCCUGUGCUGGUCCAGCACUGUGCGGCCCAGCCCACCUCCUCCUCCCUGUCGCCUUCCUCCUCGCGCCAGUAGGCAGAGGAGGGACUCGGCGCACGCGCCCGAGCUCGCCACGCCACCACCCUGCUCGUCUGCAUCGCCUGAGGCCACCACGACGCCUCGGGCCUUCUCCCCGGCGCCGCCUCGACCCCUGGAACCCUCCCGCUCACUCCCUCGUCCCCAUCUCCUCCUCUGUUCUUUCUCUCGCACGCACCCGAGAGCGACCGUCGCCGCCGCUUGCUGCUGCCGCGGCCACCACCGCCCCCUCGCUUCUCUGACCAGCCCACGAGCUCCGCCUAGAACCCGAGCGCCUCUCCGCCGACCCACGCAAGGCCGGAGGACCCCAAGACGACGCCGCGACCCUUCUUCCCCGACCACGGCCGCCGGAUGCCGCCGCCCGAUUCGUCGUCCACAGGGCCUCCCUGAGCUCGCCGUCUUCUUCAUACGACUCCCUGUGAGCCCCUCUCCCUUUCCCCUCAUACCCCGCGGUGGAUUUGGUUCGCUAGCUCGAUUCCCGCCAUCACCGAGAGCUUCUCGCCGCCGCGCUCGUCACUGCCAGCGCUAGCAAGCUCCGACGACCAAACCGAGCUCGCAGACUACUUCCGUGUGCUGUGUAGAUGCCGCUGCGCUGCUCAGCUCCCUCGCCCGCGAGCUCUAGCCCUCUUAGCCGCAACCACCGAACUCCGGCCGCCGCCGCAAGCUCCGCUCCGGCGAGUGCUGACCACCCCGCAUCCUUCCGUCACCUCCUCCGGAUGCGCACGAGCGCUAGGAACCCACAGAGCCUCUCCACGCGGCGUUUGGCCGCCGGAGCAAGAAACCCGAAGGCCUCCGCCGUCUCGGCCUCGCCGGCGUCAAGCCGCCGGCAGGUUAGGCCCUGCUGACCAGGGGUUUGACCCCCCCUGUUAAUUAGUUUAGUUUAUUUUAAUUUAUUUAGCCACUGUUUCACUGCCAUGUGGGCCCGAGGCCCUGCUAAUUUGGUUUAGGUACUAAUUAAGUUUUAGCUAACCCACUGACCCGCUGACUGUGGGCCCCAACCCUUCUAAUUACGUUAGUUAAGAAUUAACUAAACCCUGAUUAAGUCCUGUGUCACUGACGUGUGGCCCCCACACGUCAGGUUUGACCCGAGCCAGCCCAGUUGACUCUGCUGACGUCAUAGUGACGUGGUGCUGACGCCAUAAAUCAUUUCUGGAUUUAUUAUUAUUUCAGGAAUUCCAGAAAAUGCCCUAAACUUCAAUAAAUCGUAGAAAUUCAACCGUAGCUCCAAAUUAAAUAAUUUAUAUAUGAAAAAUUAUCAGAAAAAUUCAAGGAAUCCAUCUGUACCAUUUUCAUGCAUGUUAGAACAACUUAUAGCUGCUGUUUAGCACAAAUCAUAUAAAUGGCAUCUGAAUAAUCACAUAUGGAGUUUGAAUUUGAAUCUUAUAUUCAAACCAACUUCAUUUAAUCUGUUGCUAGUUGCAUUAGCUCAAAACACAUUCAUAUUGCCAUGUCAUGAGCAUGCAUCAUAUUGUGCAUUGCAUUGAUUGUAUUUCUUCUUUGUUGCCGGUAAUUGUCCCCUCUCGAUAGACGUGUACCGACGAUGUGAUCGAUGACACCGAUGAAGAGCUAUAUUAUCUUCAGAAGUGCCAGGCAAGCAAAACCCCCUUGUUCAUUCCGAUACAAUCCCACUCUCUCGCUCCUGCUCUCUUUUACUGCAUUAGGACAACAACGAUUCAACUGUUACUUGCUGCGGUAGCUGAACCCCUCUAUCCUUUGCAUGACCUGUCAUUGCCACAGUAAAUAGAUGAAACCCACUAGCAUGAGUAGGAGUUGUUUGAGCCCUGAUGUGCCUACUCAUUUAUGUUUGUUGUCAUGCCUGCUACUGCUUAGAGUUGAGUCGGGUCUGAUUCAUCGGGGAUGAAUCAGAGGCGUGUGAACCUGUCCUACUGUGUGUGAGCUAAGUGUGUGAACACGAUUUGGUAAAGGUAGCGGUGAGAGGCCAUGUAGGAGUACAUGGUGGGUUGUCUCAUUGCAGCNNNNNNNNNNNNNNNNNNNNNNNNNNNNNNNNNNNNNNNNNNNNNNNNNNNNNNNNNNNNNNNNNNNNNNNNNNNNNNNNNNNNNNNNNNNNNNNNNNNNNNNNNNNNNNNNNNNNNNNNNNNNNNNNNNNNNNNNNNNNNNNNNNNNNNNNNNNNNNNNNNNNNNNNNNNNNNNNNNNNNNNNNNNAUGACCAGUUACUACCACACAUUGGGUUCCGGUAACUCGACCCCUCUCGACUUAUUAAUCAACAUGAUCUCUGUCCAGGAGUUGCAACUAGUUUCUGGUGUUUGUAGGUAGUGUUAGUAGUCUACCAAGUGGCACCCGGUACAGGUGGGCUUGGGACAGACUAGGCACAGUGGCACGGUGUACCAAGUGGCACCCGGAUGGUGGGCUUGGGAACCCUGCUCACAUCGUUUGGGGCCGUGAGCGACACCCCGGCCGGAUCUCCUUGCGGAUGGAACCCGAAUAGGCGAUAAACCUAGACUAGAGACUUGUUCGGUUAGUCAGGUCGUGGCCGACUCCCUCGCCCGGCUUCCGCUUGAAGGUUGCCGAGGUACAUGACGUGUACAGGGCGGUAAGUGGCGAGAGCGUGUGUGAAGAAGUACACCCCUGCAGGGUUAACAUCAUCUAUUCGAAUAGCCGGAUUCCUUGGAUAUGGAAACUUGGACCCCUUGUACAGUUCAUAGACUAGUGAAAGUGGAUACUCUAAAAUACGCAAGAUAAGCGUGAGUGCUAUGGAUGGCGUUCUCGUAGGGAGACGGGAGCGGAUCCAUAGUGGUGUAUUGAUAUGGUGAAUAUGUGGACUCGUGUGCGCCACCUCAAAAGAGUUACUUGCAGUCGUAGUUUAGGAUAGCCACCGAGUCAAAGCUGGCUUGCUGCAGUUAAACUCCACCACCCCCUUUGUUGAUAAUGAUGCAUAUGUAGAUAGAUCUGAUGUAAGUCUUGCUGGGUACAUUUGUACUCACGUUUGCCUAUUUUAUGUUUUUGCAGAGAGACUUCAGUCUCACUAGUAGUUCCGCUUGGACUUCGACGUUUAGCUUGUUACCUCAGCUACGAUCUUGUGCCCUCGGCAGGAUCUGGUAGAUAGUCAGGCUUCUCAGCCUUUUUCAUUUCUAGAUGUCUGUACUCAGACAUGUUAAGCUUCCGCAUGUGCUUUGAUUUGUAUGCUCUGAGUGUUGGGUCAUGAGACCCAUGAUUGUAAUAUCCCGCUCCUCGGAGCCUAUUGAAUAAACUACUUGAGUCGUAGAGUCAUUUUGUGAUGCCAUGUUGUAUUGCACAUAUCGAGCAUAUUGUGUGUAUGUUAUUGAAAUGCUUGGUAUGUGUGGGAUCUGACAACCUAGUUGUUUAUCCUUGGUAGCCUCUCUUACCGGGAAAUGUCUCCUAGUGUUUCCACUGAGCCAUGGUAGCUUGCUACUGCUCCGGAACACUUAGGCUGGCCGGCAUGUGUCCUUCUUCGUUCCUGUGUCUGUCUCUUCAGGGAAAUGUCACGCGAUGAAUACCGGAGUCCUGUUAGCCCGCUACAGCCCGGUUCACCGGAGUCCUGCUAGAACCAGUGCUACAGCCCGGAUUCACUCGCUGAUGACCGACACGUUCGAUGUUGGGUCAUGGAUGCCUGUCCCUGUAAGUUAGUGCCACUUUGGGUUUACGACUAGCCAUGUCAGCCCGGGCUCCUUAUCAUAUGGAUGCUAGCGACACUAUCAUAUACGUGUGCCAAAAGGCGCAAACGGUCCCGGGCAAAGGUAAGGCGACACCCGUGGGAAUACCGUGCGUGAGGCCGCAAAGUGAUAUGAGGUGUUACAUGCUAGAUCGAUGUGGCAUUGAGUCGGGGUCCUGACAGGUCCUUUGAGAACAGGCAGAAGCGGUUUUACCCAUGUGCUGGUAGCAGUCGACUAGUUCCUAAGUGGAUCGAAGCUAAACCCAUCAAGAACCUCGAUGCCGGUACUGCUGUCAGCUUCAUCAGAGAAUUGAUAUUCAGAUAUGGGGUCCCGCACAGCAUCAUCACUGACAAUGGGUCAAACUUUGAUUCUGAAGAAUUCAGAGCUUUCUGCACAUCUCAAGGCACACGAGUCGACUAUGCUUCAGUCACCCAUCCACAGUCGAAUGGACAGGCAGAACGAGCCAACGGUUUGAUUCUCAAAGGGUUGAAGCCUCGUUUGAUGCGUGAUCUCAAGCAUGCGGCGGGUGCAUGGGUUGACGAACUUCCCUCGGUGCUUUGGGGGUUAAGGACCACACCCAACCGGUCGACUGGUAGAACUCCAUUCUUCUUGGUCUACGGAGCUGAAGCAGUCUUGCUGAGUGAUCUUCUCCACAACGCUCCCCCAGUCGAGCUCUACACCGAAGCUAGAGCAGAACAAGCGCGGCGGGACGCCAUCGACCUUUUAGAAGAAGAAAGAGAGAUGGCUCUGAUCAGAUCGACCAUUUAUCAACAAGACUUGCGUCGCUUCCACGCCAAAAACGUGAAGAGUCGAGCCUUCCAGGAAGGAGAUUUAGUUCUCCGAGUGGACCAGCAGAAACCACACAAGCUUGCUCCUUCUUGGGAAGGUCCCUUCAUCGUCACCAAGGUUCUCCACAAUGGAGCAUACCGUCUUUACAAUGUCGAGCAUCAGAUCAACGAGCCCCGAGCUUGGAACGCGGAGCUUCUCCGCCCCUUUUACACUUAAGUAUUCACUCGGAUGAGUUGUAAUAAAAGUACUCCUGUAGUUUAUUUAUCAAAGACAAGAGCUUUAUAGUUUUCCCAGUGAUUCUUAUUGCUUUUGUCCAUAUAAAACAAUCCCCCAGUGGGUGGCUUGACUGCGAAUCCGAUUCGCCCAAGUCUGUAAAAAAAAUCCUAACCGAGUGGCGAGCCAGUGUCCCACACGAAGGCUUAGCUGCGAAAUCCGUUUCGCCUAAGAUAAAUGAAAUCCUACCGAGUGGUAAGCCAGCCUUCCACUCGGAGGCUUAGCUGCAGUCCGAGUACUCGCCUAAGAUAAAUAAAAUCCUACUGAGUGGUAAGUCAGCCUUCCGCUCGGAGGCUUAGCUGCAGUCCGAGUACUCGCCUAAGAUAAAUAAAAUCCUACCGAGUGGUAAGCCAGCCUUCCACUCGGAGGCUUAGCUGCAGUCCAAGUACUCGCCUAAGAUAAAUAAAAUCCUACCGAGUGGUAAGCCAGCCUUCCACUCGGAGGCUUAGUAGCAGUCCAAGAACUCGCCUAAGUACAAGUACAACAUGCGUUCUGCAAGGAGGACGAGGUGCAGGUCGACUGCUACCCUCUCCUUCCGAGCUACGCCACCAAUUCAAAAAUCCUACCGAGUGGAGAGCAGACCUCCCACUCGGGGGCUUAGCUGCAGCCCAGUGCUCGCCUAAGUGUCUGAAACCCUACCGAGUGGAGAGCAGACCUCCCACUCAGGGGCUUAGCUGCAGCCCAGUGCUCGCCUAAGUGUCUGAAAUCCUAUCGAGUGGAGAGCAGACCUCCCACUCGGGGGCUUAGCUGCAGCCCAGUGCUCGCCUAAGUUUCUGAAAUCCUACCNNNNNNNNNNNNNNNNNNNNNNNNNNNNNNNNNNNNNNNNNNNNNNNNNNNNNNNNNNNNNNNNNNNNNNNNNNNNNNNNNNNNNNNNNNNNNNNNNNNNNNNNNNNNNNNNNNNNNNNNNNNNNNNNNNNNNNNNNNNNNNNNNNNNNNNNNNNNNNNNNNNNNNNNNNNNNNNNNNNNNNNNNNNNNNNNNNNNNNNNNNNNNNNUCCUACUCGGGGGCUUAGCUGCAGCCCAGUGCUCGCCUAAGUUUCUGAAAUCCUACCGAGUGGAGAGCAGACCUCCCACUCAGGGGCUUAGCUGCAGCCCAGUGCUCGCCUAAGUUUCUGAAAUCCUACCGAGUGGAGAGCAGACCUCCCACUCAGGGGCUUAGCUGCGGCCCAGUGCUCGCCUAAGUGUCUGAAAUCCUACCGAGUGGAGAGCAGACCUCCCACUCGGGGGCUUAGCUGCAGCCCAGCGCCCGCCCAAGUGUCUGAAAUCCUACCAAGUGGAGGGCAAACCUCUCGCUCGGGGACUUAGCUGCAGCCCAGAGCUCGCCUAAGUGAAUUGGGGAACAAGUCGAUGGCAAUAAGCGCUUCGCUUUAACCUGCAAAAGACGCCUCAAACCAAAUGCAAACAUAUUCAGCGAAGAACCCAAGUUCGGAUAACACCUAGCGGAACCGAAAGUGCUCAGGCGCUAGGCCUGUUAACGUUUGUCGGUUACAAAACUCACUCGGCAUACCGAGGCAAAUUUAAAGUAUCAAGCUCAGAAGAUUUUUACCCCUCCUGUGGAGGGCUGGAAGGUGCCACAAACUCGUCCAGAUCAAUUCCAUCUGCAAUCCGAGUGGCAGCGGCAAUGAAGGUCUCCAUGAAAGAUCUGAAAUCGUGCUUCUUGGUGUUGGCCACCCUAAGAGCCACUAGCUUGUCCUCUCGUGCAUCCUUGAAGUGAACACGGACCAGAGAUAGAGCAACAUCCGCGCCGCACCUGGCCGAAGACUUCUUCCACUCCUGCACUCGACUUGGGACCUCGUUCAGUCGAGUCAUCAGAGACUCGAGGUCGUUCUGGAGUGUCUCUCUUGGCCAGAGUGUUGUGUCGAUGUGGGAAGUUGCGACCUUCAGCCUUGCGAGAUAAUCGAUGACGGCAGCAACACGAGAUUCAAGUCGGAGCACGUUCAUGGCGACUUCAUCUUUCACAGGAGAGUUGAUGGGGUCCAGGUUUACUUCCAGUCGACCAGUCUCCUCUUCAAAGUUCUGACAAAAUUCUGCAAGCACAACCACCGAGUCAAGACAAACAGUCAGAGGUUACAAUUAAAAUAUUUGUUUGAUACAAAGGAUUACCUUCAACCAUGAGGAACAACUUCUUGGCGAGUCCACCCAGAUAAGCCUCUAGAUCAUUCUUCUUUCUCUUCAACUCGCUGGCCUUGUCAUUCAGGGUGGUCUUGUCGCUUUUCAGUCGAGUGACCUCCUGGUUGGCAGCAUCAAGAGCAGCUUUCAGAUUGGUGUUUUCUUCUUCAAGCUUAGUCACCGAAGCCAGCUUCUCAUCCACUAGCCUGGUCUUCUCUAAAGCAGUUUUUUGCAUCUCAGCCAAGUCAAGCUCUUGUUUCUUCAGGGUGUCCCUCACUUUGCCUACAAAGUUACAGUGAGAUUAGAUUCGGAAACAAGUGAGAGGCAAAGGCAGUCGUCAAAGGCCUCACCAAGCAUACCUUUAGCUUCCUCCUUCGCCUUCAUCAAGUUCUCUUGGGCCAGUUUCAGAUCGAGCUCGAGCUGAAUGUGUUUGGUCUCCAACUCAGUAUAACGAGCCGCAAGGUCACAUGAUUUCUACGAAGAAUCAAUCGACAGACGUCAAAGACAAUUCACUUCUGAGUGAGUAAGGAAAAAUCAUAGCGUUUCUAAGACUACGGUCGAAUGCAAACAUUCCACUAUAGUCUCGGGGACUACACCCAGUGGGUGCACUCAGCGUGCCCCCACUAGUUUCAUCAAGAGUUGACCAGUCGACCAACAAAAAAAAGAGGCAAUGUUCUUUAGACUAUAGUCGACUGCCAGCAGUCGACCACAGUCUCGGGGACUACACCCAGUGGGUGCACUCAGCGUGCCCCCACCGGUCUAUGAAUCUAUUCGACCUUGUCGAGUAAAGAAAAACUCAAAGCAUAAAGACUAUGGUCGACUGCCAGCAGUCCACCAUAGCCUUGGGGACUACACCCAGUGGGUGCACUCAGCGUGCCCCCACUAACCCGGAAUUCCAAUCGACACACCCACUGGGUGCAGGACAAACUCUGAGAAUUGCAGAAAGAAGAGUUUACAGAUAUCAUAUCCUAACAGAACAGGCAGUGACCGACUGACCUGAACAUUACCAUGAAGAGCUGAACUAGCGUCAUAGGCUGCCUGGCUAGCUUCUCGUAUCGCCUUCACUUGCUCCAUCAUGACCCCCACUUGGCGUAUCACUUCUCUAGCAGCACUGGCUUGGUCUUCUGGAACGGGGUAGGUGGAGAAAAGCGAGGGUUGAGCAGCACUCGACGACGAAGGGCGAGCACUCGUCAACGGCACCAUGAAGGUUACGGUGGGUCGAGUGACAUUGUCUCCCUCCACGACGAACGUCUCGGGUGCUGGCACAUCUCGAGUCACCUUGCGAGCAGGCGUUUUCUUGCUCCUCCUUUGCCUCGGUGGUUCUUCGUCGUCGUCGUCAGGAAGGUCAAUAACAAUGUUAGAUGAAGCUGCAAAAGGAAUCAAAAUUAGAGACAAUAAGUCAGUCGACUGAAAAUGGCAUCACAAGAAUCAUACCAGGUUGUGAGGUAGCAGCAUCCUCCAUCUCGUGGUCUUCAGCCUUGGUCGAAGUAUCAGAAGUAGCAGUGCUGCAGUUCUGGAAAUCAGUCGAUUGACCCAUGAGUCGACCAAGAGAAAGUUUACGAAACGGGGAAAACUCAAGACUACCAUUACCCUGAGAUAGUGGGGAUCACCUUCUUCAUCUUCGGCAAGACCUUCGCAGGUUUCGACGGUGCCACUCGAGACUGAUUUGGAGCUUUCUCAGUCGGCGCCGGAGAAGUAGUCCGAGGGCGCUUGGUCGACUGGGUAGCGGUCACAACCCCUUUACCACGCUCAGUCGCGGGGUCAUGAACAAGCUUCGAGUGUCUUUCCGAGCGGGGUGGUGCAACUUCCUCCUCCUCCUCCUCCUCUUCCUCCUCAUCAGAGUCGUCAGCCUCAUCAUCGUCGUCAGCAUCCGAAUCCCACUCCUCCGGGCUCUCGCCCCCACUUCCUUCCUCCUCCUCAAUCGGCGUCUGCGCUCCAUUGGGCAUCGAGUAUAACUCCGUGGUGGCCUGACAAGCAACAAAGCAAAAUGAAUAUCACUCGAUCAAUUCACAGCAAAGCAGAAUGGAUAAAACAAAAUUACACUUGGAGAUAAGCGGCCAUACCUUGUCCGGUGUAUAGGUACAGUCGAGUGGCGGGAUCCUCCUCGCUCCUUGAGGGUUGUCCUUGUUCCCUGUGAUGGUGGUCACCCACCUCUCCAGCGUGGCAUCGUCGACUGCCUCUGGAUGGACCCGAGUGGUGUCUUCGGUACCGCAGUACAGCCACAUCAGGUGGCCUCGGUACUGGAGCGGUUGGAUGUGCCGCCUAAGGAAGACUUCCAGAAGAUCCAUGCCCGUCACUCCGUCCCGAACGAGUUGGACCAUGUGCUCCACCAACAUUUUUACCUCGGCCUUCUCCUCAGGGAGCACCUUCAGAGAAGACGGUUUGUUCACUCGGUCCAUGGAGAACGGAGGGAGACCAGUCGACUGCCCCGGUGUCGACUCGUCUUGGCAGUAGAACCAAGUCGACUGCCACCCUCUGAUCGACUCAGGAAGGGUCAUGGCCGGGAAAGUGCUCUUAUUCCUCAACUGAAUCCCAAGACCCCCGCACAUCUAAAUGACCUUGGUCCUCUCAUCGUCCGGACUCGCCUUUUUCACUGUCUGUGAGCGACAGGUGAAUAUGUGCUUGAAGAGACCCCAGUGUGGACGACAAUGUCAGGACCCCGACUCGAUGUCACAUCGAUCUAGCCGGUAACACCUCAUAUCACUUUGCGGCCUCACGCACGGUAUCCCCACGGGUGUCGCCUUACCUUUGCCCGGGACCGUUUGCGCCUUUUGGCUCACGUAUAUGAUAGUGUCGCUAGCAUCCAUAUGAUAAAGAGCCCGGGCUGACAUGACUAGUCGUAAACCCAAAGUGGCACAGACUUACAGGGACAGGCAUCCAUGACCCAGCUUCGAACGUGUCGGUCAUCAGCAAGUGGGUCCGGGCUGUAGCACUGGGCUAGCAGGACUCCGGUAAACCGGGCUGUAGCGGGCUAACAGGACUCCGAUACUCAAAGCGUGACAUUUCCCCGAAGGGACAGACACAGGAACGAAGAAGGACACAUGCCGGCCAGCCUAAGUGUUCCAGAGCAGUAGCAAGCUACCAUGGCUCAGCGGUAACACUAGGAGACAUUUCCCGGUAAGAGAGGCUACUAAAGAUAAACAACUAGAUAGUCAGAUCCCACACAUACCAAGCAUUUCAAUCAUACACACAAUAUGCUCGAUAUGUGCAAAUACAACGAAGCAUCACAACAUGACUCUACGACACAAGUACUUUAUUUAAGGCUCAGGGAGCCAUACAUAACAUACACGAAGGUACGGGUCUCACGACCCAACAUACAAGUCAUACAGUCAUACAAACCAGCAGCGGAAGUAACUUGUCUGAGUACAGACAACUAGUAAAAUAAAGGAGGCUUGGAAAGCCUAGCUAUACUACGUGGUCCUUCACAAGCUCAGGGUCACCACCUGGGUCUUUAGCCUAUUCGUUGAUGUCAACGUCUACAUAGAACCCAUCAGAAGGGGUUGCAGCGUCUUCUGUAAAAAUGUAGAUUAUAGCAACAUGAGUACAAAGGUACUCAGCAAGACUUACAUCAGAUCCUACAUACAUGCUUAGUAUCAAGAAGGGUUGGUGGAGUUAUUGCAGCAAGCCAGCUUUGACUCUUGGCUAGACUAUCCUACGAUACUCCAACUUGAAAUGGUUUUGCGCACACGAGUCCACUACUCACCACUUCAAUACACUACCGAGGAUCCACCUCCGUCUUCCUACGGAAGAGCCAUCCUCGGCACUCACACUUAUCUUGAGGCUUUUAGCAGUUUCCAUUUACUUGUCUAUGAACUGUAUAGGUAACCAAGUAGUCCUUUACCGCGGACGCGGCUAUUCGAAUAGAUCAUGUUAACCCUGCAGGGGUGUACUUCUUCAUACACGCUCUCACCACUUACCGUCGUUUACGCGACAUGUACUCGGCAACCUUCAAGCGGAAGCCCAACGUGGGUGUCGGCCACGACCUACCUAAUCACCUAAGCCUCCAGUCCAGGUUUAUCGCCUAUCCAGGUUCCAUCCGCAGGGAGUCCGGCCGAGGUUUCCCAUACGGCCCCGAACGAUGUGAACAGGGUUCCCGAGAUACCUAACGGGUAUUCGGUACACCGUGCCACGUACCUACCGCAUCACAGCCCACCCCUACGGUCAGCGCUGUCCACGGCCUCCAGUAGGCUACAAACACCAAAAACUACUUGCAACUCCUGGACGGAGAACUAGGGUGAAUAAGAAGCCGAGAGGGUCCAUUGGUUUCGUGCCCAAUGCAUGGUAGUAGCUGAUUCUUAAAUCACACAUACAGAUCUCAGUGCUUAAGGUCGGCUUCAAUGAAACAACCCACCAUGUACUCCUACAUGGCCUCUCAUCGAUACCUUUACCAAAUCGUGUUCACCACACCACUCUCAUUACCGACAUAAUCAUUUCACUCUAGCCCAUCACCCAGAUGAACCAGACCUGACACGACUCUAAGCAUAGCAGGCAUAGCAAGGUAGGAACAACACAUACAUAUGGCUCAAUCAACUCCUACACAUGCUAGUGGGUUUCAUCUAGUUACUGUGGCAAUGACAGGUCAUGCAGAGGAAAUGGGUUCAACUACCGUAGCACACAGCAGUUUGAAUCGCGUUGUCUUAAUGCAGUAAAGGGAGAGCAGGAGCGAGAACAUGGGAUUGUAUCGAUAUGAUCAAAUGGUUGGUUGCUUGCCUGAUGGUUUGAUGCACUGAUACGGUUCUUCGUUAGGGUAAUCGCGGUACUCCUCGGAGGCAGAACCUGUCGCAAAGGACACCGACACACAACCAUCACCAAACAAUGUGCAACAAUAUGAUGCAUGCAUGAAACAUAGCAAUAUGAGUGUGUUGGGCUAAUGCAACUAAAACCAGAAGGGUUUGAACAAAUUUGAAUCAAGGAUUCAAAUUUCAAAGUCAAAUAUGGCCUUUUAAAGUGCUUUUCCUUGUUCUGCUUGAAACAUCAAUUUAACUUGUUUGAUCAUGCAUGAAAAUAGUACAGAUGGAUAGAUUGGAUUUUUCUGGUCAUUUUUCAUAUAUAAUUUGUCCAAUUUGGAGUUACAGAAUAAAAGUUAUGAAUUUUUAAAGUUUAAAUAAUAUUCUGGAAUUUCCUGAUUUAAAUUAAAUCCAGAAAAUCAAUUACUGCGUCAGCCUGACGUCAGUGUGACGUCAGCAGGUCAACGGAACAGGUCUGGGUCAAACCUGACAAUGGGUCCCGCAUGUCAGGGUGAUUAUUUUAAUUAAGAUUUAAUUAAAACUAAUCCUGUAUAAUUAACAGGGCUGGGCCCCACCUAUCAUUGACUCAGGGAAGUCAACCAGGGCCCACCCGGUCAAAGUCAAAGCCAGCGACGCCGGCGUUUAGCCGCCGGCGAGCCAGACGCGGCGGCGGGAGUGGUUUUGGCCAUUUCGGCCACCAAAGGGGCCGCGGAGACCACCGGAGUGGAGCUGAGGACAAACCGCAGCUCUUGGCGGAGUCCGUUGGGGUCGGGGUGGCCGGAGUUGGCGCCGGCGAUGACUUUGGCGGCCACCGGGGUUCGGUCGAAGAUGAACUUGGCGCUAGAGGGGUCGGUGAGGCUCGUGGAGUGGCUAGCUAGGUGCUGCGGGACUCGGUGAGUAAGAUGGACACCAUCUUGUGGCCGGAGUGUGGCCGGAAGCACGUCGGCGACGAGGUCCGCGACGGCGCGUGCGGGUGAGCUUGGUUUGCUCGCUGUGGUGCACGAGAGAGAGAAAGAGAGGAAGGGGAAGUUAGCCCAGCUCACUGCGGUCUUGAUGGAGAGGACGGCGUGGUCGGGGACGAGCUGCUGCGGCGGCGACAGCGAAGGGGAUCUCCGGCGAUGGCGGUUCGGGCGAGGUUGGUGCGGCGGCUUCGAGGCACGCGAGCGCUCGGGGCUCGACUAGCUCGAAGAAGUAGAGGACGGCGGAGCUUCUGGACACGGUGGCGCGGCGUGGAGACGAAGGGGAGCACGGCUACGGCGGAGGUGCGGCGACGGUGGCGUCAGCCAUGACGUGGGAGCGCGAGGGAGAGGAACUAGGGCGAAUGGAGGUGUCCAGGAGGGUUGGGGCGCGACGUGGAGCUCGUCCAGGCCAUCAGGGCGGCGAGAGGGGGAGGCAGGGCAGCGUGCAGCUGCGUGGCGAGCUGCGGUGCCGCCGCCGAGCACCUUGGCUGCCUGCCUGGCAAGCCAAGCAGCUCGCUGGAGCGGUGGCCGGGCUGGGCCGGCCAGGUGGGCUGGCUGGUGGGCCUGUGGUGGCGCCAGGUAAGUUUUCCCCUUUUUUUCUGUUUCUGUUUUUAUUUAAUAUAUCUGCAACUUUGUUGAAUUUAAUAAAAUACCUAGGCAACUUCAAAAAUCACCAAACUAUUCCUGGCCCAUAGUUGGAUUAUUUCCAACAUGAAACAUUUUAGUUUGGAGAUAUUUGAGCAUUUAAAUAUUUUAUAUUAUUUUAAAUGCCCAAAUUCAAAUAUUUAUGAUUUAAUUCAAAAACCCUAGGAUGGCCUAGGAAAAUGUGCACCACUUUUGGCAGGGGUUCUGAACCAAAACAAAAAUGAUGGGCAUUUUAGAAGGGCAUUUCAGGUUCAUUGAAAAUUAUUUUAGUAACCCUAGUUGGUUUCAGAGGGGACUGGGGGUUCUGUCAUCCCCAUUUCAAGUUUCUGAUGAAAGAGUAAACAUGAUGCAACACUCUAAUGCAUGACUAGCUAGGGUGUGACAACUCACCCCCACUCAAAAGAAUCUCGUCCCGAGAUUUGGGUUCCUCCGGGAAGAAGGCGGGGUACUCAAGUCGAAGACGAUCCUCCCUUUCCCAAGUUGCUUCAUCCUCAGAAUGGUGCGACCAUUGAACUUUGAGAAACUUGAUAUUAUGACGUCGGGUGGUACGCUCGGCCUGAUCGAGGAUACGAAUGGGGUACUCUCGAUCUGUAAGAUUAUCCUGGAGAUCAAGCGUUUCGUGGUCCACUUCACGGAUAGGAUCCGAGAAGCAACGCCUGAGUUGAGAAACGUGGAAGACAUCGUGGACUCUGGAGAGAUGCGGAGGUAGUUCCAGCUGGUAGGCAACUUCUCCUCGUUUGGCGAGAAUGCAAAAAGGUCCAAUGUAACGAGGAGCCAAUUUGCCUUUGAUACCGAAACGAUGGGUUCCCUUCAGAGGGGUGACCCGAAGAUAAGCCUUCUCGUCAACCUCGAAAGUCAUAGCCUUAUGUUUUCGGUCAUAUUGACUCUUUUGACGAGAUUGGGCUGUUUUCAACUUUUCAGGAACGAUGCGAACUUGUUCUUCUGCUUCCUGAAUCAUAUCCGGGCCAAAGAAUUGUCUUUCCCCGGUCUCUGACCAGUUAAGGGGUGUUUGACACCGUCGUCCAUAGAGAACUUCAAAAGGGGCUUUACCCAAGCUAGAUUGAUAGCUGUUGUUGUAAGCGAAUUCGGCAAAUGGAAGGCACUUCUCCCAGUCCAUUCCGAAUGAGAUAACAGAGGCUCGAAGCAUGUCUUCUAGAAUCUGGUUGACGCGUUCCACUUGACCACUCGACUGAGGGUGGAAGGCGGUGCUAAAGGAGAGACGGGUUCCCAUAGCAUUUUGGAAACUUUCCCAAAAUCGAGAGGUGAAAAGACUUCCUCGAUCCGAGUUAAUUUCCAAAGGAACACCAUGGAGAGACACUAUUCGGGAGAUGUAUAAGUCUGCCAGCUGACUAGCGGUUAUACUAUCACGAACAGGUAAGAAAUGGGCUACUUUGGAAAGACGAUCGACCACGACGAAAAUAGCAUUAUUCCCUCUCUUGGUCCUGGGAAAACCGGUAAUGAGAUCCAUACCAAUUUUAUCCCAUUUCCAUUCAGGGAUAGCUAGGGGUUGAAGGGUGCCAGCAGGCCGUUGAUGCUCUGCUUUUACACGACGACAGACGUCGCAAUUAGCAAUAUACUGAGCAAUUUCUCUCUUCAUCCUAGUCCACCAGAACCUCUGGCGUAGGUCCUGAUACAUCUUAGUACUACCGGGAUGAAUGGUGAGAGGAGAUUCAUGAGCUUCCUUAAGGAUCAAACGCCUCAGGUUUCGCACUUUGGGAACCACUAGUCGAUUCCCGAAGUAUACGACCCCUUGAUCAUUAAUGGAGAAGCAAUUCGCAAUUCCUUUCCGAAUGUUUCUCUUGAUGCGGGAGAUUCCCGGAUCUACCUUCUGUGCCUUGAUAAUCUGAUCCGUAAGGGUAGGUUUUGCCACCAAGGUGGAGAGAAAACCUUGAGGUACAAUGUGAAGGUUAAGCUUCCGAAAUUCCUCAUGGAGAAGCGGUUGACUUUGUUGUAACAUCAGGUUGUUACAAUAAGAUUUACGACUUAGCGCAUCGGCCAUGACGUUGGCUUUUCCUGGGGUGUAGGUUAUCCCUAAAUCGAAGUCUGUGAUCAACUCAACCCAACGUCUUUUCCUGAGAUUCAAAUCCGGUUGGGUGAAAAUGUACUUUAGACUUUGGUGAUCAGUGAAUAUUUCGCAACGGUUACCCAGGAGGUAAUGUCGCCAGGUCUUAAGUGCAUAGACUACGGCUGCAAGUUCUAGAUCAUGAGUAGGAUAAUUCUCCUCAUGUGGGUGCAAUUGCCGUGAAGCGUAGGCAAUUACGUGUCGAUCUUGCAUGAGAAUGCAACCUAGUCCUUGUCGCGAGGCGUCGCAGUAGAUAACAAAGUCCUUGGAGAAGUCUGGCGGUACCAGUACGGGAGCAGAAGUCAGGCGUCUUUUCAGUUCCUGAAAGCUGUGCUCACAUUGUGGAGUCCACUCGAACUUCUUAUCUUUCUUGAGGAGUUCGGUUAGAGGUUUGGCAACCUUGGAGAAGUUCUCGACAAAGCGACGACAAUAGCUUGCUAAGCCUAGAAAACUCCAAACUUGCUUGACCGAUUCAGGUGGAGUCCAAAUAAGGACGGCUUGAACUCGCUCAGGGUUAACAGCAAUACCUUUACCAGAUAUUACAUGACCCAGAUAGGUCACUUCUGACAACCAGAAUUCACAUUUAGAAAAUUUGGCAUAAAGGCGAUGCUCUCGAAGUUUCUUCAACACUAGCCUUAGAUGUUCGGCAUGUUCUUCCUCGUUCUUGGAGUAGAUGAGUAUAUCAUCGAGGUAAACCACGACGAAUUUAUCCAAAUACUCCAUGAAGAUUGAGUUCAUUAACCGAGAAAAGGUGGCUGGAGCGCUGGUUAAACCGAAGGACAUGACGGUGUACUCGUAUUGGCCAUAACGGGUAACAAAGGCCGUUUUAGGAAUGUCCCCGUUUCUGAUUUUGAUUUGAUGGUAGCCCAGCCUCAAAUCCAUCUUGGAGAAGACUGAGGAUCCAGCGAGCUGAUCAUACAGGUCGUUGAUCCUGGGAAGCGGAUAUUUGUUCUUGAUUGUGACCAAAUUGACAGGUCGGUAAUCUACAACCAUCCGGUCCGUACCAUCCUUCUUCUUGACGAAUAGGACGGGGCAAGCCCACGGAGAUGAACUAGGUCGGAUGAAACCCUUUUUCAAGGACUCAUCGAGUUGUUUCUUAAGCUCGGCUAGUUCUAGGGGUGCCAUCUUAUAAGGUCUUCUAGCAAUCGGAACGGUUCCUGGAAUGAGGUCUAUUACGAACUCAACAUCCCUGUCAGGUGGAACACCUGGCAAUUCCUCUGGGAAGACAUCCGGGAAGUCACGGACUACCGGAACGUCCUCAAGGUCUGGCAAAGGGCUGGCGUUAAGAGAAUAUAAUUGUCGCUUGGCUAUUCGGGUCAAGACAUUGACUAUCUUCCCCGAAGGAUGAGUAAGUUGAACAGUCCUAGAGAAGCAAUCAAUUUUGGCUUGAUGAGCUGACAUCCAGUAGAUACCCAAAAUGAUAUUAAUAUCUGAAGAUUUAAGGGCUAUCAAGGAUGCGAGGAAAACAAGUCUGUCGACUUGGAUUUCAUUUCCAUGGCUUACUCUAGAAGUUUGCCAUUUGGAUCCCGGAGUUUGAAUUACCAUAGAGGUUGGCAUAUCACCGAAUGCGACGUUGUGCAAACGAGCAUAGUUUUCAGAUAUAAAAGAAUGAGAGGCUCCUGUAUCGAAAAGAACAGAUGCCGGGUGGCAAUUAACAAGAAGCGUACCGAGAACGACGUUGGGAUCCUCUUGAGCUUCUUCGGCAGAGAUACAGUUGACAUGGCCACGUGAAGCGGUGACCGGUUUGGCGUGGAAUUUUUUUCCUGUCGGCUUGCCAUGGCCAACAGCUUUAGCAGAUUGAUUGGGGUUGGUCUGGGGACACUCACGCAUAUAGUGACCAGAUUCCCCACACUUGAAACAAGUCACGGAACUGGUACGUGGAGGAGCAUUAUUGGUUGGACCCCCAUAGGGCUUGGCCGGUGCAGACUGUUGAACGGGGCGAGGCGCCUGGAAGGAUGGCCUCGGUGUGAACCUGGGUGGCAGGGCGGUGUUAGGUACCCACACGCGGCGCUUCUGAGGACCAGCACCGGAUGAGGAACCCAUUUCGCGGCCGUGCUUGCGUGUUGCGUCAUAGUCAGUCUGACCAGUUUCAGCACUGAUGGCUUUGUUGACAAGUUUCUGAAAAGAUGUGCACUCAUGCAGACGGAGGUCGCGGCGAAGCUCAGGACUAAGGCCCUUACGGAACCUUGAUUGCUUCUUGGCAUCGGUAGACACUUCCUCAGUUGCAUAUCAUGCGAGAUUACCAAACUCCCUGCUGUAAACAUCCACAGAAAGUCGGCCUUGGGUGAAACUGCAAAAUUCUUCACGUUUGCGGUCCAUGAGACCCUCCGGAAUAUGAUGCUCACGGAAAGCCUCGCUGAUCUCAGCCCAAGUAGUGACAUGGCCCGCUGGGCGCAUAGCUCCAUAAUUUUCCCACCAUAGACUGGCGGGGCCUUCAAGAUGAUAUGCAGCAAAGGUGACCUUGUCAGCCUCCGCUACCAGCGUGGAACGCAGUUUAUGAGAGAUACCGCGAAGCCAGUCAUCAGCGUCGAGAGGCUCGACGGAGUGGUGGAACGUGGGUGGAUGUAAUUUGAUAAAAUCACUGAGUGACACCACGUUAGUCCUCUGAUGGUGUGCCGUGUUCUGUUCAAUACGCUCCAACAAACGGUUGGUCUCCCGCUUGUUUCUCUCAGCUUCCAUCAUAACCUCGGCUAGUGAAGGAGGAUGAGGCAGAUUUGCAUCCCUGACUUCACUGCCUUCGGCUUGCUCUUGAGAAGCAGGGUUGGCGCGCGUGUUGACCAUCCUAGGUAAACAAGACAAUGAUUUAGUCAGAAUGAUAAAAUUCCGACAUAGGAUACAGAAUGUAAGGAAUAGUUCGGAAUGCAAGAUGAUCAUCCGUAUGACAUGGUAAAUACAGAAACUGCUUCUUUAUUCCAUCAUCAUACACACCAUACAGGGUUUAGUACAAGACCAAACAAAGUACUAUUACGGUGAAAGAGGAUUACAUCUCAUCGGAGGCAUUCCAAGCUCCUAUACAUUAUUUUUCUACACCUCCGGAAGGAGUACAAACUAGGUCAUAUCCCACGAGUCAUGCGGGACGAUAGACGACACAGCUAGUGCGAACUAGUGAUACUACCACUAACUCAGACCGAUCCGUAGUAGUCCUUGUAGAAGUCACCUCCAUAGCCUGGAAGCUCAACAUGGUCAUCCGGAAACAGACGAUCUCGCGGAGCUUGUGGGCCAUAGGGGCUAGGAUGAGGUCGUGGACCAACAGACGGUGGCCUGCGGGGACCGCGAGGUGGGGUGAUGCCUCCUACAUCACGCCAAACCAUCACGUCUGGCAGAGCAGAUCUCACAGGAUAGAGAUCGCGCAUAUCUGAAUAUCCAGCUUGCACCGCCGGUGCGAACCGAGUCAAAGUGGCCCAGUGGUCAGCACGGGUAUUGAAAAGCUCUAACCUCAAAGCCCGAUUUUCACGGUCCUUAUCCUCGAGCAUCUCAGCAGUGGUGCGAGUCCGUGAAUCCUCCUGAGUGGGGUCAGCAUAAAUAGCCUGGAGAUACCCUUGUGCUCCCGGAAGUGAUCCUGACAUAUACCGGAAAUCAGAGUCCCGAAAUAGACCAGAUCUGACUCGCAUAAUGGUCAUCAUAGAGUAGGCGGCGUCCUGCACAGCCAUCUCAAUAGUAACCCCGAGUCCAUAGGAGCAGUGAAGAGGCUCGGUGGAUCCAGGAUAAGAUGGAAAUAUCCUGACAGUGCAGAGAUACUGGCUUUGAUUAAAGUCUCGGAAUUUCUCUUCGACCGUGUACUCAGGAUACCAACGGUAUCCAGCCUCAGUCAUUCCCCUGACCAACUUGGCAGUAUGGCCGGGUACAUCUAGGCAUCGAGUCAGGCGAACCACUUGAUUGAGGUCGCGAGUGGCCAUCUGAAAGAACAAUCAUAAUGCAAGGGCAUUAGAAUUUCUAGCAAAAUUUCGGCAGCAUAACAGCUGUAAAUGCUCAAGAAGGAUUUUGAGACAUUUGACAAAGGAUUUUGUACACCCUCAACAUCAUCAUAUCAAAGUUCUGAAUCCAUUCUAACAACAUAAUGUGGUAGUAGAACUGAACUAGGCUUGUAUCCAUCAAACUUAUAAGGUACUACUGAUUAGUAACCCAAAGUGGCACAGACUUACAGGGACAGGCAUCCAUGACCCAGCUUCGAACGUGUCGGUCAUCAGCAAGUGGGUCCGGGCUGUAGCACUGGGCUAGCAGGACUCCGGUAAACCGGGCUGUAGCGGGCUAACAGGACUCCGAUACUCAAAGCGUGACAUUUCCCCGAAGGGACAGACACAGGAACGAAGAAGGACACAUGCCGGCCAGCCUAAGUGUUCCAGAGCAGUAGCAAGCUACCAUGGCUCAGCGGUAACACUAGGAGACAUUUCCCGGUAAGAGAGGCUACUAAAGAUAAACAACUAGAUAGUCAGAUCCCACACAUACCAAGCAUUUCAAUCAUACACACAAUAUGCUCGAUAUGUGCAAAUACAACGAAGCAUCACAACAUGACUCUACGACACAAGUACUUUAUUUAAGGCUCAGGGAGCCAUACAUAACAUACACAAAGGUACGGGUCUCACGACCCAACAUACAAGUCAUACAGUCAUACAAACCAGCAGCGGAAGUAACUUGUCUGAGUACAGACAACUAGUAAAAUAAAGGAGGCUUGGAAAGCCUAGCUAUACUACGUGGUCCUUCACAAGCUCAGGGUCACCACCUGGGUCUUUAGCCUAUUCGUUGAUGUCAACGUCUACAUAGAACCCAUCAGAAGGGGUUGCAGCGUCUUCUGUAAAAAUGUAGAUUAUAGCAACAUGAGUACAAAGGUACUCAGCAAGACUUACAUCAGAUCCUACAUACAUGCUUAGUAUCAAGAAGGGUUGGUGGAGUUAUUGCAGCAAGCCAGCUUUGACUCUUGGCUAGACUAUCCUACGAUACUCCAACUUGAAAUGGUUUUGCGCACACGAGUCCACUACUCACCACUUCAAUACACUACCGAGGAUCCACCUCCGUCUUCCUACGGAAGAGCCAUCCUCGGCACUCACACUUAUCUUGAGGCUUUUAGCAGUUUCCAUUUACUUGUCUAUGAACUGUAUAGGCAACCAAGUAGUCCUUUACCGCGGACGCGGCUAUUCGAAUAGAUCAUGUUAACCCUGCAGGGGUGUACUUCUUCAUACACGCUCUCACCACUUACCGUCGUUUACGCGACAUGUACUCGGCAACCUUCAAGCGGAAGCCCAACGUGGGUGUCGGCCACGACCUACCUAAUCACCUAAGCCUCCAGUCCAGGUUUAUCGCCUAUCCAGGUUCCAUCCGCAGGGAGUCCGGCCGAGGUUUCCCAUACGGCCCCGAACGAUGUGAACAGGGUUCCCGAGAUACCUAACGGGUAUUCGGUACACCGUGCCACGUACCUACCGCAUCACAGCCCACCCCUACGGUCAGCGCUGUCCACGGCCUCCAGUAGGCUACAAACACCAGAAACUACUUGCAACUCCUGGACGGAGAACUAGGGUGAAUAAGAAGACGAGAGGGUCCAUUGGUUUCGGGCCCAAUGCAUGGUAGUAGCUGAUUCUUAAAUCACACAUACAGAUCUCAGUGCUUAAGGUCGGCUUCAAUGAAACAACCCACCAUGUACUCCUACAUGGCCUCUCAUCGAUACCUUUACCAAAUCGUGUUCACCACACCACUCUCAUUACCGACAUAAUCAUUUCACUCUAGCCCAUCACCCAGAUGAACCAGACCUGACACGACUCUAAGCAUAGCAGGCAUAGCAAGGUAGGAACAACACAUACAUAUGGCUCAAUCAACUCCUACACAUGCUAGUGGGUUUCAUCUAGUUACUGUGGCAAUGACAGGUCAUGCAGAGGAAAUGGGUUCAACUACCGUAGCACACAGCAGUUUGAAUCGCGUUGUCUUAAUGCAGUAAAGGGAGAGCAGGAGCGAGAACAUGGGAUUGUAUCGAUAUGAUCAAAUGGUUGGUUGCUUGCCUGAUGGUUCGAUGCACUGAUACGGUUCUUCGUUAGGGUAAUCGCGGUACUCCUCGGAGGCAGAACCUGUCGCAAAGGACACCGACACACAACCAUCACCAAACAAUGUGCAACAAUAUGAUGCAUGCAUGAAACAUAGCAAUAUGAGUGUGUUGGGCUAAUGCAACUAAAACCAGAAGGGUUUGAACAAAUUUGAAUCAAGGAUUCAAAUUUCAAAGUCAAAUAUGGCCUUUUAAAGUGCUUUUCCUUGUUCUGCUUGAAACAUCAAUUUAACUUGUUUGAUCAUGCAUGAAAAUAGUACAGAUGGAUAGAUUAGAUUUUUCUGGUCAUUUUUCAUAUAUAAUUUGUCCAAUUUGGAGUUACAGAAUAAAAGUUAUGAAUUUUUAAAGUUUAAAUAAUAUUCUGGAAUUUCCUGAUUUAAAUUAAAUCCAGAAAAUCAAUUACUGCGUCAGCCUGACGUCAGUGUGACGUCAGCAGGUCAACGGAACAGGUCUGGGUCAAACCUGACAAUGGGUCCCGCAUGUCAGGGUGAUUAUUUUAAUUAAGAUUUAAUUAAAACUAAUCCUGUAUAAUUAACAGGGCUGGGCCCCACCUGUCAUUGACUCAGGGAAGUCAACCAGGGCCCACCCGGUCAAAGUCAAAGCCAGCGACGCCGGCGUUUAGCCGCUGGCGAGCCAGACGCGGCGGCGGGAGUGGUUUUGGCCAUUUCGGCCACCAAAGGGGCCGCAGAGACCACCGGAGUGGAGCUGAGGACAAAUCGCAGCUCUUGGCGGAGUCCGUUGGGGUCGGGGUGGCCGGAGUUGGCACCGGCGACGACUUUGGCGGCCACCGGGGUUCGGUCGAAGAUGAACUUGGCGCUAGAGGGGUCGGUGAGGCUCGUGGAGUGGCUAGCUAGGUGCUGCGGGACUCGGUGAGUAAGAUGGACACCAUCUUGUGGCCGGAGUGUGGCCGGAAGCACGUCGGCGACGAGGUCCGCGACGGCGCGUGCGGGUGAGCUUGGUGUGCUCGCUGUGGUGCACGAGAGAGAGAAAGAGAGGAAGGGGAAGUUAGCCCAGCUCACUGCGGUCUUGAUGGAGAGGACGGCGUGGUCGGGGACGAGCUGCUGCGGCGGCGACGGCGAAGGGGAUCUCCGGCGAUGGCGGUUCGGGCGAGGUUGGUGCGGCGGCUUCAGGGCACGCGAGCGCUCGGGGCUCGACUAGCUCGAAGAAGUAGAGGACGGCGGAGCUUCUGGACACGGUGGCGCGGCGUGGAGACGAAGGGGAGCAUGGCUACGGCGGAGGUGCGGCGACGGUGGCGUCGGCCAUGACGUGGGAGCGCGAGGGAGAGGAACUGGGGCGAAUGGAGGUGUCCAGGAGGGUUGGGGCGCGACGUGGAGCUCGUCCAGGCCAUCAGGGCGGCGAGAGGGGGAGGCAGGGCGGCGUGUAGCUGCGUGGCGAGCUGCGGUGCCGCCGCCGAGCACCUUGGCUGCCUGCCUGGCAAGCCAAGCAGCUCGCUGGAGCGGUGGCCGGGCUGGGCCGGCCAGGUGGGCUGGCUGGUGGGCCUGUGGUGGCGCCAGGUAAGUUUUCCCCUUUUUUUCUGUUUCUGUUUUUAUUUAAUAUAUCUGCAACUUUGUUGAAUUUAAUAAAAUACCUAGGCAACUUCAAAAAUCACCAAACUAUUCCUGGCCCAUAGUUGGAUUAUUUCCAACAUGAAACAUUUUAGUUUGGAGAUAUUUGAGCAUUUAAAUAUUUUAUAUUAUUUUAAAUGCCCAAAUUCAAAUAUUUAUGAUUUAAUUCAAAAACCCUAGGAUGGCCUAGGAAAAUGUGCACCACUUUUGGCAGGGGUUCUGAACCAAAACAAAAAUGAUGGGCAUUUUAGAAGGGCAUUUCAGGUUCAUUGAAAAUUAUUUUAGUAACCCUAGUUGGUUUCAGAGGGGACUGGGGGUUCUGUCAUCCCCAUUUCAAGUUUCUGAUGAAAGAGUAAACAUGAUGCAACACUCUAAUGCAUGACUAGCUAGGGUGUGACAGACAACCCAGGAAAUUCUCACACAUGGACACAAAGGCAGCAAGAUAGGCGAUGGAAUUGGGAUUGAAAUGGUGGAGUUGCGCCCCAAAGAAAUUCAGGAACCCUCGGAAGAAAGCACUCGGCGGCAAAGAAAAUCCACGAUCUAUGUGAGUGGCCAAGAGAACGCACUCACCCUCCUGCGGCUGUGGUUGGCACUCGGUCCCCGGAGCCUCGCCGACCCAUGGGGGAUCAGUCCCUCAUUGGCCAGGUCGUUGAGGUCUUUCUCUGUGAUGGUCGAACGGAUCCAAUCCCCUUGGACCCAACCCUUCGGCAGGCAGGACCUCGACGAAGAUCCGCCCCGACUGGACGGUCUCCCCUUCGCUUGCCCCAUCACCGUAACCUUCUUCGCGCGCUCUAGGGCCGCCGUCUUCUCCUUCACCAUUGUCGCCAGCGAAGCACGCAAGAGGUGGGUAGGCAGAGCCGGGAGCAGGCACAGCAGGCGGAGGCAGAGAAGGAAGAGAGAAGAAUGGGAGGGCACUGUUCAAAAAACUCUCCCCCGGCGCUUUAUAUAAGGACGUUUCCGAGUGGCUGACGGGUGGGUCCGAGCGAUCCUGUCACAUCUUGAAACAGUCGCGCACGCAUGAUAUGUGGCGAAAAAGGCGGCACGGAGAUCGAGGCGUCCAUGCCUUAUCCCAUCCGAUUCCCGCGGGCCUCCCCGCUUCGCGCGCUUCCCAAAUUUCGGAUCCCGCAAAAUCCGCUAGCAGUAGAUCAGACUGUCAGACAAUAUCUUUCCCGCGAUCCGUCGCUCGGGAGUUCUCCAGAGUUCAAAAGUUCACUCGACAGAAGAUAAGAAUGGAUCAAGGCGACUGAAGUAAAAGUUGACGCCAACACCGAAAGAAAAAUCGCCAAUCCAAGAUACGACACAAUCAAAGCGCAAGAAAUGAGUCGGAGAAAAUCAUCAACUCCUUCCUCACUCGAACCUCGAUCCAUUCGGGGGCUAAUGAUGAGGAUAUGUACCUAGGGUAUGGUCAUAGACCUAUCUAGGAUACCAUACCCAAGGACAUCAUCAUACGAAGCUACCUUCCAGUCGACCAAGAGAAGCUCCACUCGACCAAGGGAGACUCCACUCGACCGGCUAGAAGACACUCGACCAUGAAGACGCACUCGACCAUCAGAAGUUCAAGAUCUAUGUUGUAUCCAAAUGGUCUGUAAAUAAGUAGUCUUAAUGGUCAUGAUGACACUUUAUGUAGGGUGUUACCAGUAACGCCCGGCUUAAUGUACUUUAACCCUCCUCUACGUGGGCUGGCUGGGGUCCUGGCGUCCUCUAUAUAAGCCACCCCCCUCCACUGGGAGAAGGGUUCGCACCCCUGUAACUCAUAUACACAGAGAUCAGUCGACCGCCUCCGGGCUCCGAGACGUAGGAUUGUUACUUCCUCCGAGAAGGGCCUGAACUCGCUAAUCACCCGUGUGUACAACUACUCCGUAGCUAGGACCUUGCCUUUCCAUACUUACCCCCCAUUCUACUGUCAGACUUAGAACCACGACACCGCCCGCUCCACGGCGAUCUGCUCCUCCGCCUGUAGGUGCUCCUGGAGGAGAGGCUGGUUGUAGGCAGCGUCGGCCUGCGCCUCCCAGAACUACUCCUCACGCAUCUGCCUCACCGUGUCCAUAGAUUGGGCACGGGCCUCACCGAUGAUCAUGGUGUAAUGCACCGGCGAGGAUGGCGUGGAGGAGGGGGUUGGCGCCGGAUCAUCGACUAUCAUGUUCUCCAUUGGGACGUCGUCGUCCUCCGGCUGCCUGCCGGCCAACCGGUCGGCAGCAAUGGCUGCCAUCUCCUUGUGGUCCGUCGUCCGCCCGUCCCGAAGAGCAGUGGAGCACGAGGAAGCCAUGGUGGGCAAUAGUGGUGUGGACAGGAGAAAGGGAACGGAUGCGGAUGACUGCGGCUAUGGCCGGCGCAGCAGUUUAUAUAGCAAUGGUGGGCGACGGAGGGACGGACGUGUGGCGCCGGAGUAGCCGUCUUGGCAACCGGUAUCAUUAAUGUGGGCGGCAGAUGGAUGGACGGACGGCACUUGUGUCGUUUGAAGGCAGAGCAAUCGCUUGCACCAGGAAGCGAGGCAGGCGGCGCUCACUGUUUCGGGUGGAAAGGGCGCGCGGGCGAGGAGAUGACUUUACUUGGGGACCCACCAGAGCCAUAGCCUCACGUACGCAAGUGCCUCCUUAUAUAUAUAUAUAUAUAUAUAUAUAUAUAUAUAUAUAUAUAUAUAUAUAUAUAUAUAACUACAAUUUAUUUUGCUUCCUCCUGGUUUCCUGACAUCACGGUCGCACACCAUAGUCAAUAAACAAGAGAAUUGCACAAGAAGCGGCCGACAGCUGGGACCAAGCAGCUCGAGCAGUAUUUGUGUUUUUGAGGUGUGAGCACUUCAGAGUUUUUUGAUGUUUAGCCCAGAUAUUAAUUUUUCUCCUCUGAACAACAACGAAAACAUCGCUGCAGGUAUUAACUGGGCGAGCUGUGGCCCAUCUAGCCCAGGCCAGAUAUCCAGCCCAGAUAUUAAUUUUUUUGAAGCUGAAAAUGGCUAACCCAGCUAUACUUUUUUUAGGAAUACCCAGGCAAGGUCAGGUUGUUAUUCUCCGCCCCGGUGGGCUGCAAAUCUUUCCUAGGAGGGAUGCAUUAGGCUUAACAAGAAAAUGGGCUUUAAGAAAUAAUAAAUGGGAUGUAAUUAUAAAAACUGGGCAGUAACUAUAAAAAAGUGCACCAAACACUUAAUUACUUUAUAAAAUAUUAUUUUUGGAUAUUGAAAAUUUUAAUUUCAUUAAUCGUUGCGAGCGCAAUGUUUCGUUGGAUUUUUAAGUAAUAUAAAUUUAUAUUGAAAUUAUAUUUAAUCUGACUAGAAAUUUUGGGAUAAAAAUAUUUCGGAUCCCAUCAAAAUGUGGGAAAUUUUAUUGAAUUCUGUUUCGAACAGUUGGUUGAAACGGGCUAUACUUUUAAUGAACUGUAAAUGGGCUGUAGUAAAUUUCAUUAGAAUUCAAAAAUGGGCUACACAUUCUUACAAAUCUUAAAUGGGCUAUAAGUUCUCUGCCACACACUUCUGGCCUUACUAAGUUGACGUGUCCCCUUAAAAGACAGAGUUGACGCGUAUGCAAGCCUUUGUCAACUUAUAGUCAACACACGGUUCUAGCAGCAGUGGCCAUUGGAUGUCCAUCCAACGGAUGACAUGCUUCUUCUUCAAUCUCGGAUAUUCUAGCUUCACCCGCCCAAAAAAUGAUUCCUCCCCCUAACAUCUGGGGUGCACCAUUUCGGAAGCUGGCCAGUGGGCCUACUAAGUUGACGUACCAAGGGCUUUGUCAACUUAGUCAAUAUAAACGAUUCUAGCUGCAGUGACUGUACGAUGUCCAUCUAACGGUUGUCGUGCUUCUUCAACCUCUGGUCUUCUUGCUCCAGCCGCCCAAAGCAGCGCCGGUCGUGCCGACUGCUCCUGCCUCCCGUGGCCGGCUGUGCUUCCGCGGAGGCCUCACCGCCCCCUACUACUCCCACCGCUGGCCAGCCCAUCCCUCCACUCACCCACACCCCCUGUUAUUCUGCGGUGAUGGCAGCGCAGCCGAACCAGUGAACCCUCGUACUCCUCUCCGUGUGUGCAUCCACGGCCACGUCUUCCCCGGCUCCGCGUCGUCCCCUUCCUAGGCCUCGCCAUCGUCCACCGCCGUGGUGCUCUCGGCGCGGCGUGGUCAGGGAACGACUUCCAUCGGACAUGGACUAUAUGUGGAGAUGCUGACAGCUGGGUCCACGACAGCUGCAAGGAAGUGCCUUCUUAUUAUGCGCAAAAUAAUUAUUCCUCCACUUGACAGUGGGGACCCACCGAACGGGCCACAGUAUUUCGCGAAAAAAAUGAUUCGCCCCCAGACUACUGGGACCCACCAGCUACAUCUUCACACGCAAAGAAGUGUGUUCGGGAAAAAAAUGAUUCGCCCCCCUGACUGCUAGGACCCACCAGCUACAUCUUCGCACGCAAGGAAGUGCGUCCGAAAAAACAAUUUGCCCCCUGACUGCUGGGACCCACCAGCUACACCUUCGCACGCAAGGAAGUGCGUGCGGGCAAAAAAACGAUUCGCCCCCCUGACUGCUGGGACCGAGUGGCUACACCUUCGCACGCAAGGAAGUGCGUCCGGGCAAAAAAAACACAAAACAAUUCGCCCCCCUGACUACUCGGACCCACCAGCUACAUCUUCGCACGCAAGGAAUUGCCUGACAGUCGGGACCCACCUGGUCAAAGCGUACGUAGCGUUGUCAUUCUGGUCGCAAACGUGUAUGUACAUAUAUACUGGUCGAUGUAGAGGCGCGCACAUGUCAUAGUAGAGGCGCGCACGUAGCAUGUACACGUACAGCGGCCAGGGUGCAAGAAAGAAAAUAGGGCCACAUAUAUGUACAUACGGGCGGGGUCUCGAACGCCUACUCGUGCAUACGUACGGUUAGGGCUCGUGUGCAUGGCUGGGUCGGAACGGAGAAACAGCGUCAUCGUAGUGUUCAUGGGGAGGCAAGGGAAUGCGUCGUGUUCAUUGGGAGGCAACGAAAUGCUCGUGUUCAUCGGGAGGCAACGGAACGCGUGGGAGCCAACCGGCUGGGUCAGAACGGAAUGUGUGGUCGUGUUCAUCAGGAGGGCUUGGACGGAACAGGCGAUGAAAACGAGGCCUGGCUGUAGGACCUUGAAGUAUGUCUAGAGGGGGGUGAUUAGACUACUUGACCAAUUAAAAACUUAACCUUUUCCCAAUUUUAGAGUUUGGUAGAUUUUAGCUAUCUUAGGACAAGUCAAGCAAUCAUCACACUAUUCAAGCAAGCAUGCAAAGAGUAUAUAGGCAGCGGAAAUUAAAGCAUGUAACUUGCAAGAAAGUAAAGGGAAGGGUUUGGAGGAUUCAAACGCAGUUGGAGACAUGGAUGUUUUUGGCGUGGUUCCGAUAGGUGGUGCUAUCGUGCAUCCACGUUGAUGGAGACUUCAACCCACGAAGGGUAACGGUUGCGCGAGUCCAUGGAGGGCUCCACCCAAGAAGGGUCCACGAAGAAGCAACCUUGUCUAUCCCACCAUGGCCGUCGCCCACGAAGGACUUGCCUCACUAGCGGUAGAUCUUCACGAAGUAGGGGAUCUCCUUGCCCUUACAGACUCCUUGGUUCAACUCCACAAUCUUGUCGGAGGCUCCCAAGUGACACCUAGCCAAUCUAGGAGACACCACUCUCCAAGAAGUAACAAAUGGUGCGUUGCUGAUGAACUCCUUGCUCUUGUGCUUCAAAUGAUAGUCUCCCCAACACUCAACUCUCUCUCAUAGGAUUUGGAUCUGGUGGAAAUAAGAUUAGAGUGGAAAGCAACUUGGGGAAGGCUAGAGAUCAAGAUUCAUAUGGUAGGAAUGGAAUAUCUUGGCCUCAACACAUGAGUAGGUGGUUCUUUCUCAGAAAUGGCAAGUUGGAAGUGUAGGUUUAGUCUGAUGGCUCUCUCCACGAAUGAAGAGGAGGUGGAGGGGUAUAUAUAGCCUCCACACAAAAUCUAACUGUUACACACAAUUUACCAAACUCGGUGGGACUGAAUCAACAAACUCGAUCGAACCGAUUUAGUAAACCUAGUGAGCUUUAGUGAUUUUUGGUGGGACUGACAUGUAACUCGGUGAGACCGAUUCGGUUAGGGUUAGGGCAUAACGUAAUCUCGGUAAGACCGAUUACACAAAACCGGUGAGACCGAUUUUGGUAAUAAGCUUUCCAGAGAGUUGGUCAGGUAAACUCGGUGGGACCGAUUUGCUCUUUUCGGUGAGACCGAAAUGUUACAAAAGGGAAACAGAGAGUUUACAUUGCAAUCUCGGUGGGACCGAUCGCUCACUUCGGUUUGACCGAAACGUUACGAAGGGAAACAGAGAGAUUACAAUCCCAUCUCGGUGAGACCGAGAUCCCUAUCGGUAGAUCCGAUUUGCCUAGGGUUUGUGGCAGUGGAUAUGACAUUUGAAAUCGGUGGCGCCGGAUAGGAAGAAUCAGUGUGACCGAUUUUGGCUUUGGGUUUAGGUCAUUUGUGGAUGUGAGAAAGUAGCUGAGGGUUUUGGAGCAUAUCACUAAGCACAUGAAGCAAGAGGCUCAUUAAGCAACACCUCAUCCCUCCUUGAUAGUAUUGGCUUUUCCUAUAGACUCAAUGUGAUCUUGGAUCACUAAAAUAUAAAAAUGAAGAGUCUUAAGCUAUUGAGCUUGAGCCAAUCAUUUUUCCUUAGUAUUUUGAGGGAUCCACUUUCAUCAUCCAUGCCAUGCCAUUCAUUGAGCUUUCCUGACAUAUAUGUCUUGGAAUAGCAUUAGCUCAAUGAGCUAUAUGUUGUUAUGAAUUACCAAAACCACCUAGGGAUAGUUGCACUUUCACUGGCGUACCGCAGAACGGAGUAAACGGCCUUGUGUUCGACCACCACAUUCAAAAAGGGAUCCUAUUCAGCGGGAGGGGUGUGGCAUACUGCAAAACGGAGGAAACAGACCUCCUACGGUGGAAACAAGGGUCCUGUUGAUUGGGAGGGGUGUGGCGUACCGCAAAACGGACGAAACGGACCUCCUACGAUCGAAACAGAGGUCCUAUUGAUCGGGAGGGGUGUGGCGUACCGCAAAACGGACGAAAUGGACUUGUGUUGGAGCGCUACGGUCGAAACGGGGGUCCUGUUCAUCGGGAGGGGUGUGGCGUACCGCAAAACGGGACUCCACGGGAUACUGUUCAUCUCCACCGUCGACCUCCUCCAGCCUCCACGGGCUACCGUCGACCUCCUCCGGCCUCCACGGGCUCCUGUUCAUCCAGCCUCCACCGCGCGCUACUCCACCGGCUACUGUUCAACCACCCCUCCAUGGGCACCCCUCCAUCGUNNNNNNNNNNNNNNNNNNNNNNNNNNNNNNNNNNNNNNNNNNNNNNNNNNNNNNNNNNNNNNNNNNNNNNNNNNNNNNNNNNNNNNNNNNNNNNNNNNNNNNNNNNNNNNNNNNNNNNNNNNNNNNNNNNNNNNNNNNNNNNNNNNNNNNNNNNNNNNNNNNNNNNNNNNNNNNNNNNNNNNNNNNNNNNNNNNNNNNNNNNNNNNNNNNNNNNNNNNNNNNNNNNNNNNNNNNNNNNNNNNNNNNNNNNNNNNNNNNNNNNNNNNNNNNNNNNNNNNNNNNNNNNNNNNNNNNNNNNNNNNNNNNNNNNNNNNNNNNNNNNNNNNNNNNNNNNNNNNNNNNNNNNNNNNNNNNNNNNNNNNNNNNNNNNNNNNNNNNNNNNNNNNNNNNNNCCCGCAACGCUCAAUGUUCAUCCCAGAGGCAGCAUGGAUCGGCUUCAGUUAGCAGCAGUAGCGAAGGAAUUGCUUGAUCGGGUUCAGUUAACAGCCAUCAAUCGAUUGCUCGGGUUCAGUAACGCGUAGCCUGCAGUGCAAUCGCUCAAGUUUAGUUAGAGCCCAACGCCUCGCUCGGGUUCAGUUAGAGCCAACGUCUUGCACACACACGCGUACGUGUAUGAGAGAAACGCGCAUCGCUCGGCCCCCGACCUCCCACCGUAACCGGGAACUCGCCGAAAUUUUCCUCGCCCUCGCUUCUACCACGGUUUUUUCUGUCAUGGACGGCCCAAAGAAUGUCAUGCAGUUGCCUCUCCGGCCCACCCAGGACGAAAAUCCCAUUUUCUAUCAUGAUUUUUUAUCAUAGAAGUAGGAGCCCACCACAUCUAUGAUGAUACCGGGUUUUGUCACAAUUAUCGCCAUAGAAGUGUCAUAUGUAUGACAGAAAAAAAUUUGUUUGACCCAAAAUGUCACGGAUGUGUCUUUUUUUGUAGUGAAGAGAGAAGAAGCCACUAGCUACUAGCUAUGGACUUGUAGGUCUGUGGUGAAUUACUCACACAUCAUCGGAAGGCAGCACGGAUGAUGCAGAAGCCCUCAAUGAUCGAUUCCCCCUCCGGCGGAGUACCUGUAAAGGCCUCCAGAUGGAAUCGCGAAAGAAUAAAAGUUUGCGAUGGAGGAAAAAGUAUUUCGGAUGGCUCUCUAUUGGUUUGGGAAUAUUUGUGAAUUUAUAGGCUUGGAAUUAGGUCAAACAGAGUUGCGUGGGCCCAUAAGCCCAGGGGGCGCGCUUUGUGAGCUCGCGGCUCUCUUGUAGCUCUUCUGGCCUCCUACCGAACCUUCUAGGACCCCUUCUGGUCCAGAGAAAAUCACCGUAAUUCAUCGUAUUUGGACUUCAUUUGGUAUUGAUUUUCUGAAAAGCCAAAACAAGUAAAAAAUAGGAACUAGCACUUGGCAAUGGGUUAAUAGGUUAGUCCCAAAAAUGGUAUAAAAUAGCAUAAAAAUGCAUAUAAUCCAAGAUUGAAAAUAUAAUAGCAUGAAACAAUCAAAAGUUAUAGAUACAUUGGAGACGUGUCAGCAUUCCCAAGCUUAAUUCCUGCUCGUCUUCGAGUAGGUAAAUGAGAAUAACAGAAUUUUUGUGUAUACAUGUAUUAUUUGUAGUGAGAUAUGUACAUGACAAAGAGCGAUACUACUGCCAGGAUCAGACCAAUGUACAUGACAUAAGAAAGAGGUGGCACAUCUCUGAACGCAAGGUCCAUGGCAACAAGCAGACGCAAUGGAAAAGACAGAUUGUUUUGUCAUCUUUUGCAGCGCCAUCCUUUAGUAUGCCAGGGAGCAGCUAAGGAAUGAAAUCAUGCUCCAUUUUGGAUCAUAAGAUUUUAAUUUGACCAUAAGCUAAGCCUCCACCACACGAAAAGUGAUGAAAAUACAAAAUUUGUUAUGUGAUGCAAUACAAUGCAAAUCUUAUAUACUCUCUCUGUAAACAAAUAUAAGAGCAUUUAGAUCAUUACUUUACACGUUACCAUCAUAAUCUCAAGCUUUGAAUUUAGUACUACUCAUUAAUCAGUUGUGUGAUCUUAAGAAAACGCUAUACCUCUAAAAUGAACAACUAAAAGGUCACGAGACACGUAGUGAUCUCCAAAUAAAUUGGUUGUUCUAGGGGAAAAGUGAUGAAAAGUGUUGUUCUAGGAAAAAGUGACGACAAGCAUGGAUUAUCUGUUUCAUCAUCUUGGGAGGGGGAGGGUCAUCCACAUGACCACAAGCCAAGCCCACACCCCACGUCAAGUGAUGCAAAUCCCAAUCAUGUCAUGUCAUGAUUUACAAUGCAAAUCUUCUUUAAAACUUUACACAUUGGCAUCACUAUCUUAAGCUUGGCAUUUAGUACUCCCUACGGUCCAUAUUUAUUAUCGCUCAAAUGGAUGUAUCUAGCACUAAAAUACAUCUAGAUACAUCUGUUUCAGCGACAACUAAUAUGAAUCAAAGGGAAUACUACUAAUUAGUUGUGUGAUCUUAAUAAAACACCAUGCUUCUAAAAUGAACAGGUCACGAGGCAUGUACCAAUCUCCAGAUGAAUUUGAUGUUCUACAGAUUUCAUAUGUGCGGAAAGAUAAGGCUGAAAACCGCACACUUACCCGGGAUAGGAUGGGAUAUUUUGAGAAAUAGAUAAGGAUUAGUUCAGGUUUCUCCCAUAUAUACGAAAUGACUGGACGAUGACUAAUUAAACGAGAGACAACAAACCACUUAUCUUCCUUCAUGACUCAAUUGAUCGAGAGCCUUCCCAAGUUGCUUUUGCCGUUUUGUUGGUCACAAUGCAGAUGCUUUGAACCUUUGCACAACCGUGGGCAUGUGGCUCCCGUUAAAUAGCCACAAGAUACCCAUAAAAUUAGCACUUCCAAAGUUCUCAUUUACUCUGUCUUCCUCUCAAGUCUAACCGAAGCCCAACAAACCACCACCUCGGCCAUGGCAACCACCCUCGCCACCGACGUCCGCCUCUCCAUCGCGCACCAGACCCGCUUCGCCCUCCGUCUCGCCUCCACCAUCUCAUCCGCCCUAAGUCUGCUGCCAGCAAUGCCGCCUUCUCCCCGGUCUCCCUCCACUCCGCACUUAGCCUCCUCGACGCUGGCGCGGGCAGUGCCACUCGGGACCAACUCGUCGCCACACUCGGGACAGGCGAGGUCGAGGGACUCCACGCGCUCGCCGAGCAGGUGGUCCAGUUUGUGCUCGCCGACGCGUCCUCUGCUGGAGGUCCGCGUGUCGCCUUUGCCAAUGGCGUCUUCGUGGACGCGUCGCUGCUCCUCAAGCCAUCCUUCCAAGAGAUUGCAGUGUGCAAGUACAAGGCCGAGACCCAAUCCAUGGACUUCCAAACUAAGGUGACCCCCCCCCCCAACUUGGUUCUUACCAGAAAACAAAAACAAUGUAAAAGAAUUUUUAACGGACCUAAUUAUGUACAUUUGAGAGAAACAAUGACAUGCUUAACUAACUACUUCAGCCGCCUGUACAUGUUGGCAUGCCACUGCUUCACUCAGAGAGUUUGUUUUCUGCUGAUGUAAUAUAGAGGUCUAUAUUAAUCUUAUACACAUUCUAGAUUUGUAAUUUAGUGGUUAUCGUAUAUCACUGUUUUUUACACUAGAAGCUUCACCUUUGUAAGCAUAGUUCACACCUGCGACCUUGAACUGUGAAUGAUUUUGCUUAUCCUGUUAGUCAGCAUGAUUGGAGAUAACUAGUCUGUUACUUUUCUGAGCAUACCUAAUCUUUUGGGAGUGUAAUUCUCAUACCGUGCUAUCUAGGGAUAUGAAGGCUGGGGAAUUUGCUGAUGUUUUAUACUUUAAUUACGCUCUUCAGCGAAGUGAGAUUAUAAUUUUGGGAGUAUUUCCUGGAAACUUUGUCUCCAACGUAAGAAGAUGUACAAAAAAUCAGCUAAAGAUUAUAAUUUUGGGAAUAUUUCUGUAAAAGGUAUUGCAUAGUGGUGCUUCGAGAUGUUGUGAUGACCAUUUAAAUUUGUAUGCUCAUAUGAAUUGUUUUUCUAUCAUACGUCGUUGUAUGUGCUGAUUUUACUAUGUGUUUGAAAAUUUUACUAUAGAAAUGCUUUAUAAAAACGCUAGUAUGCUGCUUUGCAUUCUUAGCACAACUAUUAUAUUUUGUUCUUUGAAAGAAUUUUCUAUUGGUUUGUUCAAAGGUUGGUGGCACAGCAGUACCGUCAAACUAUUUUCAUUACAUAACUGACCUUUGUUUAUUUUUUCCAUGGCCCAGGCCGCUGAAGUUACUACUCAAGUGAACUCAUGGGUAGAGAAAGUCACGAGCGGUCGCAUCAAGGACAUUCUCCCCUCAGGAUCUAUUGACAAUACCACUAAACUUGUUCUUGCCAAUGCCCUUUAUUUCAAAGGAGCUUGGACAGAGCAGUUUGAUUCAUAUGGAACAAAAAACGACUACUUCUACCUUCUUGAUGGGAGCUCAGUUCAAACACCAUUCAUGUCCAGCAUGGAUGACCAAUACCUUUUGUCUUCUGAUGGGUUGAAGGUACUUAAGCUUCCUUACAAGCAAGGUGGGGACAAUAGGCAGUUCUCCAUGUAUAUCCUUCUUCCAGAAGCACCGGGUGGUCUCUCAAGCUUGGCCGAAAAAUUGAGUGCUGAACCAGACUUCCUGGAGCGGCAUAUCCCAAGGCAGAGGGUUGCACUUAGGCAAUUCAAGCUCCCCAAGUUCAAGAUAUCAUUUGGAAUUGAAGCAUCCGAUUUGCUCAAAUGUUUGGGCCUCCAGCUUCCAUUCGGCGAUGAAGCGGAUUUUUCGGAGAUGGUGGAUUCCCUAAUGCCACAAGGUCUUCGUGUCUCAUAUGUUUUCCACCAAGCGUUUGUGGAAGUGAACGAACAAGGAACUGAGGCUGCAGCAUCAACUACUAUUAAAAUGGUCCCGCAACAGGCAAGGCCGCCCUCGGUCAUGGAUUUCAUCGCGGAUCACCCUUUCCUCUUCCUUCUCCGGGAAGACAUCUCUGGUGUGGUCCUAUUCAUGGGUCAUGUGGUCAAUCCCCUCUUAUCUUCGUAAUGUGUUUGCUCUGAAAGUGUGUGUUGUCAGUUGCCCUCAGCCAUUACAUGUAAGGGAAGGGUUUCGACGGUCAGUCAUGUUACCGAUACAAUAAAUCCAAUAAAUGGUUCUCCUAAGAUAUCCAAUAAAUUGUCUUUUAAUAACUGCUUGCUUGUUGUGCAAAGGAAAACCAAUUGGACUAUUUUUCAUUAAUCAUUGUGGAUUUGUGGUAGUGCGGAUUUCUCAAAGAACUACUCAUGCCAAAAGAAAAAAUCUAAGUCAUCUUGAUUAGUACUAUCCGACAUGAAUCUCAUCGUCAUUAACAUCUAUAUUUCACAAAAAAAUGCCAAUGGCCACUUUUUGAGAUUGAAUAUGCUCUUCAAUUUCUCUUCUUCUUAGAUUUUUCAUAUCCUCGCUUAUCUUUAGAUACACUAUAACUCCUUGAGAUUGGAGCUCCCAGGGCCGAUUGUGUUGAUCGAUUUACAUGGCCCCACAUGAACGGACGUGACCUUCCACGCUACCCUCUUCCUUGCCGCAGAUCCUUCCUCAGUUUCUCUCCCUUCCGAGAAUCUAUUCCGACAUAGAGACAACGCCUCCAGCACUAUAGUUGGUGCGGCCGACCGCUUUCUGGCUCUCCUCUCCGAUUCCCUGCCUCAGAGCAUCUACAGCCUCAAACACGGUGUGUCUGCGGGCACUGAUCGGUCACUUCACAAAUUGGCAUCUACAUUCGUGUAUUUCAUAUCAGAUCUCCUAUAUCCAUACUAAACUAUGUAGCAUUGAUCAAACUACGUAUAUCAUCAAACGGACAAAAAAUGCACUAUACGUUCAUCAAAAGAUCAUCAACGGAUCUUCGAAAUACCGCCAAAGUUCACAUAGUGCACAUAAAUGACGGACAACUUUAAACUACGUCUAAAAACUGAGCGGAUCUUCAUCACUUCCUCGCCGGAACUUUCCCUUUUCGGUCGCCAGCACAGCUGUAGGCGUCGGCGGCUGGUGGAGGAUCGUCCGAGUCGUCGGACGAGGCGCCGUGGUCGUCACUAUCGUCAGAGGAGGAGCAGAGGAUGAUGAGGCGUUUGAGGCGCCGGACGGCCCGGUCCUGCUGCCGUUUGAGCUCCGCCAGCCGAGCCGCCUCCAAUGCUUUCUCCUCUGCCUCGCGCUCGAACUGCUCGAUGGCAAGCCGGAGCACCUUGGCGUUCUUCCAGCGGAGCUGCCGAUCAUCCGUCUCCGCUGUCGUAAGCGACCGGCAGUAGACCCAAGUGGGGAACCGCUCGUCCCCGUCGAGCUCCGCCGGAAACCCGCGGCGGCGGCGGACAUAUUACUCCUCCGCGUCCCUCUCCCUUGCCCGCUGCCUGCGGUGGCGGGCGUCGGACAGAUUUCUCCGCCGCGUCCCUCUUCCUUGCUCGCUGCCUGUCGUGGCGGGCGGCGCGCGCCUAGCGUGCAUGCCGCGCUCGCUGGGCGGGCACAAGUACCCACCGCUACCCAUGUGGGGGAGCAGCAGCCGACGAGGACAGGGGAUAGUGUGGGGGAGGCGCGGACUGCGCAGCCCUCGUGGCGCUGCGUGUGGGCCGGGAGGGGCCUGCGCCGGCGUCCUCGCUGCGCUGGAAGGGGAGAGGUGAGGCGGCAGAUCCGGAACUGACCUCCGUGUCCACCUUGGACCUCUCGACGGCAAUGCGGAGAGCCAGCACCUCGUCGAUGUUGACGUCAGAGUCGGAGCGGCUGCCGGAACUAGACAUGGUCGCCGGAGUCGUUUGACUGAAUCGAAUCUGGGAAAUCCGAGGAGGAGAAGAGAUGAAACGAGAGCGGAGCGAGGUAGGGUUUUCGAUUGGGGAUAUUUGUGGUGACGGCGUGGGGCCGGUGUGGACCGGGCUACCAUGGCGGACGCACCCGGGGCGCUCGAUAUCCGCCCUAGAUUUGAUCUGAAUAUGAGGGGAGUGAGACAGUCCAAGCAUUUGAGGCUUGUUUGAGGACACGUCUGGAUCAAAUUUUCAUGCUCGGUCAAUGAUCGCGCCAUCCGUCCGGACGUUUGAGACGGAUUUAGAAUGCGCGCCUGUAGAUGCUCUCGGCCUCAAUCUUUCGCCUCCAAACGUUCCCCCGCGACCAACCCAAUCCAGGCCUCGUUCACCGUCUAGCAGUCGUCUGCGCCGCCUCCCGCAAUUCCUCCGACCUCCGGUGCAACACUUCAUGUAACUUCCCUGGAUCAUCGCGCUUCCCGCGCCGUCUCGUCGACAGUCGACGUGCGCUUCUCAUGUUCAAUUUUUCAAGGAUAGUGUCACCGCUUUUUUCUCAUAGUGUUUGGCUGCUCGAUCACCUGGCCGCUGUUAAUCUCAUCUCGGUGAUGCAGCAAACAAAGGAGAGUGCGGGUCUGCAGUUCAAGGUCAGACUGCAGUGCAACUGUGCAAUGUAAGUUUGACUGACACGCUUGGAUCUGCCGCGUCUUUGUGCUGGGUGCUAGUCGCUGCCCUGCUAGAUGCAUGGAAGAGUUGCAUGUAUACACACCGGUGUUGAGCGUUGGUGGCCUCAUUGGUGACUGUCGUGGUUCUAAGUCUGACAAUAGAAUGGGGGGUAAGUAUGGAAAGGCAAGGUCCUAGCUAUGGAGUAGUUGUACACACGGGUGUUUAGCGAGUUUAGACCCUUCUCUGAGGAAGUAACAGCCCUACGUCUCGGAGCCCGGAGGCGGUCGACUGAUCUCUAUGUAUAUGAGUUACAGAAGUGCGAACCUUUCUACCAGUGGAGGGGGGUGGCUUAUAUAGAGGACGCCAGGACCCCAGCCAGCCCACAUAGAGGAGGGUUAAAGUACAUUAAGGCUGGGCGUUACUGGUAACGCCCUAUAUAAAGUGUCAUCAUGACCAUUAAGACUAUUUAAUUACAGACCGUUUGGAUGCAGAGUAGAUCCUGAACUUCCGAUAGUCGAGUGCGUCUUCAUGGUCGAGUGUCUUCUAGCUAGUCGGGUGGAGUCUCCCUUGGUAGAGUGGAGCUUCUUUUGGUCGACCGGAAGGUAGCUUCGUAUGAUAAUGUCCUUUGGCAUGGUAUCCUAGAUAGGUCCAUGACCCUAACCUAGGUACAUAACCUCAUCAUUAGCCCCCGAAUGGAUCGAGGUUCGAGUGAGGAAGGAGUUGACGAUUUUCUCCGACUUAUUUACUGUACUUUGAUUGUGUCGUAUCUUGGAUCGGCGAUUCUUCUUUCGGCGCUGGCGUCGACUUUUACUUCAGUCGCCUUGAUCCAUUCUUAUCUUUUGUCGAGUGAACUUUUGAACUCCGGUGAACUUACGAGCGACGGAUCGCGGGAAGGAUAUCGUCUGACAGAUUGAUCUGCUGUUAGCGGAUUUUGCGGGAUCUGAAAUUUGGGAAGCGCACGAAGCGGGGCAAUCCGCGGCAAUCGGGCGGGAUAAGGCAUGGACGCCUUGAUUUCCGCGUCGCCUUUUUCGCCACGUAUCGUACGUGUGCGACUGUUUCGGGAUGUGACAGAUCUGCUCGGACCCACUCGUCAGCCACUCGGAAGCGCCCUUAUAUAAAGCGUCGGGGAAGAGUUUUUGAACAGUGCCUCCCCAUUCUCCUCUCUUCCCUCUCUGCCUCCGCCCACGGCGCCUGCUCCUAGCUCCGCCUUAUCCACCUCUCGAGCGCUUCGCCGACGAUAAUGGUGAAGGAGAAGACGGCGGUUCUAGAGCGCGCGAAGAAGGUGACGGCGACGGGGCAAGCGAAGGGGAGACCGUCCAGUCGGGGCGGAUCUUCGUCGAGGUCCCGCCUGCCGAAGGGUUGGGUCCAAGGGGAUUGGAUCCGCUCGACCAUCACUGGGAAGGACCUCGACGACCUGGCCAAUGAGGGACUGAUCCCCCACGGGUCAGCAAGGCCCCCGGGGUCCGAGUGUCAACCGCAGCCGCAGGAGGGUGAGCGCGUUCUCUUAGCCACUCACGUAGAUCGUGGUUUUUCUCUGCCGCCGAGUGUGUUCUUCCGUGGGUUUCUGAAAUUCUUUGGGGCGCAACUCCACCAUUUCAAUCCCAAUUCCAUCGCCUAUCUUGCUGCCUUUGUGUCCAUGUGCGAGAACUUCCUGGGUUGUCGACCGCACUGGGGUCUCUUCAAGCACAUAUUCACCUGUCGGUCGCAGACCGUAAAAAAGGCGAGCUCGGGUGAUGAGAGGACCAAGGUUAUUCAGAUGUGCGGGGGUCUUGGGAUUCAGUUGAGGAAUAAGAGCACUUUCCCGGCCAUGACCCUUCCUGAGUCGGUCAGAGGGUGGCAGUCGACUUGAUUCUACUGCCAAGACGAGUCGACGCCGGGGCAGUCGACUGGUCUCCCUCCGUUCUCCAUGGACCGAGUGGUCAAACCGUCUUCUCUGAAGGUGCUUCCUGAGGAGAAAGCCGAGGUAAAAAUGUUGGUGGAGCGCAUGGUCCAACUCGUUCGGGACGGAGUGACGGGCAUGGAUCUUCUGAAAGUAUUCCUUAGGCGGCGCAUCCAACCGCUCCAGUAUCGAGGCCACCCGAUGUGGUUGUACUGCGGUACCGAAGACACCACUCGGGUCCAUCCAGAGGCAGUCGACGACGCCACGCUGGAGAGGUGGGUGACCUCCAUCACAGGGAACAAGGACAACCGUCGAGGAGUGAGGAGGAUCCCGCCACUCGACUGUACCUAUACGCCGGACAAGGUAUGGCCGCUUAUCUCCGAGUGUAAUUUUGUUUUAUCCAUUCUGCUUUGCCACAAAUUGGUCGAUUGAUCUUUGUUUUGCUCUGUUGUCUGAUAGGCCACCACUGAAUUGUACUCGAUUCCCAAUGGGGCGCAGACGCCGACUGAGGAGGAGGAAGGAAGCGGGGGCGAAAGCCCGGAGGAGUGGGAUUCAGAUGUCGACGACGACGAUGAGGGUGAUGACUCUAGUGAGGAGGAAGAAGAGGAGGAAGAGGAGGAAGUUGCACCUCCCCGCUCGGAAAGACGCUCGAAGCUUGCCCAUGAUCCAGCGACUGAGCGGGGUAAGGGGGUCGCAACCGCUUCUCAGUCGACCAAGCGCCCUCGGACCACUUCUCCGGCGCCGACUGAGAAGGCUCCGAAGCAAUCUCGAGUGGCACCGUCGAAGCCUGCAAAGGUCUUGCCGAAGAUGAAGAUGGUGAUCCCCACUAUCUCAGGGUAAUGGUAGUUUUGAGCUUUCCCUGUUUCAUGAACUUGUUCUUGGUCGACUCAUGGUCCAAUCGACUGACUUUUGGAACUGCAGCGUUGCUACUUCCGACACUUCGGCGAGAGCCGAAGACCACGAGAUGGAGGAUGCUGCAACCUCGAACCCUGGUAUGACUCCUGCGUUGCCGUUUUCAGUCGACUGACUCAUUGUCUCUAAUUUUUAUUCUUUCUGCAGUUUCAUCUAACAUUGUUAUUGACCUUCCUGACGACGACGAUGAAUAACCACCACGGCCGAGGAAAAGCAAGAAAACGUCGGCUGGCAAGGCGACUCAGGAUGUGCCGGCACCCGAGACGUUAGUCGUGGAGGGAGACAAUGUCACUCGACCCACCGUAACCUUCGCGGUGCCGUUGAUGAGUGCUCGCCCUUCAUCGUCGAGUGCUGCUCAACCCUCGCUUUUCUCCACCUACCCCGUUCCAGAAGACCAAGCCAGUGCUGCCAAAGAAGCGAUACGCCAGGCGGGGGUCAUGAUGGAGCAAGUGAAGGCAAUUCGAGAAGCCAGCCAGGCAGCCUAUGACGCCAGUUCGGCACUCCAGAGUAAUGUUCAGGUCAGUCGGUCACUGCCUGUUCUUCUUUCUGAAAUUCCUAGAGUCUGUCCUACACCCAGUGGGUGUGUGUCGAUUAAAAUUCCGGGUUAGUGGGGGCACGCUGAGUGCACCCACUGGGUGUAGUCCCCAAGGCUAUGGUGGACUGCUGGCAGUCGACCAUAGUCUUAAUGCUUUGAGUUUUUCUUUACUCGACAAGGUCGAAUAGAUUCAUAGACCGGUGGGGGCACGCUGAGUGCACCCACUGGGUGUAGUCCCCGAGACUGUGGUCGACUGCUGGCAGUUGACUAUAGUCUAAAGAACAUUGCCUCUCUUUUUUUUGUUGGUCGACUAGUCGACUCUUGAUGAAACUAGUGGGGGCACGCUGAGUGCACCCACUGGGUGUAGUCCCCGAGACUAUGGUCGAAUGUUUGCAUUCGACCGUAGUCUUAGAAACGCUAUGAUUUUUCCUUACUCACUCGGAAGUGAAUUUUCUUUGACGUCUGUCGAUUGAUUCUUCGUAGAAAUCAUGUGACCUUGUGGCUCGUUAUACUGAGUUGGAGAACAAACACAUUCAGCUCGAGCUCGAUCUGAAACUGGCCCAAGAGACCUUGACGAAGGCGAAGGAGGAAGCUAAAGGUAUGCUUGGUGAGGCCUUUGACGACUGCCUUUGCCUCUCACUUGUUUCCGAAUCUGAUCUCACUGUAACUUUGUAGGCAAAGUGAUGGACGCCCUGAAGAAACAAGAGCUUGACUUGGCUGAGAUGCAAAAGACUGCUUUAGAGAAGACCAGGCUAGCGGAUGAGAAGCUGGCUUCAGUGACUAAGCUUGAAGAAGAAAACACCAAUCUGAAAGCUGCUCUUGAUGCUGCCAACCAGGAGGUCACUUAACUGAAAAGCGACAAGACCACCCUGAAUGACAAGGCCAGUGAGUUGAAGAGAAAGAAGAAUGAUCUAGAGGCUUAUCUGGGUGGACUCGCCAAGAAGUUGUUCCUCAUGCUUGAAGGUAAUCCUUUGUAUCGAACAAAUAUUUUAAUUGUAACCUCUGACUGUUUGUCUUGACUCGGUGGUUGUGCUUGCAGAAUUUUGUCAGAACUUUGAAGAGGAGACUGGUCGACUGGAAGUGAACCUGGACCCCAUCAACUCUCCUGUGAAAGAUGAAGUUGCCAUGAACAUGCUCCGACUUGAAUCUCGUGUUGCUGCUAUCAUCGAUUAUCUCGCAAGGCUGAAGGUCGCAACUUCCUGCAUCGACACAACACUCUGGCCAAGAGAGACACUCCAGAACGACCUCGAGUCUCUGAUGACUCGACUGAACGAGGUCCCAAGUCGAGUGCAGGAGUGGAAGAAGUCUUCGGCCAGGUGUGGCGCGGAUGUUGCUCUAUCUCUGGUCCGCGUUCACUGCAAGGAUGCAUGAGAGGACAAGCUGGUGGCUCUCAGGGUGGCCAACACCAAGAAGCACGAUUUCAGAUCCUUCAUGGAGACCUUCAUUGCCGCUGCCACUCGGAUUGCAGAUGGAAUCGAUCUGGACGAGUUUGUGGCACCUUCCAGCCCUCCACAGGAGGGGUAAAAAACUUUUGAGCUUGAUACUUUAAAUUUGCCUCGGUAUGCCGAGUGAGUUUUGUAACCGACAAACCUUAACAGGCCUAGCGCCUGAGCACUUUCGGUUCCGCUAGGUGUUAUCCAAACUUGGGUUCGUCGCUGAAUAUGUUUGCAUUUGGUUUGAGGCGUCUUUUGCAGGUUAAAGCGAAGCGCUUAUUGCCAUCGACUUGUCCCCCAAUUCACUUAGGCGGGCACUGGGCUGCAGCUAAGUCCCCGAGCGAGAGGUUUUCCCUCCACUCGGUAGGAUUUCAGACACUUAGGCGAGCACUGGGCCGCAGCUAAGCCCCCGAGUGGGAGGUCUGCUCUCCACUCGGUAGGAUUUCAGAAACUUAGGCGAGCACUGGGCUGCAGCUAAGCCCCCGAGUGGGAGGUCUGCUCUCCACUCAGUAGGAUUUCAAACACUUAGGCGAGCACUGGGCUGCAGCUAAGCCCCCGAGUGGGAGGUCUGCUCUCCACUCGGUAGGAUUUCAGACACUUAGGCGAGCACUGGGCUGCAGCUAAGCCCCCGAGUGGGAGGUCUACUCUCCACUCGGUAGGAUUUCAGACNNNNNNNNNNNNNNNNNNNNNNNNNNNNNNNNNNNNNNNNNNNNNNNNNNNNNNNNNNNNNNNNNNNNNNNNNNNNNNNNNNNNNNNNNNNNNNNNNNNNNNNNNNNNNNNNNNNNNNNNNNNNNNNNNNNNNNNNNNNNNNNNNNNNNNNNNNNNNNNNNNNNNNNNNNNNNNNNNNNNNNNNNNNNNNNNNNNNNNNNNNNNNNNNNNNNNNNNNNNNNNNNNNNNNNNNNNNNNNNNNNNNNNNNNNNNNNNNNNNNNNNNNNNNNNNNNNNNNNNNNNNNNNNNNNNNNNNNNNNNNNNNNNNNNNNNNNNNNNNNNNNNNNNNNNNNNNNNNNNNNNNNNNNNNNNNNNNNNNNNNNNNNNNNNNNNNNNNNNNNNNNNNNNNNNNNNNNNNNNNUAAGCCCCCGAGUGGGAGGUCUGCUCUCCACUCGGUAGGAUUUCAGACACUUAGGCGAGCACUGGGCUGCAGCUAAGCCCCCGAGUGGGAGGUCUGCUCUCCACUCGGUAGGAUUUCAGAAACUUAGGCGAGCACUGGGCUGCAGCUAAGCCCCCGAGUGGGAGGUCUGCUCUCCACUCGGUAGGAUUUCAAACACUUAGGCGAGCACUGGGCUGCAGCUAAGCCCCCGAGUGGGAGGUCUGCUCUCCACUCGGUAGGAUUUUUGAAUUGGUGGCGCAACUCGGAAGGAGAGGGUAGCAGUCGACCUGCACCUCGUCCUCCUUGCGGAACGCAUGUUGUACUUGUACUUAGGCGAGUUCUUGGACUGCAGCUAGGCCUCCGAGUGGAAGGCUGGCUUACCACUCGGUAGGAUUUUAUUUAUCUUAGGCGAGUACUUGGACUGCAGCUAAGCCUCCGAGUGGAAGGCUGGCUUACCACUCGGUAGGAUUUUAUUUAUCUUAGGCGAGUACUUGGACUGCAGCUAAGCCUCCGAGUGGAAGGCUGGCUUACCACUCGGUAGGAUUUUAUUUAUCUUAGGCGAGUACUUGGACUGCAGCUAAGCCUCCGAGUGGAAGGCUGGCUUACCACUCAGUAGGAUUUUAUUUAUCUUAGGCGAAACGGAUUUUACAGCUAAGCCUUCGUGUGGGAGACUGACUCACCACUCGGUUAGGAUUUGUUUUUACAGACUUAGGCGAAUCGGAUUCGCAGCUAAGCCACCCACUGGGGGAUUGUUUUAUAUGGACAAAAGUAAUAACAAUCACUGGGAAAACUAUAAAGCUCUUGUCUUUGAUAAAUAAACUACAGGAGUACUUUUAUUACAACUCAUCCGAGUGAAUACCUAAGUGUAAAAGGGGCGGAGAAGCUCCGCGUUCCAAGCUCGGGGCUCGUCAAUCUGAUGCUUGACAUUGUAAAGACGGUAUGCUCCAUUGUGGAGAACCUUGGUGACCAUGAAGGGACCUUCCCAAGAAGGAGCAAGCUUGUGUGGUUUCUGCUGGUCCACUCGGAGAACUAAAUCUCCUUCCUGGAAGGCUCGACUCUUCAUGUUUUUGGCGUGGAAGCGACGCAAGUCUUGUUGAUAAAUGGUCGAUCUGAUCAGAGCCAUCUCUCUUUCUUCCUCUAAAAGGUCGACUGCGUCCUGCCGCGCUUGUUCUGCUUCAGCUUCGGUGUAGAGCUCGACUCGGGGAGCGUUGUGGAGAAGAUCACUCGGCAAGACUGCUUCAGCUCCGUAGACCAAGAAGAAUGGAGUUCUUCCAGUCGACCGGUUGGGUGUGGUCCUUAACCCCCAAAGCACCGAGGGAAGUUCGUCAACCCAUGCACCAGCCGCAUGCUUGAGAUCACGCAUCAAACGGGGCUUCAACCCUUUGAGAAUUAAACCGUUGGCUCAUUCUGCCUGUCCAUUCGUCUGCGGAUGGGCAACUGAAGCAUAGUCGACUCGCGUGCCUUGAGACGUGCAGAAAGCUCUGAAUUCUUCAGAAUCGAAGUUUGACCCGUUAUCAGUGAUGAUGUUGUGCGGGACUCCAUAUCUAAAUAUCAGUUCUCGGAUGAAGCUGACAGCGGUACCAGCAUCGAGGUUCUUGAUGGGUUUGGCCUUAAUCCACUUGGUAAACUUGUCGACUGCUACCAGCACAUGUGUGAAACCGCUUCUUCCUGUUCUCAAUGGGCCAACCAUAUCCAAACCCCAUACAACAAAGGGCCAGACAAGUGGUAUGGUCUUUAAGGCUGAGGCAGGCUUGUGUGACAUAUUGGAGUAAAAUUGACAUCCCUCACACUUGUCGACUAUCUCCUUCGCCAUUUCAUUCGCUCUGGGCCAAUAAAAACCAGCUCGGUAUGCUUUGGCCACGAUGGUCCGAGAAGACGCAUGAUGGCCACAGGUCCCCGAGUGGAUGUCAUUGAGAAUCAUUCGACCUUCCUCCGGUGUUAUGCAUUUCUGGCUGACUCCAGUCGCACUUUCUCUGUACAACUGACCUCUCAUGACGGUGAAGGCUUUGGACCGGCGGACGAUCUCUCGAGCUUCUUCUUCAUUCUCGGGGAGUUCCUUCCUCAAAAUAUAGGCGAUGUAGGGCACUGUCCAAUCGGGAGUGAUGACCAAAACUUCCAUGAUCAAGUCGACCACCGCUGGGACCUCGACUUCAGUCGGAUCUGUGGCGCUUUUAGGCUGCGGGGCUUCUGCAGUGAAAGGAUCCUCUUGAACCGAUGGCGUGUAGACAUGUUCCAAAAACACGCCACUCGGAAUGGCUUCCCUCUUGGAACCUAUCUUUGCCAAGUCAUCGGCUGCUUGAUUUUUCAGUCGGGGAACGUGAUGGAGUUCUAACCCUUCGAAUUUCUUUUCAAGCUUCCUCACUGCAUUGCAGUAUCUAGUCAUGGAUGGGCUUCUCACGUCCCACUCCUUCAUCACCUGAUUGACCACCAAAUCUGAGUCGCCGUAAACCAUAAGGCGACGGACGCUGAGUGAAAUGUCCAUGCGCAACCCAUACAACAGUGCUUCAUAUUCUGCUUCAUUGUUGGAGGAAUCAAAGUGGAUCUGGAGCACAUAUCUGAGCUUAUCUCCUCGGGGAGAAACCAAAACUACCCCAGCACCAGAACCAUUUAACAUCUUAGAGCCAUCAAAGAACAUGGUCCAAUGCUCCGAGUGAACUUGAGUCGGCUGCUGCUGUUCAAUCCACUCGGCAAGGAAAUCUGCUAUAGCCUGGGACUUAAUGGCUUUCUUUGCCUCGAAUUUGAUAUCAAGGGGAAGGAGUUCAAUCGCCCAUUUAGCCACUCGACCAGUUGCAUCUCUGUUGUGCAGAAUCUCCGACAAUGGUGCGUCGCUGACGACUAUAAUGUCAUGAUCAGAGAAAUAAUGAGCAACCUUCUUCAUGGUCAUGUAGAUCCCAUAUACGAGCUUCUGAUAAUGAGGAUAUCUUUGCUUCGAUCGGGUCAAAACUUUAGAGAGAUAAUACACUGGGCGCUGAACUUUGAAGGCUUUCCCUUCUACUUCCCGCUCGACCGUAAGUAUUGUACUGACGACUUGUCCUGUGGCUGCAAUAUAAAGCAACAGUGGCUCUUUACUGAUUGGAGCGGCAAGCACCGGCUAGGUGGAGAGCAGAGUUUUUAACUCGGCAAACGCUGCAUCAGCUUUUGGAGUCCACUCGAACUUGUCUGCCUUCUUCAUCAGUCGGUAAAGGGGCAACGCCUUUUCACCGAGGCGAGAGAUGAAUCGACUUAACGCGGCCAGGCAUCCAGUAAGCUUCUGGACAUCGUGCACACGCACAGGGCGUUUCAUUCGGAGUAUGGUGCCAACUUUUUCUGGGUUAGCAUCGAUUCCUCGUUCCGAAACGAGAAAACCGAGUAACUUCCCACCAGGUACUCCGAAUGUGCACUUUGAAGGAUUGAGCUUGAUAUCAUACCUCCUGAGAUUGGCAAAUGUUUCAGCUAAGUUAGUCAACAGGUCGGAACCCUUUCGCGACUUGACCACGAUAUCAUCCAUGUAUGCUUCCACAUUCCAACUAAUUUGAGUGAGUAAACACUUUUGAAUCAUUCUCAUGAAUGUGGCUCCGGCAUUCUUGAGGCCGAAAGGCAUGGUGAUAUAGCAGAAGCACCCGAAUGGGGUGAUGAAAGCUGUUUUGAUUUCAUCGGGCCCAUACAGACGGAUCUGAUGAUACCCGGAAUAAGCGUCCAGAAAAGACAAUCUCUCGCACCCUGCGGUCGAGUCGACAAUUUGGUCGACGCGAGGGAGAGGAAAAUGAUCUUUCGGGUAGGCCUGAUUGAUAUGUUUGAAAUCAAUGCACAUACGAAGGGAAUUGUCCUUUUUGCGAACCAUAACGACAUUGGCGAGCCACUCGGAGUGGUAUAUCUCUCGGAUGAACUCUGCUGCAAGGAGUCGAGCCACCUCUUCGCCAAUGGCUUUUUUGUUCUGAACAGCGGACCGUCGAAGAUGUUCUUUAACGAGUUUUGCCUUUGAAUCGACUCUAAGGCGAUGCUCAGCCAGUCCCCUGGGAACACCUGGCAUGUCAGCUGGCUUCCAUGCGAAGAUGUCCCAGUUCUCACGGAGGAACUGGAUGAGCGCUUCUUCCUAUUUAGAGUCGGGUGUAGUGGAAAUAUGGGUCGGAGCUGCAUUGGGGUCAGUCGGGUGGAUGUGAACUGGCUUCGUCUCACCGGACGACUGAAAUGCUGACUCUGUGGCGGGCUUCUUGGCUCGCAGUAAAUCACUCGGAUCUGCGUUCUUCUUGUACCCCUCUAGCUCUAUCACUGUUAUCUGGUCAUCCGCAAUCUUUGAGCCUUUCUGGAAACACUCUUCUGCUUUCUUCCGGUUACCAGUGACGGUGAUCACGCCUUUGGGGCCAGGCAUCUUUAACUUGAGGUACACGUAACAUGGUCGAUCCAUGAAGCGGGCGUAGGCUGGUCUUCCCAAGAUAGUGUGGUAGGCGCUCUGGAAAUCCACGAUUUCAAAUGUCAGCUUCUCUUUGCGGAAAUGCUUCGAGUCACCGAACACCACAUCCAGAGCUAUUUGGCCGAGUGACUCAGCCUUCUUUCCUGGGAUGACUCCGUGAAAACUCAUGUUGCUGGAACUGAGCCUGGACAUCGGAAUGCCCAUUCCCUUGAGCGUCUCUGCAUAUAGUAUGUUCAACCCGCUGCCGCCAUUCAUCAAUACCUUCGUCAGUCGAGUGCCUUCGACGACCGGGUCGGCCACCAGUGCUUGCCUCCCAGGGGUGGCAAUAUGAGUAGGAUGGUCCGACUGGUCGAAAGUAAUGGGAGUUUGCGACCAUCUCAGAUAGUUUGGUGUUGCUGGUGCGACCAUAUUGACUUCACGGUUGAUCACUUUCAGUCGACUUUUGCUCUCUACAUCAGCAAAAAUCAUCAGAGUGAAGUUGACAUGAGGGUACUCACCAUCACUGUCCUGCUUGUCCUCAGCCUUGUCUGACUCCUUCUCUUUGUCCUUCAGCUGUUUCCCUUGGAACUGCUGGAUUAAGAGCCGGCACUGGCGAGUGGUAUGCUUUGGGUAGAUGAAGUUACCCUCUUCGUCUUUCUUCGUGUGGAUAUGACACGGCAGGUCCAUCACAUCAUUACCCUCCUUAUCUUUUACCUUCUUGGGGUUCCAAGAUCCUUUGGGCUUCCCUUUAAAUUUGCCCUGUGUCACGGCUAGAGCCUCUCCAGGAGCUGCUGGCUCGGCCUUCCGCUUCUGCUUCCGACUGGAGUUUCCUUUAUCCGACUAACUCGGCUUGUACUUGCCGCUCCGGAGUCGGUCCUCUUCUUCGCCGUUGGCGUACUUGGUGGCUAUUUCCAUCAUCCGACUCAGGGUCAUGUCUCCAGUUCGACCAAACUUCAGGCUCAACUCUUUGUUCUUGACGCCAUCUUUGAAGGCGCAAACCGCUUGAUGGUCCGACACAUUCUCUACAGUGUGAUGCAAAGUGAUCCACCUCUGGAUGUAAUCCCUCAGUGUUUCACUCGACUUUUGUACACAAACUUGUAGCUCAGUUAAUCCAGCAGGUCGCUUGCAAGUUCCCUCAAACGUCCUGACGAACACUCGAGAAAGAUCUACCCAGGUGUAAAUGUUGCUGGGAGCUAACUGAUUCAACCAUGCCCUGGCUGAACCUCCUAGAAUAAGUGGCAAAUGUUUCAUGGCCACCUCAUCAUUACCGCCACCAAUCUGAACAGCCACUCGGUAGUCUUCGAGCCAAGUUUCAGGCUUAGACUCUCCGGUGAACUUAUUCACCCCAUUCGCCAACCUGAAGUUGGGGGGUAUCACUGCGGUUCUGAUCGCUCUGCGAAAACAUUCUGGACCUGAAACAUGGACUCGGCUGCUUGUGGGCACAUCUCUGUCAUGACCACCUCUAUGAGCUCUGUUUCAGUCGACCAAACCUUGCACGAUGAUGGAUCUCGCGUCAAAGCCUGGCUCUCUGGGGUCGACUGGAGCUCUCUGCCCAACACUGAGCUGGCUUCUAUCAUCUUGCUGCCGAUGGGCGUUAGACCCACUUCUCGGAGGAGGAGUGGGCACUCGACGCCUGUCAUCACGAUCAAAUCGAUCAUCAUAGUGGUCCCGCCGGCCUUCACGUCCCACGCGCCUCGGAGGCGACCUUGGACUGUCAGCUGACUGAAUAGUAUUCGCAGCAACAGAUCGACUGUGAAUCCUGUUAGGUGACUGUGACACAGCUGAAUUCUGAUCUCCUGCUGCCCGGAGCAAAUCUCUGAUCUGCAUCAAGCCUCUUCCAGCCUCUGACUGAGAGGGCUGAAUUGACUCUGCUAUGCGGGCUGCAGCUGCCAAAUUCUGAAUUGGGGUUCGAUAUACCUGAGUUGGUUGCGGAAAGAGCUGACGUCGAUUGGAGUUAGUCGCUCGUUGACGCGCAUGCUCGUCGAGUGCUCGCUGAAGGUUCUCCAGUCGAGUGUGUUCAGCCAGGUUGGCUAAACGCGCCUCUUCCAGGGCACGAGCCUCAGGAGUUUCUCCUGCAAUGGGAGUAUGCAGGGCAUCCAUGUUCUGGCGGCGAAGUUCUUCCCUCUGCUGGGAAGUGAGCGGCUCGGGUUGGUACUCUUCAUGGGCUUGAGCAGGGUCAUCCUCGUCGUCCAUCCCGUCGCCACGGGGGAAACCGGGAGGACUACGGGGCCCAUUGACCAUCAGGACCUCCGCCGUCGGAUCACUGCUAUCGCACUCGGAUGCAGCCUCUACAGAGCCAGUCGACAGGUCGAAUAGGCCGUAGAGAGAUCCGUCAGGCUCAAUCGCCGCGACUUGGGUGGUGGCCGAUUGGCGAGCCACUGCGUGUCUCACCCAUCGCUGGAGCCUCAACCGACCGGAGCGCUUGCGCUGGCGGGAGACAGGGAGGGAGGACGGCGCAGGAGUCGACCGGUAUGGGGUCGACGGCUGCCGCAGCAAGACGCUGCGGACACACACCCGAAAGUGCAUCGCCCCGCGGACGGGGAGCGCUCCGAUGUCGAGUGGUGCCUCCUGGAGCCAAGCGGAGUCGUCGGCGAUGAAAGUGAGCGCACCGAGACGGAUCUCGUGGCCCUCGACCAGAGCUCUGCCAGAAACCAUGAUGAAGGCGAUCGGACAAAUUGCAACUUCUCCAAAAAAGUCGCUAAGACACCUGCCCCACGGUGGGCGCCAACUGUCGUGGUUCUAAGUCUGACAGUAGAAUGGGGGGUAAGUAUGGAAAGGCAAGGUCCUAGCUAUGGAGUAGUUGUACACACGGGUGUUUAGCGAGUUCAGGCCCUUCUCUGAGGAAGUAACAGCCCUACGUCUCGGAGCCCGGAGGCGGUCGACUGAUCUCUGUGUAUAUGAGUUACAGGGGUGCGAAACUUUCUACCAGUGGAGGGGGGUGGCUUAUAUAGAGGACGCCAGGACCCCAGCCAGCCCACGUAGGGGGGGUAAAAGUACAUUAAGGCUGGGCGUUAUUGGUAACGCCCUACAUAAAGUGUCAUCAUGACCAUUAAGACUAUUUAAUUACAAACCGUUUGGAUGCAGAGUAGAUCCUGAACUUCCGAUAGUCGAGUGCGUCUUCAUGGUCGAGUGUCUUCUAGCCGGUCGAGUGGAGUCUCCCUUGGUCGAGUGGAGCUUCUUUUGGUCGACUGGAAGGUAGCUUCAUAUGAUAAUGUCCUUGGGCAUGGUAUCCUAGAUAGGUCCAUGACCCUACCCUAGGUACAUAACCUCAUCAGUGACCCCGUGGACGAAAAAGGUCUGAACAUUUUUCUGAUUUGCACACACCCUGUCGAUCCUGGACACACCAGAAAAGGCCAAUCUUUUUUAUUUAGCUGCCUAUGUUUUUACACAAAACUAUGAAGAACAUAGAGGGCAGCUUUGGGUCACGGAAAAAACUUAUACUGUGUGCAAAAGAAAUCAUGAUUUCAGCAGCACUGAAUAUGUACAGCAAAGGUCGAAACAAUUUAUCAAAAAAUGUGUCUGUGUUUCAUUCUUCCGCAAUACAAUAAGAAGUCCACCACUAAAGCUUUUUCCUCCUCCACAAGUAAAGUCCCUUAUCCUCCGGUCGGCGUCGCCGUCGGUCCGCCCCAUCUCUGAUGGCCUCUGGGCCAUGGAGUCGCCGAGGAUCCCAGCCCUUGUUCUCCUCCUUGUUAGAUUUAGCGUCUUGGUUGGGGUUGGGUGGAGGCGGCGAUGUCCCUUAAUAGGAAUAAUGUAUGAUUGGUUAUCUUUGUAAGUAUCUUCGAGUUAUCAGUUUGGUUUGGCCUACUAGAUUUAUCUUUCUUGCAAUGUUAGAAGUGCUUAGCUUUGGGUUCAAUCUUGCGGUGUCCUUUCCCAGUGACAGCAGGGGCAGCAAGGCACGUAUUGUAUUGUUGUCAUCGAGGAUAAAAAGAUGGGGUUUAUAUCAUAUUGCUUGAGUUUAUCCCUCUACAUCAUGUCAUCUUGCCUAAUGUGUUACUUUGUUCUUAUGAAUUUAAUACUCUAUAUGCAAGCUGGAUAGCGGUCAAUGUGUGGAGUAAUAGUAGUAAAUGCAGGCACGAGUCGGUCUACUUGUCGUGGACGUGAUGCCUUGAUACGUCUCCAACGUAUCUAUAAUUUUUUAUUGUUCCAUGCUAUUAUAUUACCCGUUUUGGAUGUUUAUGGACUUUACUUUACACUUUUAUAUUAUUUUUGGGACUAACCUACUAACCGGAGACCCAACCCGUAUUGCUGUUUUUUUUGCCUAUUUCAGUGUUUUGAAGAAAAGGAAUAUCAAACAGAGUCCAAACGGAAUGAAACCUUCAGGAGCGUGAGUUUUGGAACAAACGUGAUCCAAGGGACUUGGAGUGCAAGUCAAGAAGCAAUCGAGGCGGCCACCAGGGUGGAGGGCGCCCCCUAUCUCGUGGGCCCCUCGGGCGUCCACCGACCUACUUCUUCCUCCUAUAUAUACCCACGUACCACGAGAACAUCAAAGGCGACCACGAAAAACUAUUUCCACCACCGUAACCUUCUGUAUUCACGAGAUCCCAUCUUGGAGCCUUCGUCAUUGCUCCAUCGGAGAGGGAAUCAACCAUGGAGGGCUUCUACAUCAACACCAUAGCCUCUCCAAUUAGUUGUGAGUAGUUUACCACAGACCUUCGGGUCCAUAGUUAUUAGCUAGAUGGCUUCUUCUCUCUCUUUGAAUCUCAAUAUCAUGUUCUCCUCGAUCUUCUUGGAGAUCUAUACGGUGUAACUCUUUUUGCGAUGUGUUUGUCUCGAUCCGAUGAAUUGUGGGUUUAUGAUCAAGUUUAUCUAUGAGAAAUAUUUGAAUCUCCUCUGAAUUCUUUUAUGUGUGAUUAAGUUAUCUUUGCAAGUCUCUUCAAAUUAUCAGUUUGGUUUGGCCUACUAGAUUGAUCUUUCUUGCAAUGGGAGAAGUUCUUAGCUUUGGGUUCAAUCUUGCGGUGUCCUUUCCCAGUGACAGCAGGGGCAGCAAGGCAUGUAUUGUAUUGUUGUCAUCGAGGAUAAAAAGAUGGGGUUCAUAUCAUAUUGCAUGAGUUUAUCCCUCUACAUCAUGUCAUCUUUCUUAAUGCGUUACUCUGUUAUUUAUGAACUUAAUACUCUAGAUGCAUGCUGGAUAGCGGUCGAUGUGUGGAGUAAUAGUAGUAGAUGCAGGCAGGAGUCGGUCUACUUGUUAUGGACGUGAUGCCUAUAUACAUGAUCAUGCCUAGAUAAUCUCAUAAUUAUUUGCUUUUCUAUCAAUUGCUCGACAGUAAUUUGUUCACCCACCGUAAUACUUAUGCUAUCUUGAGAGAAGCCACUAGUGAAACCUAUGGCCCCCGGGUCUAUCUUUUAUCAUAUAAGCUUUCAAUCUACUUUUAUUUGCAUCUUUACUUUUCCAAUCUAUAUUAUAAAAUACCAAAAAUAUAUUUAUCUUAUCAUACUAUCUCUAUCAGAUCUCACUUUCGUAAGUGGCCGUGAAGGGAUUGACAACCCCGUUAUUGCGUUGGUUGCGAGUUCUUGUUUGUUUGUGUAGGUGCGUCGGACUUUUGAGGAGCCUCCUACUGGAUUGAUACCUUGGUUCUCAAAAACUGAGGGAAAUACUUACGCUACUAUUGUUGCAUCACCCUUUCCUCUUCAAAGAAAACCAACGCAAGCUCAAGACGUAGCAUGCCUAUAUACAUGAUCAUGCCUAGAUAUUCUCAUAACUAUGCACUUUUCUAUCAACUGCUCGACAGUAAUUUGUUCACCCGCCGUAAUAUUUAUGCUAUCUUGAGAGAAGCCACUAGUGAAACCUAUGGCCCCGGGUCUAUUUUCCAUCAUAUAAGUUUCCGAUCUACUUUAUUUAGCAAUCUUUACUUUUCAAUCUAUAUCAUAAAAAUACCAAAAAUAUUUAUCUUAUUAUUAUCUCUAUCAUAUCUCACUUUCGCAAGUGGCCGUGAAAAGAUUGACAACCCCUUUAUCGCGUUGGUUGCGAGGUUCUUGUUUGUUUAUGUAGGUACGAGGGACUUGCGUGUAGCCUCCUACUGGAUUGAUACCUUGGUUUUCAAAAGUUGAGGGAAAUACUUACGCUACUUUGCUGCAUCACCCUUUCCCGCUUCAAGGGAAAACCAACGCAGUGCUCAAGAGGUAGCAAGAAGGAUUUCUGGCGCCGUUGCCGGGGAGGUCUACGCACAAGUCAAGACAUACCAAGUACCCAUCACAAACUCUUCUCCUCGCAUUACAUUAUUUUCCAUUUGCCUCUUGUUUUCCUUUCCCCCACUUCACCCUUGCCGUUUUAUUCGCGCUCCCUUUCCCGUUCGCCUCUUUUUCCGCUUGCUUCUUGUGGUACUUGCUUUCACUAUGUCUGAAACUGGGGAGGUUAUCAUUGAUAAGGACAAUAGUAAUAACAUGGGAAACUUUGAUGCUUUUGAUGAUCCUACUGAAGAAACCACUAUCUUACAUACUAAAAGAUUUCGAAUCGGUAGUGGUAAUAUUAUUGGAAAAGGGGUUAUUCAAGAUUCUUUACUUGUGUUGGUGCUUUACCUUCUAUGGGUGGAUCUAUUCUUCAUAGAACUAGUAGUCUUGCGGAUGCUAUAUCCUUGCUUAUAGUUGAACUUGAAAGACAGUUUAUGCAUAUGCAUCCUUGCAUACAAAGGAUUUUUCUAGAAUUUUCCAAUAUUGAGCAUUCUUCUGUUAAGCGCGCAGCUACUAUCUUUUUGGCACAUGAGUUCAGAUUUAUAAUAAAAGAAGCCAGAGAAAUCUUUGCGCACUAUAGGGUGGACGCUGGUCGCCCUCCCAUUUAGGCGAUCCUUUUUAAUCAAGAAGACAUAAUGCGUUUACAAUCCUUAGAUCGUGUUGCUUUUAAUGAAAACCUUAGGAAAAAGGUUCCUACCGAUGUUCUAGUUGAUAGAAUCUCUGAACUUAAUGAUGAUUUUGCUAUUCAUAACAAUGGGUUGGGAUUUUCUCUUGAGCAAAGGCUCAUGACUUUUUGCCAAAAGAAUGCUUAUAAUGAUGAAUUGGUUGUGUAAUAUGAAGGGCCAAAGGAGGAACCCAUACCUCCCGAGCUUGAUCUUGGGGACUUUUGUCCCAUUAAAUUUAGCCCUUUUGAUUACUUUUGCUUGCCACAAAGAAAACUUGUUGUUGAACGUAGGGAAUAUGAGAUGAGUUUUCGUGAUUUACCUUAUCAUUACGGCAAUAAUUAGAUCUAUUCUCGCUUUUAUGCCUAGCUAGGGGCGUUAAACGAUAGCGCUUGUUGGGAGGCAACCCAAUUUUAUUUUUGUUCUUUACUUUUUGCUCCUGUUUAGUAUUAAAUAAUUCAUCUAGCCUCUGGUUAGAUGUGGUUUUAUGUUUUAGUUAGUGUUUGUGCCAAAUAGAACCUAUAGGAUCAUCUUGGGUGAUAGUUAAUUUGAUCUUGCUAAAAAACAGAAACUUUUGCGCACACGAGAAUAAUUUUAAUAAAUCACAGAAACAUGAUUUUGAGUUGAUUAUUUUUUAAGAAGAUUAAUAGACAAAUUUACUAGGACUUCCUAUUUUCGUAGGACUUUUAAGGUUCUAGAAGUAUUCGAAAGUUACAGAUUACUACAGACUGUUCUGUUUUUGACAGAUUCUGUUUUUUGUGUGUUGUUUGCUUAUUUUGAUGAAUCUAUGGCUAGUAUCGGGGGGUAUGAACCAUAGAUAAGUUGGAAUACUGCAGGUUUAACACCAAUAUAAAUAAAGAAUGAUUUCAUUACAGUACCUUAAAGUGGUGGUUUGCUUUUUUGCACUAACGGAGCUCAUGAGAUUUUUUGUUGAGUUUUGUGUUGUGAAGUUUUCAAGUUUUGGGUAAAGAUUUGAUGGAUUAUGGAAUAAGGAGUGGCAAGAGCCUAAGCUUGGGUAUGCUCAAGGCACCCCAAGAUAAAUUCAAGGACAACCAAAAGCCUAAGCUUGGGGAUGCCCCGGAAGGCAUCCCCUUGUCUUCAUCUAUCAGUAACUUUACUUGGAGCUAUAUUUUUAUUCACCACAUGAUAUGUGUUUUGCUUGGAGCGUCUUGAAUGAUAUGAGUCUUUGAUUUUUAGUUUACCACAAUCAUCCUUGCUGUACACACAUUUUGGGAGAGACACACAUGAAUCGGAAUUUAUUAGAAUACUCUAUGUGCUUCACUUAUAUCUUUUGAGCUAGAUAAUUUUGCUCUAGUGCUUCACUUAUAUCUUUUUAGAGCACGGCGGUGGUUUUAUUUUGUAGAAAUUAUUGAUCUCUCAUGCUUCACUUAUAUUAUUUUGAGAGUCUUUUAGAACAGCAUGGUAUUUGCUUUGGUUAUAAAAUUAGUCCUAAUAUGAUGGGCAUCCAAGUUGGGUAUAAUAAAAAUUGUCAUAGAAAGUGCAUGAAACACUAUAAGAAAUUUGAUACUUGAUAAUUGUUUUGAGAUAUAAAGGUGGUAAUGUUAGAGUCAUGCUAGUUGGGUAAUUAUGAAAUUGAGAAAUACUUGUGUUAAAGUUGGCAAGUCCCGUAGCAUGCACGUAUGGUAAACGUUGUGUGACAAAUGUGUUGCACGGGGUGUUCUUUUGAUUGCCUUCCUUAUGUGUGGAGGUCGGGAUCGCGCGAUGGUUAACUCCUACCAACCCUUCCCCUAGGAGCAUGCGUAGUAGUACUUUGCUUCGAGGGCUAAUAAACUUUUGCAAUAAGUAUAUGAGUUCUUUAUGACUAAUGUGAGCCCAUGGAUUAUACGCACUCUCACCCUUCCACCAUUGCUAGCCUCUCUUGUGCCGCGCAACUUUCGCCAGUAUCAUACACCCACCAUUUACCUUCCUCAAAACAGCCACCAUACCUACCUAUUAUGGAAUUUCUAUAGCCAUUCCAAGAUAUAUUGCCAUGCAACUCUCCACCGUUCCGUUUAUUAUGACACGCUCCAUCAUUGUCAUAUUGCUUUUGCAUGAUCAUGUAGUUGACAUCGUAUUUGUGGCAAAGCUACCGUUAUAAUUCUUUCAUACAUGUCACUCUUGAUUCAUUGCAUAUCCUGGUACACCGCUGGAGGCAUUCACAUAGAGUCAUAUUUUGUUCUAAGUAUUGACUUGUAAUUCUUGAGUUGUAAAUCAAUAAAAGUGUGAUGAUCUUCAUUAUUAGAGCAUUGUCCCAAGUGAGGAAAGGAUGAUGGAGACUAUGAUUCCCCCACAAGUCACUAUGAGACUCCGGACCUCAUGAUAAAUAAAAGAGGCCAAAGAAGCCCAAAUAAAAAAGAGAGGCCAAAGAAGCCCACCCAAAAAAAUGAGAGAAAAAGAGAGAAGGGACAUUGUUACUAUGCUUUUUCCAGACUUGUGCUUCAAAGUAGCACCAUGAUCCUCAUGGUAGAGUCUCCUAUGUUGUCACUUUCAUAUACUUGUGGGAAUUUUUCAUUAUAGAACUUGGCUUGUAUAUUACAAUGAUGGGCUUCCUCAAAAUGCCCUAGGUCUUUGUGAGUAAGCGAGUUGGAUGCACACCCACUUAGUUUCUUUUGUUGAGCUUUCACACAUUUAUAGCUCUAGUGCAUCUGUUGCAUGGCAAUCCCUACUCACUCACGUUGAUAUCUAUUAAUGGGCAUCUCCAUAGGCCGUUGAUACGCCUAGUCAAUGUGAGACUUUCUCCUUUUUUGUCUUCUCCACACAACCUCCAUCAUCAUAUUCUAUUCCACCCAUAGUGCUAUAUCCAUGGCUUACGCUCAUGUAUUGCGUGAGAGUUGAAAACGCUGAAGCGCGUUAAAAAGUAUGAACCAAUUGCUUGGCUGAAACCGGGGUUAUGCAUGAUGGGAGUAUUUUGUGUGACAAAAAUGAAGCAUAGCCUAACUAUAUGAUUUUGUAGGGAUAAGCUUUCUUUGGCUACAUUAUUUUGAUAAGACAUGAUUACUUGUUAGUAUGCUUAAAGUAUUACUAUUUUUAUGUUAAUAUGAACUUUUAUUUUGAAUCAUUUGGAUCUGAACAUUCAUGCCACAAUAAAGAAAAUUACAUUGAGAAAUAUGCUAGGUAGCAUUCCACAUCAAAAAUUCUGUUUUUAUCAUUUACCUACUCGAGGACGAGCAGGAAUUAAGCUUGGGGAUGCUUGAUACGUCUCCAAGGUAUCUAUAAUUUUUUAUUGUUCCAUGCUAUAUAUUACCCGUUUUGGAUAUUUAUGGGUUUUACUAUACACUUGUAUAUCAUUUUUUGGACUAACCUAUUAACCGGAGGCCCAGCCCAAAUUGUUGUUUUUGCCUAUUUCAGUGUUUCGCAGAAAAGGAAUAUCAAACGGAGUCCAAACGGAAUGAAACCUUCGGGAGAGUUAUUUUUAAAACAAACGCAAUCCAGGAGACUUGGAGUGGAUGUCAAGAAAAAAACAAGGCGGCCAUGAGGCAGGGAGGCGCGCCCUAGGGGGGUGGGCGCGCCCCCCACCCUCGUGGGCCCCUCGUGGCUCCUCUGACCGACUUUCUUCGCCUAUAUAUAUCUACAUACCCUGAAAACAUCCAGGAGCACCACGAAACCCUAUUUCCACAACCGCAACCUUCUGUACCCGUGAGAUCCCAUCUUGGAGCUUUUUCCGGCGCUCCGCCGGAGGGGGAAUCGAUCACGGGGGGCUUCUACAUCAACACCAUAGCCUCUCCGAUGAGUUGUGAGUAGUUUAUCACAGACCUUCGGGUCCAUAGUUAUUAGCUAGAUGGCUUCUUCUCUCUCUUGAAUCUCAAUACAAAGUUCUCCUCGAUCUUCUUGGAGAUCUAUUCGAUGUAAUUCUUUUUGCGAUGUGUUUGUGGAGAUCCAUGAAUUGUGGGUUUAUGAUCAAGUUUAUCCAUGAGAAAUAUUUGAAUCUCCUCUAAAUUCUUUUAUAUAUGAUUGGUUAUCUUUGCAAGUCUCUUCGAAUUAUCAGUUUGCUUUGGCCUACUAGAUUUAUCUUUUUUGCAAUGGGAGAAGUGCUUAGCUUUGGGUUCAAUCUUGCGGUGUCCUUUCCCAGUGACAGCAGGGGCAGCAAGGCACGUAUUGUAUUGUUGCCAUCGAGGAUAAAAAGAUGGGGUUUAUAUCAUAUUGCUUGAGUUUAUCCCUCUACAUUAUGUCAUCUUGCCUAAUGCGUUACUUUGUUCUUAUGAACUUAAUACUCUAGAUGCAUGCUGGAUAGCGGUCGAUAUGUGGAGUAAUAGUAGUAGAUGCAGGCAGCAAUCGGUCUACUUGUCGCGGACGUGAUGCCUAUAUACAUGAUCAUGCCUAGAUAUUCUCAUAACUAUGCACUUUUCUAUCAAUUGCUCGACAGUAAUUUGUUCACCACCGUAAUACGUAUGCUAUCUUGAGAGAAGCCACUAGUGAAACCUCUGGCCCACGGGUCUAUCUUUUAUCAUAUAAGCUUUCAAUCUACUUUUAUUUGCAUCUUUACUUUUCCAAUCUAUAUUAUAAAAAACCAAAAAUAUAUUUAUCUUAUCAUACUAUCUCUAUCAGAUCUCACUUUCGCAAGUGGCCGUGAAGGGAUUGACAACCCCUUUAGCGCAUUGGUUGCGAGGUUCUUGUUUGUUUGUGUAGGUACGAGGGACUUGCGCGUAGCCUCCUACUGGAUUAAUACCUUGGUUCUCAAAAGCUGAGGGAAAACUUACGCUACUUUGCUGCAUCACCCUUUCCUCUUCAAGGGAAAACCAACACAGGGCUCAAGUGGUAGCAAUGGGUUUUCCACUGAAUCUCACAUUCCAGGAUCCUAGCAUUUAUAGCAUGAAAUAUAAACUCUUAAUAAUGAACCUGGAAAUAUAAUAAUAUUAUAUUAUUGCCUCUAGGGCAUAUUUCCAAUAGUAUUCAACUUGCACUGAAGUCAAUAAUCUAGUUAGCACAUUUUUAUUUACACCAAUGGCAGUCUGGUGUUUGUCCAUACUCAGCUUGUGGUAUAGCCUUCAUCCCAUUGGAUCUUGAAAACUUCAUAUCCACGUGUAUCAUAUGCAUUUCAAUGCCUCUAUCAUGAUGGCUUUGUAUGUAUUGAAUCACUAGAAGGACCUAUGAUUCCUUGGACUGAGCUAUAGAACCACUAUUAAGUAUAGUGUUUCAUUGGCACAAUCAUCUAGAAAUCAUAACAAUCUCAUAAAUGAAAGUGUUAUUGAUCACUCUCCAUUGUUGCUUCUAAAGCAACAAUCUACUCAGCCCUCUGUUAUAGAUUUCACCACAGUAACCAACAACCCAACAAACACACUGCAAAAAACAUUACAUCGGAUAGAACUCCAAGAAGAUCGAGGAGAACAUUGUAUUGAAGAUCAAAGAGAGAAGAAGCCACUAGCUACUAGCUAUGGACUCGUAGGUCUGCGGUGAAUUGCUCACACAUCAUCGGAAGGCGGCACGGAUGAUGCAGAAGCCCUCAGUGAUCGAUUCCCCCUCCGGCGGAGUACCGGUAAAGCCCUCCAGAUGGAAUCGCGGAAGAAUAGAAGCUUGUGGUGGUGGAAAAAGUGUUUCGGAUGGCUCUCUGUUGGUUUGGGAAUAUUUGUGAAUUUAUAGGCUUGGAAUUAGGUCAAACGGAGUUGCGUGGGCCCAUAAGCUCAGGGGGCGCACUUUGUGAGCUCGUGGCUCUCUUGUAGCUCUUCUGGCCUCCUCCCGAACCUUCUAGGACCCCUUCUGGUCCAGAGAAAAUAACCAUAAUUCAUCGUAUUUGGACUUCGUUUGGUAUUGUUUUUCUGAAAAGCCAAAACAAGUAAAAAAUAGGAACUAGCACUGGGCAAUGGGUUAAUAGGUUAGUCCCAAAAGUGGUAUAAAAUAGCAUAAAAAUGCAUAUAAUCCAGGAUUGAUAAUAUAAUAGCAUGAAACAAUCAAAAGUUAUAGAUAUAUUGGAGACGUAUCAGCAUUCCCAAGCUUAAUUCCUGCUCGUCCUUGAGUAGGUAAAUGAGAAUAACAGAAUUUUUGUGUAUACAUGUAUUAUUUGUAGUGAGAUAUGUACAUGACAAAGAGCGAUACUACUGCCAGGAUCAGACCAAUGUACAUGACAUAAGAAAGAGGUGGCACAUCUCUGAAUGCAAGGUCCAUGGCAACAAGCAGACGCAAUGGAAAAGACAGAUUGUUUUGUCAUCUUUUGCAGCGCCAUCCUUUAGUAUGUCAGGGAGCAGCUAAGGAAUGAAAUCAUGCUCCAUUUUGGAUCAUAAGAUUUUAAUUUGACCAUAAGCUAAGCCUCCACCACACGAAAAGUGAUGAAAAUACAAAAUUUGUUAUGUGAUGCAAUACAAUGCAAAUCUUAUGUACUCCCUCUGUAAAGAAAUAUAAGAGCGUUUAGAUCAUUACUUUACACGUUACCAUCGUAAUCUCAAGCUUUGAAUUUAGUACUACUCAUUAAUCAAUUGUGUGAUCUUAAGAAAAUGCUAUACCUCUAAAAUGAACAACUAAAAGGUCAUGAGACACGUAGUGAUCUCCAAAUAAAUUGGUUGUUCUAGGGGAAAAGUGAUGAAAAGUGUUGUUCUAGGGGAAAAGUGAUGACAAGCAUGGAUUAUCUGUUUCGUCAUCUUGGGAGGGGGAGGGUCAUCCACAUGACCACAAGCCAAGCCCACACCCCACGUCAAGUGAUGCAAAUCCCAAUCAUGUCAUGUCAUGAUUUACAAUGCAAAUCUUCUUUAAAACUUUACACAUUGGCAUCACUAUCUUAAGCUUGGCAUUUGGUACUCCCUACGAUCCAUAUUUGUUGUCGCUCAAACGGAUGUAUCUAGCACUAAAAUACAUCUAGAUACAUCUGUUUCAGCGACAACUAAUAUGAAUCAAAGGGAAUACUACUAAUUAGUUGUGUGAUCUUAAUAAAACACCAUGCUUCUAAAAUGAACAGGUCACGAGGCGUGUACCAAUCUCCAGAUGAAUUUGAUGUUCUACAGAAUUCAUAUGUGCGGAAAGAUAAGACUGAAAACCGCACACUUACCCGGGAUAGGAUGGGAUAUUUUGAGAAAUAGAUAAGGAUUAGUUCAGGUUUCUCCCAUAUAUACGAAAUGACUGGACGAUGACUAAUUAAACGAGAGACAACAAACCACUUAUCUUCCUUUAUGACUCAAUUGAUCGAGAGCCUUCCCAAGUUGCUUUUGCGGUUUUGUUGGUCACAAUGCAGAUGCUUUGAACCUUUGCACAACCGUGGGCAUGUGGCUCCCGUUAAAUAGCCACAAGAUACCAUAAAAUUAGCACUUCCAAAGUUCCCAUUUACUCUCUCUUCCUCUCAAGUCUAACCAAAGCCCAACAAACCACCACCUCGGCCAUGGCAACCACCCUCGCCACCGACGUCCGCCUCUCCAUCGCGCACCAGACCCGCUUCGCCCUCCGUCUCGCCUCCACCAUCUCAUCCAACCCUAAGUCUGCUGCCAGCAAUGCCGCCUUCUCCCCGGUCUCCCUCUACUCCGCACUUAGCCUCCUCGCCGCUGGCGCGGGCAGUGCCACUCGGGACCAACUCGUCGCCACACUCGGGACAGGCAAGGUCGAGGGACUCCACGCGCUCGCCGAGCAGGUGGUCCAGUUUGUGCUCGCCGACGCGUCCUCCACUGGUGGUCCGCNNNNNNNNNNNNNNNNNNNNNNNNNNNNNNNNNNNNNNNNNNNNNNNNNNNNNNNNNNNNNNNNNNNNNNNNNNNNNNNNNNNNNNNNNNNNNNNNNNNNNNNNNNNNNNNNNNNNNNNNNNNNNNNNNNNNNNNNNNNNNNNNNNNNNNNNNNNNNNNNNNNNNNNNNNNNNNNNNNNNNNNNNNNNNNNNNNNNNNNNNNNNNNNNNNNNNNNNNNNNNNNNNNNNNNNNNNNNNNNNNNNNNNNNNNNNNNNNNNNNNNNNNNNNNNNAAUGUAAAAGAAUUUUUAACGGACAUAAUUAUGUACAUUUGAGAGAAACAAUGACAUGCUUAACUAACUACUUCAGCCGCCUGUACAUGUUGGCAUGCCACUGCUUCACUCAAAGUGUUUGUUUUCUGCUGAUGUAAUAUAGAGGUCUGUAUUAAUCUUAUACACAUUCUAGAUUUGUAAUUUAGUGGUUAUCGUAUACCACUGUUUUUUACACUAGAAGCUUCACCUUUGUAAGCAUAGUUCGCACCUGCUACCUUGAACUGUGAAUGAUUUUGCCUAUCCUGUUAGUCGGCAUGAUUGGAGAUAACUAGUCUGUUACUUUUCUGAGCAUACCUAAUCUUUUGGGAGUGUAAUUCUCAUACCGUGCUAUCUAGGGAUAUGAAGGCUGGGGAAUUUUCUGAUGUUUUAUACUUUAAUUACGCUCUUCAGCGAAGUGAGAUUAUAAUUUUGGGAGUAUUUCCUGGAAACUUUGUCUCCAACGUAAGAAGAUGUACAAAAAAAUCAGCUAAAGAUUAUAAUUUUGGGAAUAUUUCUGUAAAAGGUAUUGCAUAGUGGUGCUUCGAGAUGUUGUGAUGGCCAUUCAAAUUUGUAUGCUCAUAUGAAUUGUUUUUCUAUCAUACGUUGUUGUAUGUGCUGAUUUAUGUGUUUGAAAAUUUUACUAUAAAAAUGCUUUAUAAAAACACUAGUAUGCUGCUUUGCAUUCUUAGCACAACUAUUAUAUUUUGUUCUUUGAAAGAAUUUUCUAUUGGUUUGUUCAAAGGUUGGUGGCACAGCAGUACCGUCAAACUAUUUUCAUUACAUAAUUGACCUUUGUUUAUUUUUUCCAUGGCCCAGGCCGCUGAAGUUACUACUCAAGUGAAUUCAUGGGUAGAGAAAGUCACGAGCGGUCGCAUCAAGGACAUUCUCCCCCCAGGAUCUAUUGACAAUACCACUAAACUUGUUCUUGCCAAUGCCCUUUAUUUCAAAGGAGCUUGGACAGAGCAGUUUGAUUCAUAUGGAACAAAAAACGACUACUUCUACCUUCUUGAUGGGAGCUCAGUUCAAACACCAUUCAUGUCCAGCAUGGAUGACCAAUACCUUUUGUCUUCUGAUGGGUUGAAGGUACUUAAGCUACCUUACAAGCAAGGUGGGGACAAUAGGCAGUUCUUCAUGUAUAUCCUUCUUCCAGAAGCACCAGGUGGUCUCUCAAGCUUGGCCGAAAAAUUGAGUGCUGAACCAGACUUCCUGGAGCGGCAUAUCCCAAGGCAGAGGGUUGCAC